AUGGAGAUAUUUUCACCACCUGUGGACAAUGUUCACCCUAGUGGAACCAUGUACGUACAGUCCCACGCCCUUGAUGCCAACGCGGGCGCCUGGGCCACCUGUUCUUUUUGCAUGGAGUGCUUCUUGGAAUUCUUUUUGUGGCUAACCUUGUGACGCGAGAGGACACAAGCUUUCGUCGCCGCUGGCCGCACAACGAUGUCGUCGAUAGCUAUACCCCCUUGGCAGUUGGCAUGCAGCGUAGGCCGCAUAAAUCUUAACCAGACCUGCCCGGAAAGAUUUUUGCCCGUUCAUUUUGUUGGAAGGCUGCCACGUCUGACAGCGGGACUGCCGAUCCAGGAGGGCAACGGCCUCGCCCCGGGGGCUCGGGGGACUUGGCGUCCACGCCUCCCAGCGGGAGCACGACCCGCUCCACGUCGUGAUCCCUUCCGUCUCUCUUGUUUCGGUUACAGUAGAUCUUAUCCUUUGUAAUCAUCCAUGUAUACAUAGCACUAUAUGCAGAAUCAAUAGACACACAGUUUCUACUCGUCUAACUUGGUAUCACAGGUCUCUCGCUCCUCCCGUUCCUACCGCUUCUGCCAUGAGNNNNNNNNNNNNNNNNNNNNNNNNNNNNNNNNNNNNNNNNNNNNNNNNNNNNNNNNNNNNNNNNNNNNNNNNNNNNNNNNNNNNNNNNNNNNNNNNNNNNNNNNNNNNNNNNNNNNNNNNNNNNNNNNNNNNNNNNNNNNNNNNNNNNNNNNNNNNNNNNNNNNNNNNNNNNNNNNNNNNNNNNNNNNNNNNNNNNNNNNNNNNNNNNNNNNNNNNNNNNNNNNNNNNNNNNNNNNNNNNNNNNNNNNNNNNNNNNNNNNNNNNNNNNNNNNNNNNNNNNNNNNNNNNNNNNNNNNNNNNNNNNNNNNNNNNNNNNNNNNNNNNNNNNNNNNNNNNNNNNNNNNNNNNNNNNNNNNNNNNNNNNNNNNNNNNNNNNNNNNNNNNNNNNNNNNNNNNNNNNNNNNNNNNNNNNNNNNNNNNNNNNNNNNNNNNNNNNNNNNNNNNNNNNNNNNNNNNNNNNNNNNNNNNNNNNNNNNNNNNNNNNNNNNNNNNNNNNNNNNNNNNNNNNNNNNNNNNNNNNNNNNNNNNNNNNNNNNNNNNNNNNNNNNNNNNNNNNNNNNNNNNNNNNNNNNNNNNNNNNNNNNNNNNNNNUAUUUUUUUUUUUUUCAAGCAGAAGACGGCAUACGAGAUUGGAGAUGGGUCUCGUGGGCUCGGAGAUGUGUAUAAGAGACAGGGCCUACCCCGUCGCCGCUGGGCCUCCUCCUCCCGCCCCAACCUGGGAGCAGCAGCAGGCGCUGACGGCCCACCUCGCGAACAUCCAGCUGCAGCCGCCGCCCACCAGCUCCGAGUGGUUCAUGGACACCGGCGCCACCUCCCACGUCGCCAGCUCCUCUGGUAACCUCGCCAACCAUUCUUCCUCGAUGCAUUUUCCCUCACGCAUUACCGUUGGCGACUACUCGUCCAUCCCUGUUGUCGCGACCGGCUCCACGUCUCUUCCUCCCUUCACUCUCAACGACAUCCUUGUUUCCCCUGCCAUCGUUAAGAACCUCAUUUCCGUUCGUCGUUUUACUAUUGAUAAUUGGUGUAUUGUGUCUUUUGACCCCCUUUGGCUUCUCUGUGAAAGACAUGGCAACGGGGAAGGUGCUCAUGCGCUCCAGUAGUACCGGCGAUCUCUACCCGUUCUUCUCCAAUAACGACGGCUCCGUGGCGCUCUCCGUUUCCAGCCCCGGCGGCAUAUGGCACCUCCGCUUGGGCCACCCUAGUCGCGCCUCCCUCUCUAUUUUCGCAAACAACUUCUUAGACUCAUGUAAUAAUAUGCAAGGCACCUUCGUUUUUACUCCCUGUAAUAUUGGCAAACAACCACACCUACCAUUUGCUUCCUCCACCUCUCGCACUACCUCCCCUUUUCAGCUUGUCCAUUGUGAUUUAUGGACCUCGCCGGUUUCUAGCUUCUCCGGUUUUCAGUACUAUCUUGUGGUGCUUGAUGAUUUUACUCACUACUCUUGGGUAUUCCCACUACGACAAAAAUCCGACACCGCUCCUACUCUCUUACGCUUUUUCUCCUAUGUACACACCAAUAUAACCUCUCUAUCAAAUGUGUGCAGUGUGACAAUGGCGGCGAAUUCCUCUCCUUCUCCCUCCGCGACCAUUUCUCUCGCCACGGUGUAGUCUUUCACCUCUCGUGCCCCCACACCUCUCCCCAAAAUGGUAAGGCCGAACGCCUUCUCCGCACCACCAAUGAUGUCCUACGCACCCUACUCGUUCAUGCCCACAUGCCUCCCGAGUUUUGGGUCGAAGCACUAUACACCGCCAACCAUCUCAUCAACCGCCACCCCUCCUCCGCGGUUAACAACCACACCCCAUACUACCUUCUUCAUGGUGACCACCCCUCUUACGAUCACCUCCCCGUUUUCGGCUGUCUUUGCUUCCCCAACCUCACCCACCUCGCACCACAUAAGCUCGCUCCUCGCUCCACGCCCUGCGUCCUCCUCGGCUUUCCCCUCGAGCACAAAGGAUACCGCUGUAUGGACCUCCGCUCCCGCCGCGUCUACAUCUGCCGCCAUGUUACAUUCGACGAAAGUCGGUUCCCUUUCGCCGAACUCUUAGCACGGCCGUCCAACCUGUGGUGCCACUCCCUUCCCCAGCCGUCUACGACGUGCCCCCACCAGCCUGGCACCUGCGCGCCCUCCUGCCGCUGUGACGCUCCGCCGCCCUCCCGUUGCNNNNNNNNNNCGCCUCUACGCCCCCGUCAUCCGCCAUCAGCCCCAUCCCCUCCUCUUACCGCGCCGCCCUCAAGGAUCCGAACUGGGCCAACGCUAUGCUUGAGGAGUAUAAUGCAUUGUUGCGGAAUGACACUUGGUCGUUGGUUUCUCGUCCUGCAGGUGCAAACGUGGUGACCGGCAAGUGGAUCUUCCGCCACAAAUUCAACCCCGACAGCUCGCUGGCUCGCUAUAAGGCGCGGUGGGUGCUCCGCGGCUUCACUCAGCAAGCUGGCGUUGACUACGGCGAGACGUUCAGUCCCGUGGUCAAGCCCGCUACCAUCCGCGUGGUCCUCGGUCACGCCACCAGCAACUCGUGGCCCAUUCAUCAACUGAAAGGAUCGAUAUGGUUGGCUAGAGGGGGGGGGUGAAUAGACAACGUCCACUUUUUAAUUAAUCUUAACAAGUUAAGGUAAACACUAUACGGGUUCGCAAAUAAUAUGACAAAGAGGUGAUCCCUAUAGAAGCUACCAACAAGACCUAUUAAGACAAGUAAGAUAUAGUCACAAGUAAAAGCAAAUACAAAGUAAAGGUUAGAGAUAACCACAAGUGGAACCGAUGGAGACGAGGAUGUGUUACCGAAGUUUCUUCCCUUUGACAGGAAGUACGUCUCCGUUGGAGCGGUGUGGAGGCACAAUGCUCCCCAAAAAGCCACUAAGGCCACCGUAUUCUCCUCACGCCCUCGCACGAUGCAAGGUACCGUGAUUCCACUAUAGGUGCCCUUGAAGGCGGCGACCGAACCUUUACAAACAAGGUUGGGGCAACUCCACACAAAGCUUGGAGGCUCCCAACAAGACCACGAAGCUUCACCAUAAUGGAAUAUGGCUUCGAGGUGACCUCAACCGUCUAGGAUGCUCAAACACCCAAGAGUAACAAGAUCCGCAAGGGAUAGGUGGGGGAAUCAACUUUUCUCUUGGUGGAAGUGUGGAUCUAGGCCUUCUCAACUAAUCCCUAAAGAAUCAACAAGUUUGAUUGGCUAGGGAGAGAGAUCGAGCACUUUUAAGCUUGUGGAGCAACAAUGGAGCUUAGAGAGGUAAGAGAUAGGGUUCCUCAGCUAGAAGAACCCUUUAUAUAGUGGGGGGAAAAUUCAGACCGUUUUCCCACUCUCUGCCCGAGAUCCAGCGGUACUACCGCUGGGAAGGAGCGGUACUACCGCUGCCUGGCGGUACUACCGCUGGAUGCAGCGGUACUACCGCUGGGGCUUCCAGCGGUACUACCGCUGGCACCAGCGGUACUACCGCUGGCCCCUUGGUAGUGCAUAAGCACUACUACCGCCGGGAAAGUCUUCGCGAAAGGGUCCGUCCACGAACUACCGCUAGGUAGGUGGAACAAGGCACCUAGAGCGGUACUACCGCUGACCAGGGGGCGGUACUACCGCUGGCUGCGGUACCAUUUUGCAGAGAUGCUCAAGACGAAUAGGCGAGGGCCGCUCCAAAAGAUAAGGAAAGGGAGAAUGCAAAGUGUGCGUGUGAAAAGAUAGAUUCCACCCAAACCUUUCCACUAUGGAUCCCCUCUUAAUAGUACGGCUUUCCUAUGACUCAAAUAAAGAGAAUCGUAGAGAGCGCCGUGCUUCCGUUCCAGAAGAGAGGAGACGAGUCGUCUUGUGCCGUUGACGAGUGUUACCUGAAACCUUGACACACACGAUUAGUCUUGUACGGUACUGUCAUCAAUCACCAAAAUUAGUUAGGCAUAAACUAUGCCUCAACAAUCUCCCCCUUUUUGGUGGAUUGAUGACAAUACCGGAUUUUCACAGAUAAUAAUAUGAGAAUAAAAAGAUAGAGAUAUAUGACAUAUGACUCACAGCAUAUGAUGGAAAUAAAUCUAAUCUCACAUAAGAAAGAUCAUGUCUCACACAAGAUAGCAAACGAAUCAAACCAAGUUCAAAGCAAACCAUACGAGAUAAAUCAAAGCAAUGUAAAGUUCGAAAUGAAAGCAAAUCCUAGACUCUCUCCCCCUUUGGCACAAGACAUCAAAAAGGGGGCACACCUAAUGCCACAGGUAACUACUCCUCGUCUUCAGGAUCACCAGACUCGUCUAUCCCCUCCUGGUCGGUCUGCUCCUCCUCUGCUGCCUCAUCGCCAGACCACUGGUACCCCUGAGCCUGCAUCCAAGUGGCCUCCGGAGUGAUGUCGUCCUCGGAGCCGCUGAAGAUGUCCACAUCCAAGGUCCUGAGAACACGCUUAUGCCUCUGGCGGCUCUGCUUCUGAGCCACGUGUGUCUGAUACUGACCCUUGGCCUGCAUACAGAAAAGUGUCUUCAUCUUGUCCUGCAGUUUGAUAGCCCAAGAUGGCAUGGCAGACGAGCGGGGCUGAGAGGUAGGUCCUUUGCCAGCAGCGGUCUCUGUAUCAGUGUCCAUGUGCUGAGAAGAUGAAGAUGGGUUGGCCCACUUGUCCUUGACGCGCAGCUUGAUUGGGUCAUGCACAAUGUAAUCAGACUGUGCGUAGAGCACCUCAUCCGGAAACGCCUGUUGCCACUUAUGGCUGAUGUAUGCGAACAGAUAAGGCCCGUAGAUAGGAACCUUACGGUUGAUGAUGCAGUUCCAGAGCUCUGUGAACAUCACAUCUGCAAUAUCCAGUGGAGCAGACUCCUGAGACAUAGCUUCCUCACACAGUAACAGCAUCUCAGCCAAGUAGCCAUGGACCUCAUCGAAGUUACCACUCCGAGGGAAGAGGGUGUUGCGAAAGAUGCGAUGCAUGAUGUCCAGGUGCUUGGGAAGCACCCCCUUCCUCAGAUACAGUGACUGCAGUCUGUCCUUUGCGAGGGCCCUAUCCGUGGGGGCUGGAGCGUGAGGACGCAGCCCAAGAGGAGUGUCAGCACCCUGAAAGUCAAUGUGAAGGAACUGCAUGAACUCUGCCCAAGAACCGGUCAUCUUCUUUGACCCAGUCAUCCAUAUCAUGGAGCGCUGUUCAUCAUGGGAGAAAUGGAUUGUGACAUAAAACUGAGCAACUGCCGUGGGAUCAAAAUCCGUCUUGAAGGAGAUGAUGUUUUUGAUGCCCAGCUUGUCAAUCAAAGCGAGGGCAUCACCAAAGUACUCCAUGUUCCGCUGAAGAUGUGCCAGAUCAAUCCACUGGACAGAGACAAAGUUCUUCUUGAAGUUGGCAAUAACAUCCCGAUAGAUCCUGCAAUGGUCCCUUACCCAGACAUGGUCAACACCAUCAAUCUCAUCCCUCUCCUGGAGAUAGUGGUUCUUGGUGCGAAAUUGCAGAAAGUCCUUGGGGGACAUUGUACGGACAUUCACCCUCUUAUGAGCGACCUUCUUGAAGGACUUCUUCUUGGGAGGCAGACCAGACGUGGCAGACCCCUCGGGCGCCUCUGGGUUGCGAAACUGUUUUUUUGCGUUUCCCGUGGGGGGUUCGAACGGCGAGCAGAGCCACCUGUGACACAGACCACAAAGCAAAAAAGAGGCGACAAGAAGAGUCAAGGCAAUGAAUCUUGAAAACGCAAAACAAGUAAACACGCAUUGCUAAGCAAAAACAAGCAGAAAAUACACUGUGAAUGCUCUGGCGGUAGUACCGCCACCCGUGACGGUAGUACCGCUGGGGCCCAGCGGUAGUACCGCUAGCCCUGGCGGUAGUACCGCUCGGGUCAUAGCGGUAGUACCGCUACCCUUGGCGGUAGUACCGCUGAGGUCCUAGCGGUAGUACCGCUACCCCCCUGGCGGUAGUACCGCUGGGGGUUUGACUUUCAGAUCUGACAAAUAAUACUUGUUUUCGAGGGCAUGGGCUGAAUAUGAACACUAAGACGUACAACACGGCCCUACUGUCAUGAGGAACACAUAGCAUUAAGAGAUACAAACAUGCCUAGGCAAGAGAGAGCACGUUUUAGAUCUAAUCCAAAAAUUCAAGUGAUCGAUCUAAGACGAAUGAAUCUAGGACAUGGCAGCAAACACAACAAUAAAUCAUCGGACCUAUGCCCCCCUCUAAUAUUUCCUCCAUGCCAUCCAAGAACUAGCCAUAGGAUCAAAAAUAUGAGUCCAAUCCCCAAUGCUCCUAACCCAAGAACACGAGUAAUCAAAGAGAAGAAGGGAGGAGCCUUUUUUACCGGGAUUCAUGGCUUUGGAGGAGGAAGAAGAAGUGAAGCAGCCCUUCCACACCAACGGGGAGAAGGAGCUCCACGAAGAGAGAUCCAAUCGGGGGGGGGGGGUUUCGGGCUAGGGGAGGGAGGAGCCGCGAGGAAGAAGAAACAGAUGAAAAAACGGGCUCCCCCUCCCUUUAUAUAGCCCAAGGGGUACGGGCAGCGGUAGUACCGCUGGGGUGCAGCGGUAGUACCGCUGACCUGGCGGUAGUACCGCUGGGAUCCUGGCGGUAGUACCGCUCCCCUUGCGGUAGUACCGCUCCCCCUCGAAACCCUAGAAAUAUCCCAGCUGGUCGUGUUAGAUUUUGAAUCCUGGCGGUAGUACCGCUACCACUGGCGGUAGUACCGCUGGGGUCCUGGCGGUAGUACCGCUACCCUGGCGUUAGUACCGCUGUACAUGUUUCAACACGGCUAGGAAAACGGGAAACUUGGGCACAUGACAAGUGAGUAAAAAGGGAUGACUUCCAAGAAAAUGUACUGACUUGUCAUUGUAUAUCCUCUCCUUUAUACGCAAGAGAGGAUGGAGGGGCAGUGGCCGUGGCCACCUAUGUUUGAGACAAUGGUAUGACACCGCGAAGAAUUAUCCUUGGGUUCAUGACCAAUGCUCGUCUUUGAAGCACAAGUACCAUUUGACAAUGGCUAAAGUGAAAGACUAGAUUGAUUUACGCAUAAUGGGGGGAGGGAGAGGUCAUUGAGAGAACAACACCCCCCUAUGUCCAUGCCUACAUCUAGACCAAGAUGGAAUGUGAAGUGAGGUGCAAUAUGCCUAGUUUCAAUCCACAUUACUUGAAUCAAUGAUAUUUAGCUCAUGCCUCAACUCCCGGAACCUUGGUUCAUCUAGUGGCUUGGUGAAAAUAUCUGCAAGUUGCUCUUCAGUGUGAAUGAAGUGAACCUCAAUAUCACCUAGCUUGAUAUGUUCACGGAUGAAGUGAUGACGAAUAUCAAUAUGUUUGGUUUUGCUAUGUUGCACUGGGUUGAGGGAAAUCUUGAUGGCGCUUUGAUUGUCACAUAGAAGAGGCACUUUGUCACAAGUGACACCAUAAUCCUUUAAAGUUUGCCUCAUCCAUAGCAAUUGUGCACAACAACUUGCAGCUGCCACAUACUCAGCUUCGGUGGAUGAUAAGGAGACACAGUUCUGCUUCUUUGAAGACCAACUUACCAAAGAGCGACCAAGGAAUUGGCACCCUCCAGAUGUUGACUUCCUCUCCACACAAUCUCCAGCCCAAUCUGAGUCAGAAUAGGCAACUAGAUUGAAGUUUGCUCCUUUGGGAUACCAGAGGCCAAAGUUUGGGGUAUGAGCCAAAUAUCGAAAGAUUCGUUUGACAGCCAUGUAAUGACUUUCUUUUGGUGCGGAUUGAAACCGUGCACAUAUCCCUACACUCAACAUAAUAUCCGGUCUAGAUGCACAAAGGUAAAGGAGGGAUCCAAUCAUGGAGCGGUAUACCUUUUGAUCCACUGCUUUACCAUUGGAAUCACUGUCAAGCUUGCAUCUGGUUGGCAUGGGGAACUUGACCGGUUUGACAUCUUCGAGCUCGAACCGUUUGAGCAUGUCUUGAGUGUACUUGGCUUGUUUGAUGAAUGUCCCUUCUAGACCUUGUUUAAUCUCGAAUCCGAGGAAAAACUUUAACUCUCCCAUCAUGGACAUCUCAAACUUCUCAGUCAUUAGCGCAGCAAAUUCUUCAUUGAAUGAAAUGUUAGGAGAGCCAAAGAUAAUAUCAUCAACAUAUAGUUGGCAUAUGAACAAAUCCCCUUUAACCCUUUUAGUAAAAGGAGUGGGAUCAAUCUUCCCAAUUUCAAACCCACGAUCUUGUAACAACUCAGUAAGGUACUCAUACCACGCGCGUGGGGCUUGUUUAAGGCCAUAGAGUGCCUUAUUGAGUUUGUACACAUGAUUGGGGAGCUUGGGAUGUUCGAAUCCCGGGGGUUGUUUGACAUAUACCAACUCAUUUAAAGGACCAUUAAGAAAUGCACUUUUCACAUCCAUUUGUUGUAAUUUGAAGUUAUGAUGAGAAGCAAAAGCAAGUAGCAUGCGAAUAGAUUCUAGACGAGCAACAGGGGCAAAGGUUUCACCGUAGUCGAUACCCUCGACUUGGGAGUAGCCUUGAGCCACCAAUCUUGCCUUGUUUCGAAUCACAAUUCCAUUUGCAUCUUGCUUGUUCUUAAAUAUCCAUUUGGUCCCAAUGACAUUAUGUUCCUUCGUUGGUCGUGGCACUAAAUCCCAGACUUGGUUGCGCUCGAAGUUGUUAAGUUCUUCGUGCAUGGCCAUAAGCCAAUCCUCGUCAUCGAGCGCUUCCUGUACCUGUUGAGGUUCACAAUACGAAACAAACGCGUGAUGCUCACAAUAAUUCCAAAGCUGUUGACGAGUAGAUACUCCCCUUUUUAAACUACCAAGAACAUUCUUCAUAAGAUGUGACUUGGCUUUCAACUUGUUCGCAUUCUUGGUUGCUCGACGCUCCAAGAGUUCUUUAUUAGAUAACGGGGGAGCAUCGACUUGUAUCUUUUGUUUGCCCUUGCGUCUUGAGCCGGUUGUUGGAGCUUCAGACGGGAAUUGUGAGACAGUCUCCUGAUCACUUUGUCCUUCGACUUGAGCAGGUUCACUGGUUUGAUCUUGUAUUAGUGGUUGCUCUUGAUCUUGAUCUCGUGCUGGUUCAGAGUCUGGUAGUGCUUGAGUGGGCAUAUUACCAUUGUUAGGCAAUUGAUCUUGACCGAGAGCUUGAUCAGCUUGUUGAGAGUCUUCUCUUUGUUCAUCGGAAGCGUGUGGGGCUUGCGGGGGUGAUGGCUCCACUUGAGUAGAGCAUUGUCCUUCUCCUUCGGCCACAAGGGGUUCCUCAAUGGGGAGUAUUUGACCAAUCCCCAUUCUUCUUAUGGCUUCGGGAGGAAUUUCAUCACCUAUAUCACAAAGACCACUUUGCUCCACUUGGGAGCCAUUAUUUUCGUCAAACUCUACGUUACACGUCUCCUCAAUUAGUCCGGUGGACUUGUUGAGGACACGGUAAGCAUGAGAGUUUGUAGCAUAACCAACAAAGAUACCCUCAUGUGCUCUAGAAUCAAAUUUAGCUAAUCGAGCUCCCUUUUUAAGAAUGAAACACUUACAACCGAAUACCCGGAAGUACUUGAGAUUGGGUUUGUUUCCAGUUAGAAUCUCAUACGGAGUCUUGUUCAAGCCUUUGUGGAUGUAGAGCCGAUUGGACGCAUGACAUGCUGUGUUGAUGGCCUCUGCCCAGAAAUUGUAUGGAGAUUUGAAUUCUGCCAUCAUUGUUCUUGCAGUGUCUAUCAAGGUCCGGUUCUUCCUUUCUGCCACGCCGUUUUGCUGAGGGGUAUAUGGUGCAGAAUAUUGGUGCUUUAUUCCCUCAUCACCUAGAAACUCAUCUAGGGUGUAGUUCUUGAAUUCGGUGCCGUUGUCACUCCUAAUCAUCAAGAUCUUCGCUUCAUGUUGACGUUGCGCUUCAUUAGCAAAGUUGAUGACCGUUUGUUGAGUUUCACUCUUCCUUUUGAAGAAAUAUACCCAGGUAUAUCUUGAGUAAUCGUCAACAAUGACUAAGCAAUACUUUCUGCCUCCAAGACUAUCAAAUGUAGGAGGACCAAACAGAUCCAUGUGGAGAAGUUCCAAUGGCCUCUUAGUGUAGAUAAGAGUCAUUGGACGAUGAGCAGUUUCAUGAAUCUUUCCUUCAAUGCAAGCACUGCAAACACGAUCUUUAGCAAAGCUCACAUUUGUUAGUCCACGAACAUGGUCCCGUGUCAGAAGACUUUGCAAAGAUCUCAUAUUGACAUGAGCUAAACGGCGAUGCCAAAGCCAGCCCACGUCAACUUUAGCCAUUAAACAUGUCGCAGUCUUAGUGGGUCGCUUUGAAAAGUUUACCACAUAGAGACCAUUUUCGACAUGUCCAACAUAGGCUACUUUAAGAGUCUUGCUCCUUAGGAGGACCAUAGUGUCAAUAUUAAAGAAUGUGGAAUAACCCAUGAUUGCAAGUUGACGAACGGAAAGUAAAUUGUAGGCAAGAGACUCAACAAGCAUGACCUUCUCAAUAGACAAAUCUUGAGAGACGAUCACCUUACCAAAUCCCAAUACCUUUGACGAGGAUGCAUCGGCGAAUUGGACAUGGGUGGGCAUAGAUGGAGAAGGAUGCACAUCCACCACUAAGUCCUUGCUUCCGGUCAUAUGAUUUGUUGCUCCACUAUCGAGCAACCAUGACACCCCACCGGAAGCAAACUCCUGCAAUAGAUCAAGGCUUGGUUUUAGGUACCCAUUUUUUAAUGGGUCCUUUCAUGUUAGAGACAAGGGUCUUAGGAACCCAGAUAGCCCAUUCAAUAUCUUCAUCGUAGGAACCUACAAAUCUGGCAUAAACAUGCCCAUCACUAGCACAACGUAACACAUAAGAGGAAUUGAGUUUGCCGGCUGUGUUAGUAGGAGCGGUUUUGCCCUUCUUGGGGUUCCCAUAGCCCACCUUGUUCCUGUUCACCUUCUGAGUCCCCUCACCCUCCUUGACAAAGAUGUCCAUGAGGGUGAGAGAUCGUUUGUUCUUUUUCUCCCUUUUACCUUUUGACUUGGAGGUAAGUCCAAGUCCUUCCUUUCCUACAACACCCUUUUGAGUGCUCAAGAGAUCGUUCAGACUCUUCGCACCUUGUCUGCAUGACACAAGGCCCUUCUCAAGUUUCUCCUUUAACUUGGCAUUUUCCUCCACAAGAUGAACAUGCUCACAACAGGGGUUAGUUGCACAAGUAUUAUCAAUUAACACAAAGGGAGGACAAGUAGAGAUCUCCUUGGUAAGCUUUGCUUGGAGUUGAUCAUGAGACUCUUUCAGAGCGAAAUGAACACCUUUCAAGGCUUUGUGGGCCUUGUCAAGUAUGUCAAACUCUUCUUUGAGUCUGUCACGGCCAACCUCAAAAGCAUACUUUUCAGAUUUAAGCAUGCGAGUAAGAACAACAUCAUAAUCUAGUUUCUUUUGCAUUUUAGUGCAGUCAUCGUUAUAUGACUCCUCAAGAGCCAAACGAAGAGUGCGCUCUUCUUCUAGAGUACUAGAUAAUUCGGCAAUUUCAUCGGCAUAGUCACGGCUAUGUCCAUGAAGCUCGGAGAUGGUCUCCUCAUGAGACUCAAUGAGGUCAGUGGCCUCACCCAGUUGUUCCAAGAGAGCAACAAAAUGCUUCUUGGUUUCUCCCUUAAUAGUGCAUAGAAACUUAUCAAGAUCAUGCUCAUUAAGUUCUCCAACAUCACUAUCUUCUACACAAUUUAACAAUGAAGGAGCAGAAGCAAUGUUGGUCUUAAUGAUAGGAGUUACCUGAUUGGUACCUUUUGCCAUGAGGCACUUGGUGAUGUGGUUCUCGUUGGGGGCGUUAAAGAGAGACACCUUCUGGGAAGGGGUAGUGGCUAUAGCAACAGUUGCCGUUGCCACUGUAUCAUCAUCAUCAUCAGAAGGAUACUCCUCCAGGGCCACCAUUCCUUUUGGGUGAGGUUUCUUCACAAAGUUGUUCUUGAUUGGAAAUGAUUUGGUUUUGUCUUUGCGAAUGAGCUUGCCUCCGUUGUCUUCUCUCUUCUCAUAGGGGCAUUCUGCCACUAAGUGACUCACGUUUCCAUAGUUAUAACAUGUCCUUACUCGUUGUUUGGGUUUGAAUCCACUUGAGUUGUUCUUGUUGAAGGUUGGUCUUGAGUUCCUUUUAUUUCCCCAGAAUUGCCUUGAUGCAAGAGCCAUGUGCUCAUGAUAGGCAUACUUUGUGUCUUCCGGGCAGCUCUCCUCUUCCACAUCUUCCUCUUCUUCUUCAAGCAUUGCUCUUGCUUUUAACGCAAGUUUGGGUGAAGUGGUUUUUGAUCGGACACGAGCAAGUGCAUUGUCGGCUGUUUCGUUCAUGAUUGACAUAGCAAUGAACUCAUCCAACACUUCACUGGAAGACAAGGAGUGGAAGUCUGGCCGCUGACGAAUGACAGAUGACAUGGCUUUGUUGAAAGGCAUGAUGGCUUUGAGAAACUUGCGCUUGACCCAAGUGUCAUCCACAUCCUCACUCCCAUGGUCCUUUAGUGCCACAGCAAUAACAGUCACCCUCCGAUAGAGAUCACGAGGGUCCUCUUCUUCCUUCAUCACAAACUCAUCGGCCUGAUCAAGUAUCACUUCAUAGUUGGAUCGUUGAAUACUUGAGCUUCCCUUAUACAACACCAUAAUAUGCUCCCAACAAUCCUUGGCCAAUGUGAAGGGACGUAAGUGGGGAAGAUCUUCAGGUGGCACAGCAGACUGGAGAAUAAACAGCGCAGAGUGAUUAUAUUGAUUGACUGCAUCUUCUCUUGGAGUGCGGUUGCUUGGGUCAUUGGGGUAAUAUCCUUGCUCGAUAAUUCUCCACAAGUUUGUUGAGCUGUGAUUCAAAUGAGACUUAAUAGAAAAUACCCAGUUAGCAAAGUCACCUUUUACAAGUUUAGGAGGAGGACCAACAGGAUUAAGACGAGGUGCGAGAACGGGUCCUCCAUAUGUCAUGGGAGGUGGAACCGAAGCAUAUGUUUCAGUCCCAUCUUUUUCGUGAGGUGAAGCAGGUUGCAUACCUUUAGCCGCUUCCUUAGAGGAGUUGGCCUCCGAAUCGGAAAUGGUAGGUUUAACCACUAAAGCCGGUUCGGGUGAACUUUUAAGACCAUCAAUUAAUUCUUUAAGCAUGGUUUUGACUUCGCUCGUCAAGGACGUCUUGAGGGCGGCCAUAGCCGUAUUCAAGUCGUCCCUUGUGACCGAAGUCAAGUCCAUGUCCUCGGGUUGCCCACGGUUAACUUCCUCUCCGCCUUCCAUACUCUUCGGGUGGUUAAACCCUUAAUAAAGAGACGUGGCUCUGAUACCAAUUGAAAGGAUCGAUAUGGUUGGCUAGAGGGGGGUGAAUAGACAACGUCCACUUUUUAAUUAAUCUUAACAAGUUAAGGUAAACACUAUACGGGUUCACAAAUAAUAUGACAAAGAGGUGACCCCUAUAGAAGCUACCAACAAGACCUAUUAAGACAAGUAAGAUAUAGUCACAAGUAAAAGAAAAUACAAAGUAAAGGUUAGAGAUAACCACAAGUGGAACCGAUGGAGACGAGGAUGUGUUACCGAAGUUCCUUCCCUUUGACAGGAAGUACGUCUCCGUUGGAGCGGUGUGGAGGCACAAUGCUCCCCAAAAAGCCACUAAGGCCACCGUAUUCUCCUCACGCCCUCGCACGAUGCAAGGUACUGUGAUUCCACUAUAGGUGCCCUUGAAGGCGGCGACCGAACCUUUGCAAACAAGGUUGGGGCAACUCCACACAAAGCUUGGAGGCUCCCAACAAGACCCCGAAGCUUCACCACAAUGGAAUAUGGCUUCGAGGUGACCUCAACCGUCUAGGAUGCUCAAACACCCAAGAGUAACAAGAUCCGCAAGGGAUAGGUGGGGGAAUCAACUUUUCUUUUGGUGGAAGUGUGGAUCUAGGCCUUCUCAACUAAUCCCUAAAGAAUCAACAAGUUUGAUUGGCUAGGGAGAGAGAUCGGGCACUUUUAAGCUUGUGGAGCAACAAUGGAGCUUAGAGAGGUAAGAGAUAGGGUUCCUCAGCUAGAAGAACCCUUUAUAUAGUGGGGGGAAAAUUCAGACCGUUUUCCCACUCUCUGCCCGAGAUCCAGCGGUACUACCGCUGGGAAGGAGCGGUACUACCGCUGCCUGGCGGUACUACCGCUGGAUGCAACGGUACUACCGCUGGGGCUUCCAGCGGUACUACCGCUGGCACCAGCGGUACUACCGCUGGCCCCUUGGUAGUGCAUAAGCACUACUACCGUCGGAAAGUCUUCGCAAAAGGGUCCGUCCACGAAGUACCGCUAGGUAGGUGGAACAAGGCACCUGAAGCGGUACUACCGCUGACCAGGGGGCGGUACUAUCGCUGGCUAGCGGUACUACCGCUGACAAUGGGCGGUACUACCGCCAGACAGCGGUACUACCGCUGGCUGCAGCGGUACUACCGCUGGCAGUCCAGCGGUACUACCGCUGGCACCAGCGGUACUACCGUUGGGGACCAUUUUGCGGAGAUGCUCAAGACGAAUAGGCGAGGGCCGCUCCAAAAGAUAAGGAAAGGGAGAAUGCAAAGUGUGCGUUUGAAAAGAUAGAUUCCACCCAAACCUUUCCACUACGGAUCCCCUCUUAAUAGUACGGCUUUCCUAUGACUCAAAUAAAGAGAAUCGUAGAGAGCGCCGUGCUUCCGUUCCAGAAGAGAGGAGACGAGUCGUCUUGUGCCGUUGACGAGUGUUACCUGAAACCUUGACACACACGAUUAGUCCUAUACGGUACUGUCAUCAAUCACCAAAAUUACUUAGGCAUAAACUAUGCCUCAACAUCAACUCGACGUCAAGAAUGCCUUCCUACACGGCCACCUCGCCGAGACGGUGUACAGUACGCAACCAUCCGGCUUCGUCGACUCCACACGCCCAGGGGACGUUUGUCGUCUCCACCGGUCGCUCAAUGGCUUGAAACAGGCGCCCCGCGCUUGGUUCGCCCGUUUCACCACCUUCCUACGGUCCCUCGGCUUCCAAGCCUCCAAGGCCGACUCCUCGCUCUUCUUCAUACACUCCCGGCAGGGCACUGCCUACCUUCUCCUAUAUGUCGACGACAUCAUCCUCACCGCCACCACACCCACCUUCCUUCGCUCGAUCAUCGCCUCCCUCCACCGCGAGUUUGCCAUGACCGACCUCGGCUCCCUCCAACAUUUCUUGGGCAUCAAUGUCCACCACACCACCACCGGCCUCCACCUCUCCCAGGAACAGUACGCGCUCGAGAUCCUCGACCGCGCCGGGAUGCUGAACUGUAAGCCCGUCUCCACCCCCAUCGACACCACCGCCAAGCUCUCCGCCACCAACAGCCCCGCCUUCCACGACCUGCCUCUCUACCGGAGUCUUGCGGGGGCCUUACAGUAUCUCACCCUCACUCGUCCUGAUCUCUCCUAUGCCGUCCAGCAAUGCUGCCUCUUCAUUCACGAUCCUCGCGACAGCCACUACAAACUGGUCAAACGGAUCCUCCGCUACGUCCGUGGCACCACCCUUCUAGGGCUGUGCUUCCACCGCUCCACCUCCGAUGAUCUCACGGCAUACUCCGACGCCGACUCGGCCGGCAGUCCCGACACGCGGAAGUCUACCUCUGGCUUCGCGAUCUUCCUCGGCGCCAACCUCGUGAGUUGGUCGUCAAAGCGCCAGCACACUGUCUCUUGGUCCAGUUCCGAGGCCGAGUACCGUGCGAUAGCAAACGCUGUUGCCGAGGCGAGCUGGCUACGCCAGCUUCUCACCGAGCUUCGCCGUCCGCCUCCUCGCGCCACCGUCAUCUACUGCGACAACGUCAGCGCCAUGUACAUGUCCGGCAAUCCGGUGCAGCAUCAACGCAUCAAGCACAUCGAGAUCGACUUACACUUUGUCCGCGAACGCGUCUCCCUCGGCGAAGUACGUGUCCUUCACGUACCUACGACGUCGCAGUUCGCGGACAUCUUCACCAAAGGUCUACCUACGCCUGUCUUCCGCGACUUCCGAACCAGUCUCAAAGUCGGCGAGCACCGCGUUUCGACUGCGGGGGGUGUUGGAAGGCUGUCACGUCUGACAGCGGGACUGCCGAUCCAGGAGGGCAACGGCCUCGCCCCGGGGGCUCGGGGGACUUGGCGUCCACGCCUCCCAGCGGGAGCACGACCCGCUCCACGUCGUGAUCCCUUCCGUCUUUCUUGUUUCGGUUACAGUAGAUCUUAUCCCUUGUAAUCAUCCAUGUAUAUACAACACUAUGUGCAGAAUCAAUAGAUACACAGUUUCUACUCGUCUAAGUCAUUUGACUGCAUUCACUGUUGAGCUAUAGCAUGAAAUUUAGAGCGCUUGUGGAUUUGUCUUGUUGAAAACGCUUAGAUCGGUAUUUUUGAGCGAGCUAGGGUUGGGCCGAGCCACAGCGAACACGCAUAAUGAGCCCGUUUGCACGAGAGGAUGCUGCAAGAUUAAUACGAACAAAUACACAGCAUGUACAUGCUAUGUUCUUCUACCUCUAUUAAGCUUCUCCAUAAUAUUCUUUCUUCCCCUGCUAAUUUACACAACGAUACUUUGAUUCCACAUAAGCUCUACACGAGGAAGAUGUACAUUGAUGUUAGGCUUUCAUUCUUGCGAUUAGUUUGUAGUUUAGGCGAUCAUAAAUUCUUAAUUUUGUAUUUAUGUUUGGAACGAUUUUGGAUGAAUUCUGUCAAUUUUAUUUGACCAUUUGGAAUUUCUUUGACCAGUAGCUUCAUCUCGCCGUCUCACAUCACAUUCAUAUUGCAAGUUUUCUGUUUCGAUGAUCAUAAAGGAGAAAAAUCUGCGUCUUUCUCGUGAUUAUACAUACACGUAUGUGCGGUCUGAUUUAAGACACUACUUAAUGGUUCUUUUAGGCCAGUGUGAUCCUCUCGAUCCCCUCUUCCGCGUCAUGAUGCAGUGGUGUCAACGUAGCCAUAUUUCAUCUAAGGGGUUUUCUCUUGAAUCCUAUGACAUUGUCAUAGCACCCACAUUGUAUGUCUUUUCCUUUACCUCAGAGCCCUCCUAUUUGUCACUCUCGACGCCUACGUCAUUUCUCUGGACCUCCUUGCCCGCGUCCUACUACACCGGAGUCGUUUUCGACGUCCUUCAUCUCGGCCUCCUCUUUCUCGUCCUGCUAUGAUGACUAUGUCAUGUCAUGCGCAUUGCACUUAUCCUCCUUUGCUCUUUAUCUCUGUGUGGACUUUCUGUGGCAACACACUAGCAACUAGUUUCAUGUGUUGUCGAUAGUUCACUCGCCCAUGACUCUUUGCUCGUCGUGUUGGAUGUGGCGCCACGGCUACUAUCCACCGCAGUCGUCAUGGUUCGACACGCGUUGCAUUUCGUCUUCCCCGUCAUCUGCCUCAGCGCUCUUCCGCUUGGACUUUUUCUGUGGUGUCUGCAACUAGCUCGUCGCGGUGCUGGUAGGAACGCCCGUCCAAGACUUCGUGCUCGUCGUGUCGGUCGUGGUGUCAGCCACCAUUCACCGCAGUCGUUAGACACAAUAUAACUAUAUGUGUUAAGUAUGAGUAUUAGCUCUUAAUUAUAUCUCGUGUAUACAAAUAAAUAUCGUGUAGUUGCAUGAUCCAGGUUGUGCCAAAAUUGCUCUUUUAAUGAAAGAGACCUAGAUGCCGGCGAUCAAACAAUGCAUAGAUAACGAUUUUUUGUCUGUUUUCUUUCAACCAUGCUCCGUUGAGCCAGACUCCACGGUUCAGGCUCUACCAAAAAGGUAACCAAACACGCCCCAGCACCAUGCGCGCCCGUCGGUUUCUACAGAAUACUUUGUUUACAUCAUUCUACAGCAAGAGUUUCCUGCUAGGGAUGAAUUUAUUUGCGCUGAGUAUGGUGGCCAGGGAGAGUGGACCGGUGGAUGUGACGAGAGAGGUGUAGCUGGGAAUGUAUAUGUAUGCCGUGGGGUGCAUGCUUUUGUGCAUACACCUCAUGUAAAUUUUGAUCUCGGUACUUUUCGGCUAUUGUGUGUUCUUGAGGAAAAAACAAGAGUUUCCUGCAUGCCGAAUUAAGCAACAUUUUUUCUUUUUUUUUGCGGCUGUAGUCUUUUUUUAUUUUGUCAAGGUAGUCUUUCAUUUUCUUAGGACAUGUACAAUGAUGACAUAUGGAUAUAUAUGUCCCAUGAUAAAAAGCAGUUUGAGGCAUCUAUAUUGACAUUUUCUUUCAAAUGCAAGCUAGUAUCAGGGUGCCUCAUCAAAAAUAAAAAAAUAAAGACUCUAAUACACAUGUAUCUCUACUUUUUAGUCUUUUUUCAGCUUUUUACACCGGACCACAUAUUUUCUCUUCAAAUACCCGUCUCCUGCAUAGGAUCCCGCUUCCUUAUCUGAACCUACUUUUUCUAUUAUCUGAUCCUACGUGACCUACAGAACAUCAUCCUGAGGCUAUGCAUUGUAAAUACCGUUAUAAGAACAAACUUGAAUGUACGUCAGUACAUGCUGUUUCACGGAGUAUAUAUUGACGUCAUUUUUCACGUUUGGCAACAACAAAAACUUCCACGUAAACUGGCUCCAGCUACUACUACCACUGAUGGAAAAAAGGUCUUUGGUCGCGGUUCGCAACUGCCAUUAGUCGUGGUUGCGCAACCGCGACCAACUAAGCGCGACUAAAGCCCCCCACCUUUAGUCGCGGUUCUUAAGAAACCGCGACUAAAGGCCCGUCCACGUGGGCGCCAGGCGGCCGUCUGGGCGGAGGACCUUUAGUCGCGGUUCUUCUGGCCAACCGCGACUAAAGGCCCCCCCCUAAACCUGUUUUGUGUUAAAUUUGUAUUGUUUUAUUUCUUUUGUGCUUUAGGGGGGGGGGUGAAUGUACAAUUUCAAACAAAUUUCAAACAAAUUUGAAAUUAGAACCAAAAAGAAUUCAAGAGGAAUAUACAAUAUAUAUUCAAUAUCAUCGGAUGACCAUAUACAAUUUUGAACAAGUUUCCAUACAUAAUUUAAUGCAUAUAAAGUUCUACGUCCUCGUAAUGGUGUUCUCCUUUAGGAUGGAGGACUUCCCUGCUGAACCAUCCAGCUAGUUCCUCUUGAAGUGGUCGGAAGCGAGCUUCUGGACUAAGCAUCAUCCGGAGGUUAUUCCUCUUAGCAUUGGUAUCACUCGGAACCCGCUCAGAGGUGUAUCUCCGGAUCAUCUCACAGACAUAGUAUCCACAUAGAUUGGUCCCCGCUGGCUGAAUAUCCCCAGCAUUCUUCGGCUUUGACCUUUUGAAUUCUAGCUCUUUUUUGAAUUCACCGACCUUUGUAUCUACGAACCGUCUCCAAACCCUACGAGGCAAAGAAAAUUAAAUGAACAAGAGAGUUAUUAGUUACUUGAUAUUAGGAAAUGAACGAAAUAGGCCGAUCGAUAUAGAGCGCAAACGAAUGAAAAUAAUUACUUCUGCAGCAUUCUUCUCAUGCCGCCCCAAAGCUUUGGAUCCAUAUUCAGAGAGUCGUGGACGAGACAUUCUGAGGUGUUAACUUUAAUUACUAGCAGAAUCCAGUGGAACCUGCGGACACGAUACAUGCACAGUACGUCAUGCAUAACUCAUCGAUUAGCCGGCCACAUACCAUGCAUGGAGUAAACAAAAGAGAAUGUGCUCAAGACAGAAACACUCACCCAAAAUGGUAAGGAAAUAGAAUAUCACUUUUGAGUUCCUGCUUUGUAAGAAACUGCCACAGGUCUGCCUCCAUGUCGGCGGGGUGAUGCUCCAACACAUGUCCAUUAACAAUGUGUGGGUCAAUGAACCCAACAUCAUGGAUGUUCCUUACUCUGCAUUCCUUAAUCUUCAUUCUGCAUGUAUAAUAGCGGACACAACAAUAUAGUUAGGACAUAUAUAUAGUGCAGGCAAUAUGAACGAGAUGGGGUAGAAAUAAAUCACUUACAGAACGUAGCAACUGAUGAUAGAUUUGUCGAGAUCGCGCAGAUUGAAAAGCUGGAACAAUUCACUCAGUUCAAUUUGUACAUAGUAAUGUUUGAAGUGAUGCUCAUGUCUAACUUCCGCAUAAAUAUAAUCUUUGGCGCUUUUAUUUUUUAUGUAACCCUUGUACCAUUUCAGCAGACCUUUCAUUUGUGGAGGUAGAUCCUUUUCCUGCGCAGGCUCGACGAGAGGCCCAUUCUUGACAUAUGUAAUUACUACCUCCUUCACUGGCGCCUCAUCAAGGCCUAACAGUUCACGAAGAGUAAUACCUAAGUUGGCCGCUUGUUCUCUGGCACUCGUUGCAGUCAAUCCCUGUGCUGCCGCAGCUUGUAUGAUCUCGGGGGCAUCCGGACCGGCGGCUUCCACUAUAAGCGGGGCAAUCGAUUGUUUACUUUGUUCCCCGAGCUGGGCAACUUGUUUCCCGCUUUUUUUACUUUCGGCCUUCUCCCGCUCUUUGUUCUCCUUGAACAUGAGUGCCUGCCUGCGAAGUUCACGUGCAUAGUCGUCAGGCAGAUUCUUCGCGGCUUGGGACGGUGUGCUCAAAAAUGACUUAGCCCACUUCUUUUGCUCAUCAGAAAAUACUGGCUUGGGCUCGGGCUCUCUUUUCUUCUUGCAGUCCGCCUUCCAUUUCUCCAAAUCAGCAGCCGCGGCCGUGUCGACUUCCUCGGCACUACGUUCCCAAGGCCUUGUGGGGAGAGGCUUCAGUGAUGGCUCCGGUACCUUUGUGGUCUUAGGNNNNNNNNNNNNNNNNNNNNNNNNNNNNNNNNNNNNNNNNNNNNNNNNNNNNNNNNNNNNNNNNNNNNNNNNNNNNNNNNNNNNNNNNNNNNNNNNNNNNNNNNNNNNNNNNNNNNNNNNNNNNNNNNNNNNNNNNNNNNNNNNNNNNNNNNNNNNNNNNNNNNNNNNNNNNNNNNNNNNNNNNNNNNNNNNNNNNNNNNNNNNNNNNNNNNNNNNNNNNNNNNNNNNNNNNNNNNNNNNNNNNNNNNNNNNNNNNNNNNNNNNNNNNNNNNNNNNNNNNNNNNNNNNNNNNNNNNNNNNNNNNNNNNNNNNNNNNNNNNNNNNNNNNNNNNNNNNNNNNNNNNNNNNNNNNNNNNNNNNNNNNNNNNNNNNNNNNNNNNNNNNNNNNNNNNNNNNNNNNNNNNNNNNNNNNNNNCCGCCACCACCACCACCGUAGGGGGGUGGACUUGUUGUCCUUGGCGCCUCGCCUGGAAACUUGAUAAACUUCUUUUGCCAUAGAAUGAAAUGGCGCUUGACAUCUCCAAGUCUUUUCUCCCCUUCAGGUGUAGCAAUGUCAAUCUCCAGGUCCUCAAACCCUUGGACUAUGUCCUCCACCGUGACACGAGCAUAGCCAUCUUGAAUGGGGUUGUUGUGGUGGAGUGCUCCAGGUAAACAUGGUAAAGCACUGCCGAUGGCUACCUUCAUGGACAUGUUCCCGAUAGGAUAAUACAGAUGACAUUCUUUCAUCUCCUUUAUAUCGUCCACGGGGUAGCGAGGAGGCUCCGGUGCAGUAAUUUCGACCACCAGAGGCUCCGGUGCAUUAAUUUCGACCAGCAGAGGCUCCGGUGCAUUAAUUUCGGUCGUCGGUGCAUCUGCACCAGCCGGUGGGGCCUCCGUGGAAGCCACGCUGCUUCUCCGCUGCUGGCUUCCGAGAUCCGCUGGAUGAUCUUCAUGCUGCACCCGAGCUGCAUCUCUUUCGGCUACUAGUACACUCAUGGUUUUCUUCAUCACAUCCAUUUCCGAUGCCAACCGCGCCACAACAUCUGCUUCCCGAUCCAUCUUUCUCUUACGGCUUCUGUAACCGUACGGGUCAUCGUUCUGGGGGAACCCUAUUUUCCACGGAAUGUGCCCCAUGCCUCGUACACGUCCUCCGUGUUCAGGAUUCCCGAGGGCUUUUGUCAGCGCGUCGUUCUCUCUGUUGAACUUGAUCUUCCCCUCUUGAGCAUCCCUCAUUGCGUCAAUAAGGGCUUGGGUGGGUUUAAUUAAUUUGCCCCGGUAAACACACUCCCCUGUCUCCGGGUUCAGCGUUCCCCCAUGCCCGUACCACCAGCUUUUGGCCCUUGGGUCCCAUCCCUCCGUACCUGGACGGAUUCCUCGCGCCCUCAGCUCGUUCUCCAUCUUCUCCAACCUAGGCAACAAAAUGCGAUACCCUCCUGGCCCCAUAAUAUGAUUGUACUCCUUCUUAGCCGCAUUUUCCUUAUUUUUUUUCGAUAUUUGAAUGAACUGCUCCGAUUUCUUUUGCUUCACAAAUUCUGGCCAAUCAUGUUUCAGUUUCUCAUAUUGUCCUUUGAAAUCCGGAGUCUUGUUCUGCUUGACAAAGUCAUGGGCUAGAUUUUGCUUGAAUUUCCGGAAUGCGUCGGCCAUCUUAUGAAGAGCGAACUGUUUGACUAGCCUCCUCCUCUCCUUGUUUUCCUCAAUCUUGUUACCCUCCUCAUCGAAUUUGUUGUAUUCCGGAGGUAGAACGAAAUGUUCCAUAAGCUUCUUGAAGCAAUCUUUUUUUGUUCUCUUAUCGACAAAAGUGAAACCUGCAGCAAUUCGUGCCUUCUUUGGCUCAUUCCACUCCUGGACGGUGAUCGAGACGUUGUCUCUAACAACGGCUCCGCAUUGGCUGACAAACUUGGUGGCGUUCUUGCGGGGCUCCAGCGGCCUGCCGGUUGCACUGUCGACAACCUCGAUGGUGCAUGUUUCUCCUUGUUUCAUCGUCUUGGUUGCGCCACGCUUUGACGACGUACUCGAUUGUUUCGACGAUCCGGCCGAGGGCUAAAAUAAGAAAGAGAGUCGCGCGCGUUAGUACACACAUAUUUAUUUAAAUCAGUUAGUUUGUAUCACCAGAGGCUCAAUGUAUAUAUAUACCUCGGCGCCGGAGGUGGUUGCUACUUCCAUUUGAAGAUCGUCGUUUAUCGACGUUUGUUCGGCAUCAUCUUGCUGACGGCGCCCUUCAUCUUCACCGUCAAGGUUCAGAUAAGAAGAGAUAUCAUCUUCUUCUUCUCCGGUCGGCACAUAUAGAAUAUCGCCGUUUAUGAUGCCGAACAUAUGUGCUUCACCGUCCGGAUCAUAGUUGUCCAUAAUCGGGUCAGCUCUAUCGUCCGCCAUUAUGUCAGUCCUGAAAACAUGUAGUAAAAACAAAUUAAUUAAGUGAAGAAGGGGGGCGGUGGCGGUGACGCCUCUCUUGCCCGCUUUCGUAUGGAGACACUGUCACAACAUAUCCCUCUACCCCUAGGCCCACUUCCUAGGACGAGUGUUUGUGUCUCCUCUACCCCUAGGCCACCAACAUAUCCCUCCUCGAGUUACGAUGUGUGGCUCGAUCUGGCAUGUCUGACGACUUUUGACGAGCCUUCUAUGUUAUCAAAGAAGAAAGCAGGUGCGACGGUCCUCUGAUAUGCCAUGAAGCCAUUGACCGCCGUUCUAGAUCUUUGUUUCUAUACCCAGCCUAGAAUAAAUAAGAACUAAAUCCAUUGGAGACAUCGCGUGAUGUGUUGUGGUUGAUACAUAGCCAUGUUCUUGUAGAUUUAGCUGUGGGCACUCGUCCAACUUUCGGCCGACGGUAGCCACAAGAGUGCACUGGAAGGAUUGCAUAGGGAAGGGAAGGUACUAUCGCCCAGCUCUGCCAAAUGGUGAUGUGAAGAUUCCACGGGGUUUUAUUUGUUAAACAUUGUAAUGUAUAUCCGGUGUAGAGAUAAACCGGUUUAAGUUGUAGCUCUAGAAGGUUGUUGUGAUAUGACUUGUAGAUCAAUCCAACACCUAACUACCUUGUAGAUCUUGUAACCUAGCCGCACCUUGUAACCCUAGCCGCACCUUUGUGCCUAUAUUAACACGAAGACGCCCCUGCUAAGAGUAAUUGUUAUCUCAUCUAUUUUCACAUGGUAUACAAAGCCUAACUCUUCCAUCGCAUCUAGGUCAUGUCUUCCUCCUCUGCCGUUGUCAUGGCCACCCCCUCCACCGUAUCUCUCGGCCACACCGUCACCGAGAAGUUUUUAUAUGGUCAUUAAUAUAGUAUUAUAAUUAUUAUAAAUAGCAAAAUAAGCAAGAUGGAGACCAACUUGUUUUUUGGUGAUGGUUAACACAUUAUAGAGCAAAGUACUUCUCUAAACAAAAAUAUCGACGUUCGUUCUUCCAAUAUCGACGUUCGUUCUUCCAAGACGGCGUUCUUCCAAGAUCGACGUUCGUUCUUCCAAGACGGCGUUCUUCCAAGGAAGCGAGGAAGGCGGGCGCGCGGCGCGGGAAAGAUGAAAACCAACCGCGACGGCGAGCUCGAGGGUUCAAGAUCGACGUUCGUUCUUCCAAGAACGACGUUCGUUCUUCCAAGGAAGCGAGCUAGGAAGGCGGGCGCGCGGCGCGGGAAAGAUGAAAACCAACCGCGACGNNNNNNNNNNNNNNNNNNNNNCCCGCCAUUUCUCACUACAUAUAUGUAGCCCGGCUUGGCUAGCAUUAUCACAUCUGUACAAUCUCUCAUCACUCUCUCAUGGCUUCCACCGCACCCACUCUAACCUACCAGCAGGUGGAGGAGCUUUGCGCCUCGAACUACCCUUGUCCACCGGGCUACCGCGUCCCCACCGGCUGGAGCCUAAGCGCCGGCGGCGUGCCGGUCCCUCCCGUCCCUCAGGGUACUGCGCGCCGGGCGGCCAUCACGAACCACUACUACCUCGACCUCACGCCGGAGCAGCGGAUGAAUCCCCGCUGGCAUCCCGAUAACCAGCAUACUUGGGACGCCUUCUUCAUCAAUCGGCGUGAGAGGGCGCUCGCCAGGUAUGAGGAGGACGGUCUGCCUCCUGGGAACUUCCACGAGGCCGGCCGUCGGCUAUGGUGGUACGGCCGGACUCUGCAGAGCGUCAUGGACUACAUCACGGCCGGCGAUAUCCCCCGCCUGCGCUACCCUCAGUUCGAGCCACGAGCGCCGCCCGACGACAGCGACGACAGCAGCGACGACGACGACGGCAACUUAGAAGGCGACGACUACCAGUACAACGACGACAGCGGCUAUGAAGACUACGAGUAUGCAUAUUAUACGCCUAGGCAGGAGUAUGACUAAAUCACUCCAAAUUUCAUGUAUCAUCAGUGGUAUCUCGAAUCAUUCGAAAAUGGACACCAAACACAUCACGGGUAAUAUAAUUCACAUGAUCCAUUCAACAAAGUUUGGUACAAUAAAUUAUUACACAUCAUUUCUUCCCUUGUGUCCCUGCUUGCUUACGAUUGUGCCGUAUCCAUGGAGCAUCCUCAUCAUUUAACUUAAUGCUUGGGUCGGUGUUCACUUUGAAGGGCGGAAUUUCAGCAAACAUAUUAUAAUCUUCUGACAUGUCUGUCUUGUCCUCCACUCCCACGAUGUUUCUUUUCCCUGAAAGAACAAUGUGGCGCUUUGGAUCAUCGCAUGAUGUACUGAUCGUUUUCUUAUCUUUCCGUUUCCUCGGUUUGCUACUCAUGUCCUUCACAUAGAAAACCUGAGCGACAUCUUUCGCUAGGACGAAUGGUUCGUCAAGGUAACCAAGAUUGUUGAAAUCCACCAUUGUCAUUCCGUAUUGCUGGUCCACCUUUACCCCACCUCCUGUUAGCUUGAACCAUUUGCACCGGAACAAAGGGACCUUAAAGGAGGGUCCAUAGUCAAGUUCCCAUAUCUCCUCUAUGUAACCAUAAUAUGUGACCUCUUGCCCAUUCUCGGUUGCUGCAUCAAAGCGGACACCACUGUUUUGGUUGGUGCUCUUUUUAUCUUGGGCGAUCGUGUAAAAUGUAUUCCCAUUUAUCUCGUACCCUUGGAAAGUCGUUAUAGUCGAAGAUGGUGUCUUGGCCAACAUGUACAGCUGAUCUACAACAUCAUUGUCAUUCAUUAAAUGUUUUCUCAACCAACUGCCGAAAGUCUCCAUGUGGGCCUUCCUAAUCCAGGAUUCAGGCUUCCCCGGGUUGUCCGAGCGUAAAAUAUUCUUGUGUUUCUCAAAGUACGGAGCCACCAAGCUGGAAUUGGUCAGUACAGUGUGGUGUGCUUCAGUCAGAGAAUGGCCGUCCAUACAUAUCGUUGAUUUCCUUCCGAUCGUGCCUUUUCCACUUAGUCUCCCCUCGUGCCGCGAUCGAGGAAGACCAAUCGGCUUAAGGUCAGGAACAAAGUCAACACAAAACUCAAUUACCUCCUCAUUUCCAUAGCCCUUGGCGAUGCUUCCUUCUGGCCUAGCACGGUUACGAACAUAUUUCUUUAAUACUCCCAUGAACCUCUCGAAGGGGAACAUAUUGUGUAGAAAUACAGGACCGAGAACGAAAAUCUCUUCGACUAGGUGAACCAGGAGGUGCGUCAUAAUAUUGAAGAAGGAUGGCGGGAACACCAGCUCGAAACUGACAAGACAUUGGAUCACAUCGUUCUGUAACCGUGGUAGAACUUCUGGAUUGAUUACCUUCUGAGAGAUUGCAUUGAGGAAUGCACAUAGCUUCACAAUGGCUAGUCGAACAUUUUCCGGCAGGAGCCCCCUCAAAGCAAUCGGAAGCAAUUGCGUCAUAAUCACGUGGCAGUCGUGAGACUUCAGGUUUUGGAACUUUUUCUCCGCCAUGUUUAUUAUUCCCUUUAUAUUGGACGAGAAUCCAGACGGGACCUUCAUACUGCUCAGGCAUUCAAAAAAGAUGACCUUCUCUUCUUUGGUCAGAGCGUAGCUGGCACGACCUUGAAACCAUUCCGGAUGCCGGUCAUCAGGGUCUUUCAAACGUUGCUGGUCCUGCCGUGCUUCCUUUGUAUCAUUUGUCUUCCCAUACACGCCCAAGAAGCUUAGGAGGUUCACGCAAAUAUUCUUCGUAACGUGCAUCACGUCGAUUGCAGAGCGGACAUCUAGGACUUUCCAAUAUUCUAGCUCCCAGAAUAUAGAUUUCUUCUUCCACAUGGCUGCGUGCCCGUCAGCUCCCUUCGGAACUGAUUGUCCGCCAGGACCCUUUCCAAAGAUGACUUUCAAAUCCUUGACCAUAUCAAAUACCUCAGCACCAGUGCGUUCCGCAGGCUUCGGCCGGUGAUCUGCCUUGCCGUUGUAAUGCUUGCCUUUCUUUCUUACUGGAUGAAUUUUCGAAAGAAAUCGACGAUGCCCAAGGUACACGUUCUUCUUACAAUUUGGCAAAUGUACACUUUCAGUCUCAUGUAAGCAGUGCGUGCAUGCAUUGUAUCCCUUAUUUGACAGUCCCGAAAGGUUACUAAGAGCAGGCCAAUCGUUGAUGGUUACGAAAAGCAACGCUCGUAGGUCAAAUUCCUCUUGUUUGUGCUCAUCCCACACACGGACACCACCCCACAGCUGUAAAAGUUCAUCAACUAAUGGCCUUAGGUACACAUCGAUGUCGUUGCCGGGUUGCUUCGGACCUUGGAUGAGCACUGGCAUCAUAAUGAACUUCCGCUUCAUGCACAACCAAGGAGGAAGGUUGUAGAUGCAUAGAGUCACGGGCCAGGUGCUAUGGCUGGAGCUCUGCUCGCCAAAAGGAUUCAUGCCAUCCGUACUUAGAGCAAAUCUUAUGUUCCUUGCGUCAGCUGCAAAAUCUUUGAACCAUCUGUCGAUCUUUCUCCAUUGCGUUCCAUCUGCGGUGUGUCUCAACUCCCCGUCCGACUUACGGUCCUCUUUGUGCCAUCGCAACAACUUGGCAUGCUCUUUGUUCCUGAACAGACGUUUCAACCGUGGUAUUAUAGGAGCAUACCACAUCACCUUGGCGGGAACCCUCUUCCUGGGUUUCUGGCCCUCAACAUCGUCACCAGGGUCAUCGCCUCUGAUCUUAUAACGCAAUGCAGUGCAUACCGGGCAUUCAUUCAAAUUCUCGUAUUCACCGCGGUAGAGGAUGCAGUCGUUGAUGCAUGCAUGUAUCUUCAGAACCUCUAAACCUAGAGGGCAGACAACCUUCUUUGCUUCAUACGUACUGGUGGGCAACUCGUUAUCCUUUGGAAACAUAUUCUUCAACAUUUUCAGCAAGUUUUCAAAUGCCGAGUCAGCUACACCUGCCUCUGCCUUCCAUUUCAGCAAAUCCAGUGUGCAGCCCAGCUUUUUCAGACCAUCAUCGCAUCCGGGGUACAGCGCCUUUCUGUGAUCCUCUAACAUGCGAUCCAAAUUCUCCCUCUCCUUUUCAGUUUCGCAGCGUCUCCGUGCAUCAGCAAUGGUCCGACCAAGAUCAUCAACGGGAUCAUCACGUGCCUCUUCUUCACCUUCCCCUUCACCUUCAGCAUCCUCCAUGAAAGUAUCACCGAAAUGAGCAAGAUAGCUUUCAUCGAUGAAAUCAUCCCCUUCUUCAUCUUCUUCCAUUAUAACCCCUCUUUCUCCAUGCUUGGUCCAACAAUUAUAGCUUGGCAUGAAACCGUGCCGAAGCAGAUGCAUGUGAACAUCUCUUGAGGAAGAGUAACCCUUCUGAUUCUUACAGUUAACACAUGGACAGAUAACAAACCCCCCCCGCUUGUUCGCAUUAGCCACUACGAGGAAAUCUUUCAAACCCGAACUGAACUCGCCGGAGAGUCGGUUAACGUACAUCCAUUGCCGAUUCAUCUGUAUUAUUAUAAUAUAAAAUAUAUAAUUAACCAUCAUGCAUUUGUUAAACUAACUAGCUACAAACAAUAUAAAUUAAACAAUGAACUACACACAUGCAUAUUUUAUCAAUGACACAUCAAAGGUUCAUCAAGUUGCUAACCGCGAUCGAGGAGUGUGGCUCCAACACUUCAUGUCAUGUUUGUUUCAUGCUCUUGGGGCAUUUCAUCAAACACCUUAUGUGCAUAAGAGGAACCAAAAGCAACUAAGUGUGAAGAGAAUGGCUCUAAAUGGCUAAGUGUUGGCUGCUGGAUGGGUAUAUAUAGGGGAGGGGCUUUAGUUGCGGUUGGCCUGGCAAACCGUGACUAAAGGUGCCCGAAGGCCUUUAGUCGCGGUUGUCCUGGCCAACCGCGACUAAAGCCCCUCACGUGCACCAGCUGGCCACCGAGCGCCCUGGGCCCAGGCCUUUGGUCGCGGUUCACCUCCAGAACCGCGACUAAAGGUCCCAUUAGUCGCGGUUCCUACAGCUUCGCGACUUAUGGGGCUGGACGGAAGCCUGUUUUUCCACCAGUGUACAUUUGUUCUGGUUUACUAAUCAUGUUGAUAUUUAAGUCAUAUUUUGAUCAUGGUUUUAACUAACAUAAAACAUAAAUUAUACGUAGCAACAAUAAUACUGUUAGAAACUACAUUCAAAUACGAAUUCAACUGUCGUGGGUAUAAACCCGACAGUAGAUGUGUAGGGUACGAAUGAGAUAGGCAGAGUCCUAGCUACGGCGAGGUUGUAUGAGUUCAGGCCCCUCUACAGUGGAGGUAAUCGCCCUACGUCUCAGUGCUCUUGGAGCUUGUUACCGAGUGUAAUAUGGAGUACAAUGUUUUUCUAACCCUUUUACCAGUGGGGGAGGGCGGCUUAUAUAGAGUGCGCUGCCCUCCACAACGGUUCUGAUUCAAGGGUGGAGUAGUGGCGAUUGAAUGCAUGCGUUACAGGUAAUGUAUGCUAUAAAUGCUAGUUAAUGCACCCGGAAACGUACGGCAGUUUCCCUCCAGGGAGGUUACGAUGCACCGAGUGUAUCCAGUCGGUGGGUCCGGUGUCCUCCGAGUCUUAGUCUCCGACUGGAUGAUUCUGGGCCCGUUACCGACUGGAUGAUGGGGGCACCUUAAUACAGUCGGGCAUACUUAAGGUCCUGUCCCUUGUGUGGGGUAGUCCUUGGGUAGGACCUGUAGGACAGGCCUAUGACCCUACCCUAGGACUAUGACCCCAUCAUUAGUCCCCGAAUGGAUUGGGGUUGAAACGUCAAAGCAGUGCUCGAUGCUCAGAUCCGACUGGACUAGGUUCGGCUUGGGCGUUGCUUGCCUCUAUCCAUUCUAUCUCUCCUGGCCAAUGAUCCGAGUGAAUGUGUUCUGCGGUACGGACUGUCGGGAACCGAGUGCCUUCGCAGCAUCUUUUGACACGACCGGUCAACUGACAGCGGCGGAUUUUCCGGGAUCUCAAAUUUCGGGUUCCGCGCGCUUAGCGGGGACGACGUCAGUGCGCUCGAGUAGCGCCUGACUCCUCGAUCCUCGCGCCUUCAACUCUUCUGCCGAUAUCGCCGCGGCUGGUUGGGCGGAUAAGAUUUCGUGCCCGCUCGCCAGCGACCCAGUCGGUGUUCUAUUUAACUCUGGCCGACGAGACCCUUCAGUUACGCUCGCCGAAUUCUCUGCUCUUGCUUGCUCCGUCUUCCUCGCCACCUCUUGCGCUCGUACACCUUUCCCUUCCCAUCCUUCUCGAAAGCUUGCCAUCGCCGCCAUGACCAAGGGCCAGACCAGCAAGAUGGAGGCAAGGAAGAAGAAGGGCAAGGCGGCGGCUGCUCAGCGGCGGCAGCGGCCAUUGCCAGCGGGAUGGAUCCAGGGAGACUUUCUCCCCUCCACAGUGACGGAGGGGGACCUGCUGGAGCUGGUAGAGCACGGCCAGCUCGUGCAUAAAUCUUGGAGGUUGCCGACGGACGACGAGGUUGAGCGGGCGCCACAGGAGGGGGAGCGCGUCUUGCUCCUCAGCCACGUUCACCGAGGUUUCUCUCUACCCCCCACCCUUUAUUCAAGGGUAUCAUGAAUCAUUUUGGUGCACAACUCCAUCAUUUCCCUCCGAAUGCCAUCGUCCACCUUUCUGCCUUCAUCGUUUUAUGUGAAUGCUUUAUUGGUUGUCCUCCCCAUUGGGGUUUAUUCAAGCACAUCUUCUCCGCCCGCUCCCAAACCAUAAAACGCCUUAGUCAGUCGGAUGACAAGACGCAUCUCCUCCAGCUCUGCGGUGGUUUAGGGUUCCAAAAGAAGAGUCGGAGCAGCUACCCUGCUCUGCAGUUGAGUGAGUCGGUUAGAAACUGGCAGUCGACGUGGUUCUACUGCCAGGAUAUAGCCUGCCCGAACACGUCGACUGGGCUGGCUCCAUUUAGUCUAGACCGUCCUGCUCCGUCCAAGCAACUCGCCCUCUCGAAUACUGAGAAGAACGACAUCCAGCCUUUGGUCGAGGCACUCGUGGAUGUUGUCAGAAGGGGGGUCUCCGGCAUUGACCUGCUGGAAGUCUUCAUCGGUCGGCGGAUCCAGCCUCUACAAGCUCGCCACCACGCUAUGUGGCUCUACACAGGGCCUGAGGAUUCCACUCGGACCGUCGCGGUGGGCAUACUCGAGGAGAAGGUGACCUCGAUAGUGCUCCAAUUCACGGGACCUUGCGAGAACCCUAAAGGAGCUCGCCGAGUGGCGCCUUACAGCGCGGACAACCCGCCACCGAAUCAGGUGAGUAGCAUUAGCCGAAUAUAUCGAACUGUUUUGAUUUCAGUCGUUCAUUUAUAUCCUCGUGUGAUGCUUAAUGUUUCCGACUGAAUCUAAUGUAGGAAUGGACCAACUGGUCCUCCCCUGUCUCGAACGGGGAUCCGGAGGAGGAGGAGGAAGAAGGUAGCCAGGAGGGGAGCGUGGAGAGCGCUGAAGAUGUCUCCGACAGCAGGGAGUCGGAGGAGGAGGACAGCGAGGAGGAGGAAGAAGACGAAGAGCGCGACUCGCUGCCCCCACCGCCAGAACAGCGGAGUAAGCGGCGACAUGAGCCUGUCGUCCCUUCGGCUCCCCCCGCGUUGUCGAGUGCUCUACCUACCGCUCCGGCGGUCCCGAGUGCUCGAGGCACGAAGAGGUCCAGGGACGCCCCCGCUGAGCCUGCAGGCCAAUCUCCCAGGGCGCCCAAACCGAGUGGGCCCAAACCUCGGAGGGCUCUGCCGCGCAUGAGGGUUGCCAUCCCCGUCACAUCCACGUAAACGAAUCCAACUCUCGGCUUUUUAUGUUAUCCGAGUGAACUCCCGCUUUACAAGUCGAAUGGGCUUCACUUGACAGGGUCGCCACUUCUACAACCUCUCCGGUCCGCCAAGGGGAUGAACCCAUGGACACAGACAACGUCGUCUCGUCCCAGCCGGGUAUGUUGUAGGAGAGUCGGGUGUUUUAUUCCCGUAGACUGUACUAUCCUUUUCUUUUUCUGAAUCGUCAUGCUAUUCGGCUUGUCAGGGGCGAUUCACCCGGACGAAGACGGGCAAGGGAGAGCCGACCCGGCUGCGGAGCCUGUCGUGGAGCCUGUCCUUGAGGCUGCUCCUCCUGCUGCUGCCCCUGCCGCCGACGCUCCGCCGACUGAAGUGCCUCCACCGACCGAACCAGUGCCGGUGGGCGACGAACUGGCUGGGGCGAAUCUUGGGAUGCCCCAGGAUCUUCCCACGAUUCCCGGUUCGUCGAAUGUUGAAUUCAGCAUUCGGUGUGUCCCAGAGGAGCAGGUGGGAGCGGCCAAGGGAGCCAUGGUCCAAGCGGAGCUGAUGACCGGGGAGGCCAAGAAGGCUUAUGACUCCGUUGCGGCUUUGUACCAGCGGAGCUUGGAGCUGCGCGACGACAUCCGAGUAAGUAGUCUAGUAAGUACUUACUUUUCUUUUGUAACCCACUGGGUGUUGUCGUAGUCUGUUGUUUGCAAUGGGUUCACUCCGAGUGAACCCAGUGGGUGUAGUCCCCGAGACUUCUGUCGAGUGCUUGCACUGACAGUUGUCUUUAUACAUUUGGUCUUUUAUUUUUGUCGUGUCCGUAGACAAGAUUUCUGAGUGCAAGUACUAACUGCAGUCGGAGCACUCUUGCGGUGAGAGUUCCCUAGAGUAAACUGCACACACGUGGAGUAGCUUUAGCCUCGGAAGCGUAGGUGAAAACGUGCAUCUCAAUAGGGCAGACCUGCUUGAGGUGCAUGCCAGUGGGGUCACUCUUAGUGACCCACUGGGUGUAGUCCCCGAGACCGCUGUCGACUGCUUGCGUCGGCAGGGGUCUGAAAAACUUAGUGUGUGAACUGAUAAACUUGCUGACCGCCCUUUGUUUGUUUUGUAGAAAACUUGUGAUAUGGGGAGCGCUUAUGAAGCCUUGAGGGCUGAGAAGAACCAAUAUGCUGGUGAACUAGAAGCCGCAACGCUCGCCAUGGCUGGCAUGAAGAACGCUCUGGAAGUUCGAGAGAAAUCCUUGGAGGAGGCAUUGGAGGCAAACAGGGCGUUGGUGGCGGAGGUGGAGAGGCUGAAGAAAUAGAGGACCGAAGUGUACGAUCAAAUGGCUGCUCGGAACAAACGAUGGACAGCUCAGGAGAAGUAUGUGAACGACUGGGCUGUCCAGAUGAUGAGUCGUCUGGCUGGUAAGUCUGAUGAUUUGUCGAGUGGUUGUAUCUUGUGACGAACACUAGGUUUGUAAUUUCUAUUUGCUUGUUUGUUGCAGAUUUUUGUGGUGACGCCGAAGCUGAAGCGGCGGCCGUGGAACGAUCCAUGAAGGACAAUGUACCACUCAGUGAGGACGCCAACCGGAAUCUACUCCGGGCUCAUAUCCGCGUAGGCAAAGUGGGUCCGUUCAUCAACCGACUGAAAGAAAUCUUCGGCCGCAUUGAGAAGGAGCUUUGGCCGGAAGACGAGUCGCGGGAGAAGAUGGAGACUCUGUUGGGGCGACUGGGGGAGAUUCCGGCCCGAGUGCAAUCUUGGAAGAAAUCGGCAGCGCGUUGCGGUGUUGAUGUGGCGCUGUCCUUGGUCCGAGUCCAUUGCAAAGAAGUGCGGGAAGAUAAGCUGAAAGCCUUGAAAGUCGCCAACACGAAGAAGCUUCAAUUCAAAGACUUCAUGGAGACAUUCCUGGAGACUGUGACCCGCAUUGCUGAUGGAAUCGACCUAGAUACCUUUGUGGAACCCUCCAGUCCUGACGCGGGCCCAGCUGACUCAUGAUCGAACUUUAUCCUCGGUAUGCCGAGUGUUUGCCUGUACGAUAUUCUGGCCACUCCUGUUGGCCGUCAUACUUUUAGAUCGGUGCGGGUAAGCUUGAUCCGCACCGAAUCCGUUAUCGUUUCUAGACUGCUGGUAGUCGCAAUGAAAACACUUAUUCUUUUGCUUGAAUGCUAUUUGGAGUUGAACACUUAAUGUGUACUCGUAGAAUAUUAGGACUUAGGUGAUUCAUGAUCAGUGCUAAGUUCCCGAGUGUAACGUAUAGUGUACAUUCGGAGGAGGCUAGUACUUAGAUGAUUCUUGAUCAUAACUCAGACUCCGAGUGGAACGUAUAGUGCACACUCGGAGGAAGGUAUUACUUAGGCGAAUCGGGAUCGCAGCUAAGUCUCCGAGUGCGACGUAUAGUGCACACUCGGAGGAGCGAUCAGUACUUAGGCGAUGCAGGAUCGCAGCUAAGUCCUCGAGUGUGACGUGAAGUGCACACUCAAAGGAAGAUUAGUACUUAGGCGAUGCAGGAUCGUAGCUAAGUCCCCGAGUGUGAUGUGAAGUGCACACUAGGAGAAGUUAAUACUUAGUCGAUGCAGGAUCGCAGCUAAGUCCCCGAGUGCGACGUAAAGUGCACACUCGGAGGAAGUUAAUACUUAGGCGAUGCAGGAUCGCAGCUAAGUCCCCGAUGUGAUGUGAAGUGCACACUCGAAGGAAGAUUAGUACUUAGACGAUGCGUGAUCGCAGCUAAGUCCCCGAGUGUGGCGUAAAGUGUACACUUGGAGGAAGUUAAUACUUAGGCGAUGCAGGAUCGCAGCUAAGCCCCCGAGUGCGACGUGAAGUGCACACUCGGAGAUAGUUAAUACUUAGGCGAUGCAGGAUCGCAGCUAAGCCCCCGAGUGCGACGUGAAGUGCACACUCGGAGAUAGGUGUUACUUAGACGAUUCAGGAUCGCAGCUAAGUUUUUUUUUGUGACCGUAAUCUGCAACCACGGAAGGACUCUGAAUCUGCAAAAGAAAUUGAAUCUGCUGUAUAUUAUUUCUCCAAAACUUGUUCGUUACACUGCUUCAGUCGGCGAUCACGUAUAAAAACGCUUGAGGAGGUCUCCGUUCCACGCGCGGGGUUCGUCGGUCUCCUUCUGAAUGUUGUAGAGUCUGUAUGCUCCGUUGUUCAGCACCUUUGAAAUGAUGAAAGGACCUUCCCAGGCCGGAGCCAACUUGUGUGGUCUUUGCUGAUCCACUCGGAGCACCAAAUCGCCGGCCUGGAACGUGCGGCUUCUGACAUGUCGUGCGUGAAAACGUCGCAGAUUUUGCUGAAAAAUUGUUGAGCGAGUAAGUGCCAUCUCGCGCUCCUCCUCUAGAAGAUCGACUCCAUCUUGCCUUGCUUGUUCUGCUUCGGCUUCAGAGAAGAGUUCGACUCGCGGGGCAUUGUGAAGCAGGUCACUCGGAAGGACCGCUUCUGCUCCAUAGACGAGGAAGAACGGUGAACGCCAUGUUGAUCUGUUCGGAGUGGUGCGGAGGCCCCAAAGUACUGAAGGUAACUCGAUUACCCAUGCACCAGCAGCAUGUCCUAUCUCUCGCCAGAGCCGAGGCUUCAAACCUUGAAGGAUAAGUCCAUUUGCACGCUCAGCUUGUCCAUUGGAUUGCGGAUGUGCUACGGAAGCAAAAUCCACUCGGAUACCUUGACUCGCGCAGAAACCUUUGAAUCUGUCCGAGUCGAAGUUUGUCCCAUUGUCCGUGAUUAUGCUGUGAGGCACUCCGAAUCUGUAGAUGAUGUCUCUGACAAACUUCACGGCUGUGGAGGCGUCGAGUUUCUUGAUGGGCUUGGCUUCUAUCCACUUUGUAAACUUGUCGACUGUCACCAACAGAUGUGUGUAGCCUCCUUGGCCUGUCUUGAAUGGUCCGACUGUGUCUAAUCCCCAAACUACAAACGGCCACACAAGUGGGAUUGUCUUUAGUGCAGAUGUUGGCUUGUGGGACUUGUUGGAGUAGAACUGACAGCCUUCGCAUCGAUCGACCAUAGCUUUGGCCAUUUCGUUAGCCUGCAGCCAGAAGAAUCCAGCCCUGAACGCCUUGGCGACGAUUGCUCUUGAAGAAGCAUGAUGGCCGCAGGUUCCCGAGUGGAUAUCCUCUAGGAUCAACUGCCCUUCCUCUGGGGAAAUGCAACGUUGGAGAACGCGUGAAACACUCUCCUUAUACAAUUGACCGUCAAUGACAGUGAACGCCUUCGACCUGCGAACUAUUUGUUGGGCUUGGACUUCAUCUUCUGGAAGUUCUUGCCUUAGGAUAUAUGCCAUAAUCGGCACAGUCCAAUCGGGAAUGAUUACCAGAAUCUCUGUGACCAGAUCAACCAUAGCAGGCACAUCGACUUCAGUCGGGUCUGUUGCGCUCUUGGGUUGUACUGGCUCUUCCGUGAAGGGAUCUUCUUUGACUGAAGGAAGAUGGAGGUGCUCGAGGCAGACAUCACUCGGGACGGGUCUCCGAGUGGAUCAGAGCUUCGCCAACUCGUCCGCCGCUUGGUUCUUUAGUCUUGGAACAUGAUGAAGUUCUAGACCUUCAAACUUCUUCUCCAGCUUCCUGACUGCAUUGCAGUAGGUUGUCAUAGUGGGGUUCCUUACGUCCCACUCUUUCAUCACUUGGUUGACCACCAAGUCUGAAUCGCCGUAGACCAUCAGGCAACGGACGCCGAGUGAGAGGGCCAUGCGCAAUCCGUAGAGAAGAGCUUCAUACUCUGCCUCAUUGUUAGAGGAAUCAAAGUGUAUCUGAAGCACAUACUUGAGCUUGUCACCCUUUGGUGAUACGAUCACAACACCAGCGCCGGAUCCAUUCAACAUCUUAGACCCAUCGAAGAACAUUGUCCAAUGAGCCGAGUAGAUGUGAGUCGGUUGCUGUUGUUCUACCCAUUCUACUAUAAAGUCAGCCAGGGCUUGAGACUUAAUAGCUUUCUUGGCCUCGAACUUGAUGUCGCAGUACAGCAUCUCCAUCGCCCACUUCGCCACUCGGCCUGAUGCGUCCCGAUUGUGGAGAAUUUCCGACAACGGAGCAUCAGAAACGACAGAUACCGAGUGGUCUUGAAAAUAAUGAGCCACCUUCUUUGCAGUCAUAAAGAUCCCAUAGAUAAGCUUUUGAUAAUGGGGAUACCUCUGCUUGGAAGGUGUCAGGACUUCGGAGGCGUAGUACACUGGCCGCUGAACUUUGUAUGCUUUGCCUUCUUCUUCUCGCUCGACUGUAAGAACAGUACUGACCACUUGAUUUGUAGCCGCGAUAUAUAGAAGAAGGGGCUCUUUACUGAGUGGAGCAGUAAGAACCGGCUGGGUGGAAAGUAGGACUUUGAGGUCGUCGAACGCGACUUGGGCUUCGUCUGUCCACUCGAAGGUAUCUGAUUUCUUCAUGAGUCGGUACAGAGGAAGUGCUUUUUCGCCGAGUCGACUGAUGAACCUGCUCAAAGCUGCUAAGCAACCUAUGAGUUGUUGAACAUCGUGUAUUCUGACCGGCCUCUCCAUUCGGACGAUGGUCCCGAUCUUUUCGGGGUUAACAUCGAUCCCUCGUUCGGAAACGAAGAAACCGAGUAACUUUCCGAUGGGAACACCGAAUGAACACUUGGCAGGAUUUAGCUUGAUAUCGUACCUACGAAGGUUGGCGAAUGUUUCCGCCAAGUCAGUCAGCAGGUCGGAACCUUUGCGGGACUUGACUACGAUAUCAUCCAUGUAUGCCUCCACAUUGCGACCGAUCUGGUCGAGGAGACAUUUUUGGAUCAUGCGCAUAAAGGUACCUCCUGCAUUCUUCAGACCGAAAGGCAUGGUGAUGUAGCAGAAGCACCCAAACGGGGUGAUGAAAGUUGUUUCCAACUCAUCGGGACCAUACAGACGGAUCUGAUGAUAACCCGAGUAGGCAUCAAGAAAUGAUAAACGCUCGCACCCCGCAGUCGAAUCGACAAUUUGAUCUAUGCGGGGGAGCGAAAAAUGGUCUUUCGGGCAGACCUUAUUGAGGUGCUUGAAGUCAAUGCACAUUCGGAGUGACUUGUCCUUCUUGGGCACCAUGACUACAUUGGCGAGCCACUCGGAGUGGUGAACCUCGCGAAUGAAUCUGGCAGCUAGCAGCUUAGCCACCUCUUCUCCGAUUGCCUUCCUUUUGUGCGCGGCGGACCGGCGCAGGCGCUCUCGGACGGGCCGAGCAGCGGGAUCCACAUGCAGUCGGUGCUCAGCCAACUCCCUAGGUACACCCGGCAUGUUAGAUGGCUUCCAUGCGAAGAUGUCCCAGUUCUCACGGAGGAAUUGGGUGAGCUCGACUUCCUAUUUGGGAUCCAGGGUGGUGGAGAUGUUCGUCGGGGCGGCAGACUCGUCCGUCGGGUGGAUGCUGACCUUCUUAGUCUCUCCUGCCGACUGGAACGCGGACUCAGAAGCUGGCUUCUUUGAGCGCAUUAAGUCGGCGGGGUCGACUGUCUUCUUGUACUCUUCGAGCUCGAGUACAGCCAUCUGCUGGUCGGCGAUCCUCGACCCCUCUUGCAGACACUCCUCGGCUCGCUGGCGGUUGCCGGUGAUGGUGAUAACGCCUUUUGGACCGGGCAUUUUCAACUUCAAGUACACAUAACACGGUCGUGCCAUGAAACUCACAUAUGCCGGGCGGCCCAGAAUUGCAUGGUAAGCGCUCUGGAAGUCCACCACCUCAAACGUGAGCUUCUCCUUGCGAAAGUUCUUGUCGGAGCCGAAGAUGACCUCCAAUGCGAUCUGGCUGAGUGAUUUGGCCUUCCGCCCUGGCACGACUCAGUGGAACUGCAUAUUGCUCUCGCUGAGUCUGGACAUCGGAAUGCCCAUCCCCUUGAGGGUGUCGCGUACAUAAUAUUCAACCCGCUGCCGCCGUCCAUUAGGACUUUGCGCAGUCGGACUCCUUCCACCACCGGGUCGACGACCAGAGCCUGCCUUCCUGGGGUGGGGACAUGUGUUGGAUGAUCCGACUGAUCGAAGGUAAUCGCAGUCUGAGACCAUUUGAGAAACUUGGGGGCAGUCGGAACGGCCAUGUUGACUUCUCUGUUCACUAGCUUCAGUCGACUCUUGCUUUCAACGUCAGCGAAGAUCAUGAGGGUUGCAUGGACUUGGGGGAACGGAUCCUCCUUGUCCUCCUCAUCCUGUUCAGGAUUCUUCUCACUCGGCUGUCCUUCGCUGAAACCCUGGAUCAGGAGACGGCACUGCCGAGUGGUGUGCUUUGCGUAUAUGGGUUUACCUUCCUCAUCCAUCUUCGUAUGGACUGGACAAGGCUGGUCCAGGAUGAGAUUGUUGAAAGGCUUUUUCUUGGGGGUGAACUGCGCUUUCCCUUUGCCCUUGAAUUUGGCGCUGGUGACAGCUGCAGCUUCUGUUUGCGGUGUGGGCGGAACCUUCGGUUUCUGCUUCCGAGUGUUACCUCCGUCGGCAUCGCCGACUGUCUUGUGUUUACCGCUCCGGAUGCGGUCCUCUUCUUCGCCAUUUGCAUAACGAGUUGCUAUCUCCAUCAUCUUGCUCAUGGAGAUGUCUCCGGUUCAACCAAACUUCAAGUACAGCUCCCUGUAUCGCACGCCUGCCUUGAAGGCGCAGACUGCUUGAUGCUCGGUGACGUUCUCCACCGUGUGGUAAAGAGUCGUCCAUCGCUGAAUGAAGUCGCGCAAGGGCUCAUUCGGCUUCUGGACACAGUGCUGAAGCUCCACAAGACCUGCAGGGCGCUUGCACGUUCCUUCGAAGGUUCUGAUGAACACUCGGGCUAGAUCUGCCCAACUGUAAAUGCUUGAGGGGGCCAACUGGUUCAGCCAAGCUCGGGCCGAGCCGUCGAGCAUCAGAGGGAGGUGCUUCAUAGCGACAUGGUCGUCUCCUCCUCCGAUCUGGACCGCCACUCGGUAGUCGUCGAGCCAUGUUUCGAGCUUGGACUCUCCUGAGAAUUUACCGAUUCCCGCAGCCAAUCGGAACUUGGGCAGGAUAUCAGCCGAGCGGAUGGCUCGACUAAAACACUCGGGGCCAGAUACGAUGGCCCUGCUUCCACUCGGACGGUCCAUAUCGCGGCCAUCAUGGUGGGCUCGACCCCUGUCGACUCUUCGCUGAGCGAUUCGGCCCCUUGCGUCGGGUCUUGGGUCGUAAGUGUCGCCGACUGAAUGCCGAUCAUCAUGAUGCCGGGACCCGCAGGGCCCACCCCGCGGAGGGGUCCGUGAGCGACGACGAUACUGAUGAGAUCCAGGGCUGUGAACCGAUCUAUGCGUGUUUGCAUGGAUGGAACUAUUGUGGAUCCGAUUGUGUGACUGGGAGACUGCCGAAUUCUGCUGUUGCGCUCAAUUCCCCUUCCUGCCUCUGAAUCAGUCGGCUGGAGGGAAUCGGCAAUCUGCGCAGCCGCGGCCAGGUUGAGGAGAGGUGUGCGGAACACCUCCACGUUGCUUCGCCGAGUGUGUCGGCUGGCAGAACGACGAGGCGGACGACGCGCACCGGAUGCUUCGCCAACUUCACCUCGGUCGGCUUGACGAGGAUCUUCAUGGGAGUUGGCCAUGUGUACUUCUGCUGCAGGCCCACGGCCCACGUACUCGGUAUGAAGCUCAGUCGGAACCGAGUCCGAGCACUGGGAGCGUGGGGCAACUACAACAGACUCCAGAACUGCCACCUGAGAGGACGCGAUCUGGCGCGCUCGGGCAUGCUGCACCCAACGUUGGAGACGCGGAUUGCGGGACCGCUUACUACGGCGAGUGACGAGGGUGUAAUCCAGAAAUGGAGCCGAUUGCUGGAGAAGAAGAACGCCGCGAGCGCCGGCACGGAAGUGCGUGGCCCCGCGACGGGGAAGCGCCUUGACGUCAAGGGGUGCCUCCCGACGCCACGCCGAAUCGUCGACGACGAAGGAGAGAGCACCGAAGAGGAUCUGGUGACCCAUGCUCGAAACUCCACCGGACGACAUGACGAAAGGAAGUAGUCGCAAACUCGCCGGAAGUCGCUUAGACGCCUGCCCCACGGUGGGCGCCAACUGUCGUGGGUAUAAACCUGACAGUAGAUGUGUAGGGUACGAAUGAGAUGGGCAGAGUCCUAGCUACGGCGAGGUUGUAUGAGUUCAUGCCCCUCUAUGGUGGAGGUAAUAGCCCUACGUCUCAGUGCUCUUGGAGCUUGUUACCAAGUGUAAUAUGGAGUACAAUGUUUUUCUAACCAUUUUACCAGUGGGGGAGGGCGGCUUAUAUAGAGUGCGCUGCCCUCCACAACGGUUCUGAUUCAAGGGUGGAGUAGUGGCGAUUGAAUGCAUGCGUUACAGAUAACGUAUGCUAUAAAUGCUAGUUAAUGCAUCCGGAAAUGUACGGCAGUUCCCUCCAGGGAGGUUACGACGCAUCGAGUGUAUCCAGUCGGUGGGUCCGGUGUCCUCCGAGUCUUAGUCUCCGACUGGAUGAUUCUGGGCCCGUUACCGACUGGAUGAUGGGGGCACCUUAAUACAGUCGGGCAUACUUAAGGUCAUGUCCUUUGCGUGGGGUAGUCCUUGGAUAGGACCUGUAGGACAGGCCUAUGACCCUACCCUAGGACUAUGACCCCAUCAUCAACAAUAUAAACUUUUAUAACAUACAUUUACAUUUUGCUAGUCAUAUAUAUAACCAAUUAACUAAAAUUACUGUUUCAGAAAAAUAACUAAAAAUAAAAUAGGGCUCAUAUAUAUGAUGAAAGCAGUUUGUCAUUUAUUUCCUCUUGGUUUGAUUUUGCAGUACAGGGACACCACCGAAGCGAUCGUGGACGCGACACGCACCAUCCUGCAGCAGUGCGAGCGGGCCAAGACGGUGAUGCGUGUCAUCCACACGGGCUCUGUUGUCGCGGCCUCGCCGCUCCGAGCUGACGGCAAUGGAUACAAAGAGUCUGUCGACGAAUCCUGCUGGACCCCACUCGGCCUGUCCUACGGCCACAGCAAUGAUGGCUUGGAUGUGAGCGCUUCUAAUUCCUGCUCGAGGCCCCGACAAGGCCAUGCACAACUCAUUCGAAUCAUUACUGAAAAAAAGGCUUUCGCUUUACUUAUAUAUAAAGCAAACCAUCAGACCAAAAGUACAAGCACGAGCUCAAAUUCAGACAAACAUACACCCCUAAGAUAGCACGGCAUCGAGUACGAAGGGUUUUGCUGAGGACAUAGCUCAACAAACCCUAAAAACAAAAUAAGACGAAGAGGCCGCAAUAGAAGCAUCUAAUCUAGCUCUGGAGAUGGUGGUGGAGACGGCGGCGCCAAGCGGAAGGCCAUCGUUCGAAAAUCUUUGACUCAUUCAACUCAUCGUGUAAAUCUAGCCAUGUGGGGUUCAUUACACUUCGUUACAUGAGCAUGUGAGUAAUGGACAAUCACAUGUGAACCCUGCAUAUCAGAUUUAACAAAGAAAUAAUGCAGCGCCAUUGUGACUACAACAAGAAAGAAAAUCUUCUUAAACACAUUUGGUUGACAUAAAUACUCCCUAUUUAACUUAAUAUAAAAUGUUUUUUUUGACUCUGUCAUGGACUCUAAAAAUGUCUUGUACGAAGCUACGGUUAAACUAUGUAAUAAAGAUUUUAACCAUGAGGGGCAUCUUAAGUUUACACCAAAAUAGCAUACGAAAAACGUGGUUGUCAUUCCUAAUGUGGUAGCGCAUUGAUUUGACCAUAAAGUAACCCUAACUGUGGGGUUUCCUACAAACUACAUCCGAGAUAAAUCGAGUGUCAUCAAGCACUGCACCAAGUGAAUCUAGGACAUCAAACCCUACUCAAAACCCGUUAAAAAUAACAUUCAGGCCUUGCUUGGAUUGUCGGUUAGCUUCUAAAUACAUCCGUAAAAGUUACGGACCUAAAGCUGUUCUUUCUUGUUCUUGGCAAAAAUCAAGCGCGAUCGAUAAUAUACACCUGUAAAUAGAAUUCGGGUGUACUACACCCAUACCAAGCGGGACCUCAAUGGUAUAGUAACGAAAACAUCUGCCAUACUGACAUGUUUUUGCUUGGUAUAUUGUGCAAGGUAAGGUACUCCUUGUGUAGAGUCUUACUCCACAGUCAUCUAUCCUUCCAAAACUAAGUAUACGAACCAAACUCCCAACCGUGAAAGCAACACACCACAAAAAUCUCUUCUCCAAACUAACUGUAGGCCUUUGUUUUAGAAAGGAAAGUCUGAUGAUCUUACCGUAACCUACGAAAGCGGUUGUGAGUGGAUAUACUUAGAGAGAAUUCCUUAUUUAACAUUGUAUUUAAAUUUUAUGCCCUAUUUAACAUCGGUAAAUGAUUUCUUCCCUAUAUAACAAUGAGUUUAAAUUGUAUGCCUUCUAUAACUUUUUUGUCCAUUUUAAACCUAAGUGACAUUUUAAAAGAUUGUCUUACCCCUCAUGUGGUAUGCUUGUGUGGGUGUUGUUGCGUGCCCCCCCCCCGCACACGCGUGUGCAAGUUAUGUGUGUGGGUGCUGUUUCAUGUGUGUUGUUGCGUGUUUGUGUGCGCACGUAUGUGCGCGCGUGUGUGUAUGCACGCACGUGUGUGUGCUGCUGCUUGUGUACGUGUGUGCUGCGUGUGUUGUUGCUGUUGUUUGUGUUGUUACGUGUGUGUUUGCUCCGUGUGGCACGCGCGCACACAUGUGUGUUGUUUGCGUGUGUGUUGUUACAUGUGUGCGCGUGUGUGUUAUUGCUGCUGUGUGUGCUGUCACGUGUGUGUCUGUUGUGUGUGUGCGCGCCGUGUGUAUGUUGUGUACGUGUGUGCGUGUGCGCGCGUGUGUGNNNNNNNNNNNNNNNNNNNNNNNNNNNNNNNNNNNNNNNNNACGUGUGUGUAUGUGUUUGUUGUGUCGGUAUGUGUUGAUGUGCGGUUGCGUGCGGGCUAUUGUCGUAAUUGCCUCGUACUGACGUUGUGUGUUGUUGUCCCGCACACACAUAUUACAUGAGGGGCAAAAUGAUCUUUUCAGGUGUUAUUUAGGCUUAAAAUGAAUCAAAAUGUUAUAAAGGACAUAAAAUUUAGACUCGUUGUUAAAUAGGGAAGAUUUUUUUUCAGUGUUAAAUAAGGUAACGAAAUUUAAGAUGGUGUUAAAUAUAGAAUUCUCUCAUAUACUUACUGUGUAGUGAGUCUUGUCACACCCGGCAUAAUUUAACCACUUGAAAAAAUAUUUUGUUAUAAAAUAUAUUUGUAAUCCUCAUAUCGUCCACACCCAACCCUCCUUGGUCUUCAUGUUGACUUGUGUUUUCUACAGGCUUAUGUCUCCUCCAAGACCAUCUCUGAGGAGGAAUUACUCAAGUACAACGAUGACUUCUCCAAGCGCAGAGCAUUCGACGUUGUUGUCUUGUUAUGCGGCGUCGUGGGAGGAGACACAAUCCUGCCAUACAUCAGCGACAGCAUCCAUGUCAUGUUGUCGCCUCUAACCGGCGUCGAGGUCUACCACAACUCCCUCAAGUUCCUACAGGCCCUCCUCGGCUUCGUACCAUUGGUACACGUCGAUGACGUCUGCGAGGCACACGUCUUUUGCAUGGAGAAGUUGUCCGAUGUUGCUGCGGGCCGAUACCUUUGCGCCACCGCGCACACCAACAUGCAGGACAUCUUGGAGCACUACGUCUGCAAGCACCUCGAGCUCGAGCGGAUCAAAGAGUACGUUCUUGAACAAAAUGCCAUACUUUGAUUAUCUCUUACGUGGAGCUUUGUGUGAUAAAAAAUAUGUGUCUGUGUACUGUUAGGGUGGUGGGAGAGGGAGUGCGAGUGCAGGCUAACACAAAGAAGCUUGUGGAGCUGGGGUUCAAGUAUAAGUAUGGAGCAAUGGAGGUGCUUGAUGGCAGCGUGGAUUGCGGGAAGAGAUUGGGAUUGUUGUGAUGUGCAUGUGCAUCACAUUGACCGUGUGCUAGCAAACAUUUGACAAUCCAACAUUAUAUAUGUAAAACUUAUUUAUUUGGAUUUUUUUCUUGAAAUAUGUUGACUUUGUUGCUAUUUUUAUCAUUAUUUUUGGAUUCCUGUCGUGAAUUUUUCAUGUUAAGAGCACAAAGAAACAUAUGUGGAAAGCGUACAUAUACAAAUGGGUGUCGACUUCUUCUCUUUAUAGUUCGAUUAUCACAAUGUUAAGGGUGUAUAUAAAGUUGGGUAGCCCUUCCUGUUAAUAUAUUGUUUAAAACUCAUGCAACUUAUUGUGUCCUUUUACGAUAUUGCGCUAGCUUUUUCAUAUACUUGUAAUGUGUACAAUCGGGAUGGUCUAGUUGUAGCUUUUGGCGUCGUGUGUUUGGCUUCUUGUGAUUUUUCUUGAAACUUGGUGUGGUUGUUGUGCCUUAUUUACGGUUAACUUGGGUUGGUGCCAUGACUUUUGUAUCUCAAGUCUUAUAUGAUACGUAUAGAGAAAGUAGGCGUUUUGGUGACCGAGCUCCAUGAAGGCCGAAAUUUAGAAAAAAAUCAAAAAUCCAAACUUUUCAGUUUCUAUUUUUUUGAAAAAAUAUAUGUGUAAAAUUUCACAAUGAAGUACUUUGAAUCGCAAUCUGGGUAAAAAAAUCAUGAACUUUGAGGAACAAACUGUACACAUGUUCAACAACCAGAUAAUUUGUUUAUUUUUACACAACCCUCAUUUCAACGGAUUCCAUCAUGAAAUUUUACACACAAUUACAUUAUAUCACUAGGUAUAUGUGUAUUGUUUUUGAAUAUUUUGAAAGAUAAAAGUUUUAGUUUUGGUAUAUAUUUUUUCAAAAUCCGGCCUCCAUGAAGCUCAUCCUCCAUUCAGAAUUUUCAGAAAGCAUACAUAUAUAUAGUGGUGUGGUAUCUUCUCCUUAUGCUGACAAAUUAUUUUGGACCAGUCACUUUGUAUGUUAGUCAUGGAAUUUAAUCCAUCAAGUGGUUAACUCUUUAUCUAAGGAAAAGUGACCAAACUAUCAAUUCAAGUUGUCAAGUGGACGGCCCAAAAGAGAAGACAACCCGAUCAAUAAAUGUGAAACGUAAGCAAGAUUGGCAAAAUAGUAAUGUAGCAUAAUUCAUUGUAUUAAUUUUAUUUACUACUUGUCUGAACAAUAUAAUAGACCAAACUCAAGAAUGCAGCAUGUGGUAGCAGAAGGAAUAUUAAUGAAAAAAAUCAAAAAGAAAGAGGGACAAGUUUCGGUUUGCUUCUAAAGAAGAUUAAAUUUCUAUGAGUGGUGUUCCCUGACAAAAAAAACUGAACAUCAACAAAAGUAAAGAAAAAAAAUCAAGGAAAAAUAAUUACGGGACUGAUUUGAUCGCAAAUUAAGAAACAAGAAAUAAUUUUAAAAAAAUAUUAUAAAACUAUGACUAGAAUAACAAAUUAGAAAAAUUUAUUGUUGAACUCUUCCUCUAUAUAUGGAGGAAAUAAAAUAUAUUGAGAACUUGCACAUAAAUUACACAGAACUAACAUUUUUUCAUAUUGUGCAAGAGCAAGUGCAAACUAGUGUGACUUCAAUAAUAAUUGUAAUUUUAGUAUAUCAACCAAAAAUCUAUCUUGAUUUCCUAACAUAAAAUUAUAUAAUGUCGCUUGCACCNUUAAUGAAUUACCAAAUGUAUUCUAUUUUAAGUUUUGAAGUAGUGCUACAUGGUGGCAUCAUGAAACCGCUGCCAUAUGCAUGCACAAGUCAAAGAGAAAAUCCAGCAAUCGAAAAAUCAAACUAAGCAAGUACAACACAAACGGGUUCCACAAACAUUUGCACACUCGAAAAAACUAAAAUAAAUUACUAAUCAAAGGUUUAAUGAAUUAAAAACAUUAGUAUUAUCUUAAAAAAUGAAGGAAAUUUAAAAUUAUGAUUUGAUCAAUUACAAAAAUGAGGCUCAUUUCAAGUUAUUAACACAAAAUGAUGUACUCCCACGGGAUUGCAACAUCAAACUUUUGACGCGUGCACAAAUAAAAGAGAGACCCCAGCAUGCAAAAAAUCAACUAGGGAUAUGUUUUUGGAUCCAGAAGGAUUAUUAUAAGCCAGAGAAAAACAUAAAUUAAAACCAAUAUUAUUCUAAGGCAGAAUGUAUUAAAGGCAGUGGUAUUAUCCUAAAGAAUACAUAAAAUUAAGCAAUGAUAUCACGUAAAUGAUGAAGAAAAAUGCAUACACGUCUUUUAGAAUUUGUGUUGUUCUACAAUAUUGAAGAACAAUUAGUAAUAGUGUCACUUUAAGACAACAAUGUGAUUUUGCACGUAUAUAUAUAUACUUUGUAUUAUACAUCCAUGUCACACUCAAGGUCUAAGUAACAAAACGAAAAUGAGAACGACUCGCAUUCAUAUUUGCAAACUCGACCGUUGUUUUCUAUGCUUUAUUGACUGGGUUAUCAUCCAUGAAAAAGGUGUGCUAAUAGGUUGGGCCAACUCAUAAGACUACUACAAACCAACCACCAAUACAUUUUUCUACUUAUUUGCUAUUAUAGAUAGAACAUGACAGAAAAAGAAAAUGAAAAUAUACAGUCACGAUAAAGAGAACAUGCACGCACAAAAAAUGUAGAUAGAUAAAAAAAUAUUGUUCUAAUGAAGAAUGAAUUAACAGCUUAUGUAUUACCCUAUAAAAGAAUGAAAAUGAAGUGAAAAAUAUUAAAUCAGAUAAAUUCACACAUAUUACAUAUAUCUUGCAUUGCUUUAAGUAGGCAAGAGCAAGCCCAUGAUGGUGCAACUUUUCAGAGAACAAUAUUAUUAGCACACCAAUUACAAAUAAUUUGCAUAUUACAUUUGUGUUAUACUUGGACUUAAUGCUUAAAUAAAAAACAAUGAAAAUUAACCGUCUCUCAACAUGUGAAAAAGAAAUUGCAUCUGAUAUCAAUGGUGCCAUGUCCCUUAACAUUGUUGGAAAUAUUCCCUAGAGAUAAUAAUAAGUUAUUAUUAUAUUUCCUUGUUCAAGAUAAUCAUUUAUUAUCCAAGCUAGAAUUGUAUUGAAUGAAAACUCAAAUACAUGUGUGUGUACAUAGACAAGACACUGUCCCUAGUAAGUCUCUAGUUGACUAGCUCGUUGAUCAAAGAUGGUUAAGUUUUUCUAGCCAUGGACAAGUGUUGUCACUUGAUAACAGAAACACAUCAUUAGGAGAAUGAUGUGAUGACCAAGACUCAAACUAUGAACGUAGCAUGUGAUCGUGUCGUUUUAUUGCUACUGUUUUUCUACGUGUCAAGUAUAUAUGUCUAUGACCAUGAGAUCAUGUAACUCACAUACACCGGAAGAAUAGCUUGUGUGUAUCAAACGUCGUAAUGUAACUGGGUGACAAUAAAUGUGCUCAACAGGUAUCUCCGAAGGUGUCCAUUGAGUUAGCAUGGAUCAAGACUGAGAUUUGCCACUCCGUAUGACGGAGAGGUAUCUCGGGUCCUACUCGGUAAUACAACAUCACAACAAGUCUUGCAAGCCAUGUGAAUAAAGGGAAUGUUACGGAACGAGUAAAGAGGCUUCCCGGUAAUGAAAUUGAACUAGGUAUAGAGAUAUCGAUGAUCGAAUCUCGGGCAAGUAACAUACCGAAGGACAAAGGGAAUGUUAUACAGUAUUAACUAAAUCCAUGACAUAGAGAUUCAACCAAUAAAGAUCUACGUAGAAUAUGUAGGAACCAAUUUGGACAUCCAGGUCCCGCUAUUGGUUAUUGAUUGGAGAGUGUCUCAGGUCAUGUCUGCAUAAUUCUCAAACCCGCAGGGUUUGCACACUUAAGGUUCGCUGAUGUUUGAGUAUAUUUGAAUUAUGCAUGUUGGUGACCGAAUAUUGUUCGGAGUCCCGGAUGAGAUCCUGGACGUCACAAGGAUUUUCAGAAUGGUCCGGAGUCGAAGAUUGAUAUAUUUGAAGAGUACAUUUGGCUUUCGAAAGGAUUCGGGCAUUACCGGUAAAGUACCAGGAGUGACGAAUGGGUUCCGGGGUUUGAUACGUCCAAAACGUAUCUAUAAUUUUUGAUGGUUUCAUGCUACUUUUAUGCUUUUGAUAAUUAUUUUUAUAUUAAUUUUACGAUUUAUUUGGACUAACCUACUCACAAUUGCAAAAGUGCACAAUGUUCUUGUUUUACACUUUGAUGUGUAGGAACUAUAAAAAAUAGAAGAGGAAACCUUGUUGGAGUGGGACUCUGACUUUCCUGAAAUCUAUCCCCCUACAGAUUUUAGAGAUCGUCUAUUUCCGUCUCGAAGAUGAUGUCAAAUGGAAAAAUAAUAGAUGCGACAGUUGUGGGGAAUUUUAUGCUGAUAACUCUAGACAUACAAUUUGGACCAUUUAGAGUCCGGACGCUUCAAGAAAGCCCGUUUUACUGGAGGAUAAAUAUCUGAUUACAGGAUUACGGGAAUUGAUGACGUGAUUGAGUCCAACUCUUACCAUAUUAGACGGAUUCGGCCAAGCCACGACUUGGGGACCUCAUUACGGCUGAGAGUGGUUCCUAGGAAGGUUCUAGAGGUGCCCAAGAGCCCUUGGAUCAAAGGGGAAUCCAUCGGAGGGCCAAGGAUGAUCAUCGCGACUCAUAUAAGGAGAGGAAAAACUUGAUUUCUGGAGGACCACCAAGAGCUACGAGAUUUCCUCCUCCGAGGCAGCCGCCUUGGGGUGGAGAACCACCUCCAUAUCAGCACCAUCUCCAAGGAAGAAGGGGGGCCAAGGGCCGCCGCCCCCAAGGGCCGUGUCCGCCGCCGUGGCCGCCGUCUCCUCUCCGGGUCGCACCUCUCCAUCAACCUCUUGCUCACCAUGGCCAUGUGUGAGUAGUCUCCCUCAGGGUUGAGGUCUUCUACGUGUAGCUAUGUGGUCAUCUCUCUCUACCAUGUUGUGAUCUUGAUUGUGAUCAUAGGCUAUGUUAAUCUAGGUUGAUCCCAUGAUGUUUCCCCUUCUUCUAUGUAUUGGAUUGAUCUACUUACUUGAUCUUAUCUAGUAUAAUCCCCGAGACCAUGGUGAUAACGGUCUAUUGGAGAUGGAUUAGAAGAAUAUUUUCAUGAGUGAUUUCCUCUUUUGUGAAUUGAUUGAAGAUUGAGAGUCUCUUGGUGCUUGUCUUUGACUAUCCUUGAUAUAUGUUGUGGUGAUUGUGGUACUCUCUUUGGAUGGCCGCGGUGACAUUGGAAAUGCAUAGAUGAGAAUUACGAACGCUGAGGUGUGCUUUUGUAGCCCUACAUAAUUCUCGUCCUCUCUUUAUCACAAAGGAAUGACCUCCAAGUACGUCUCCAUUGCAUGUUUUAGUGGAAAUAUCAUGUGAUUAGAUUAUCUUAAUGUUGUUGGGACUUGCCACUAGUGAAAGUAUGAAGCCUAGGCCUUGUUUCUCACCAUUGUUACACCGUUUAUUCUCACUUUUGUCACUUGCUACCUUGCUUCCAUUUUUAUUACAGAUUUAUAUUACCUUGUUUUGCCUCACAUAUCACCCAUAUUUUACCAUCUCUUCGCCGAACUAGUGCACCUAUACAAUUUAUCAUUGUAUUAGGUGUGUUGGGGAUACAAGGGACUUCUUGUUUCUUAAUUGUAGGGUUGCUUGAGAGAGACCAUCUUCAACCUCUACUUCCCCGAGUUCGAUAAACCUUAGGUCAUCCACUUGAGGGAAAUUGAUGUUGUCCUACAAUCCUCUAUGCUUGGAGGCCGAACAUAGUCUACAAGAAUAGAAGCGUGCGUAGACAUCAGGGUUCCAUCGGGAGGGGCCACCCACCUGGAGAGGGAUCAAGUAGGCCCAAGGGUGGCGCACCAGCCCCUAGUGGGCUAGACAGCCAGCCCAAGUGGGCCUAUUUCGUCCUUAGUAAAAGAGAGGGAGAGGUGAGGCAAACCUACUAGGAGGAGGACUCCUCCUCCACCAAACCGAAUUGGAGGAGGAAUGCUCCCCUCCUUGGCGUGCCGGCCAACCCUAGGGGUUUUUCCCUAGGGUGCCGCCCUCCCUCCCACCUAUAUAUAGUGGAGGUGAGAGAGGCUUUUUGCACCCAAGCCACGGCACAACCCUCUCUCCCUCCACUACUUCGUGAUACCCCAUAGGUUAUUUCGGUACGGCACGACGAAGACCUGCCGGAGUAACUCCACCACCAUCGUCGCCACGCCAUUGUGCUGCCGGAGAAUUCAGCUACCUCUUCGUNNNNNNNNNNNNNNNNNNNNNNNNNNNNNNNNNNNNNNNNNNNNNNNNNNNNNNNNNNNNNNNNNNNNNNNNNNNNNNNNNNNNNNNNNNNNNNNNNNNNAAAAUUGCAAAAAUCAUAGAAAUUAAUCUGUAACUCCAAUGAAAAUAAUUUAUAUGUGAAAAAGUAUCAGAAAAAUUCAAGGAUUCUGAUUAUGCUAUUUUCAACUAUGUUUGGAAAAGUUACAGAACCCUAAAUUGUGAAAUAAGGAAUAAUUCAAUUCUUUUAAUCACUUUAUAAAUGGAAUUUGCAAAAAUAUCCAAAUUUCAUUAUAAAUACAAUGAUCACACACUGCCCUAGAGAUAAAUCAGUACCAUAAAAUGACAUUUCAUGCAUGUUAACAUUAGGUUGAUCUGAGCAUCAGGUCGAAUCAAUUAAACCGGUAUCCGAGAAUACCCGUUUGAAUUGCUAUUCGAGUGUGAUUCAAAUCAACUCUAAACCUAAAACAUAUUGAUUAUAAUAACUUAUCACUUGCUAGGUUCAUGCAUCAUUUUGAUUGCAUAUGAUUGUUAUUGAAUGUUGCCAUGCAUUUCGGUAGGCUCCGCACCCCCGGAUUCCACCGAGUAUCCGCCUGACGGAUAUCGUUCCUCCUCUGAGCAACAAGGCAAGCAACCUCUUUGAUCAUCCCGAUAACUCCUAUGUUCUUGCUCCUGCACCUAUUUAUUGCAUUAGGAUCAAAUGCUUCAACUGCUUUUGCCACGAUAGUUGGACCCACUUCCUUUGCAUGACUUAACCUUGUCACAGUAAAUUGCCGAACCUUGCAACCUAGCAUACCUGGUAGUUGCUUGAGCUAUGAUGUGCCUUAUCCUGCUAUGCAUGCUAUGCUUAGAGUUGUGUAUGGUCUGUCAUCUGGGAGAUGAACAGAAAUGUGGAAUGUGUUCGGUGAGCAAAGGUCGUGUGUUGAACUUGAUUUGGUAAAGGUACCGGUGAAAGGCUAUGUAGGAGUACAUGGUGGGUUGUUUCAUUGGAACCGUCCUUAGGAACUGAGUUCCGUGUAUGUAAUCCAAGACUAGAUACUACCACAUGCUGGGCCCUGAAAUAUGACCCCGCUCGGCCUAUUAAUCGCGUAGUACUCGGUCCAGGAGUUGCAAGUAGUUUCUGGUGUUUAUAGUAAUGCUGGAGGCCGUGCAUGGUGCUGNCCCCCUGUCAGGUUUGACCUGAACAGGUCGGCUGACCUGCUGACGUCAGCCUGAUGCAAUAAAUGGAAUUUCCAGUAUAAAAAUAAUUCAGGAAAUUGCUAAAAAUUGCAAAAAUCAUAGAAAUUAAUCUGUAACUCCAAUGAAAAUAAUUUAUAUAUGAAAAAGUAUCAGAAAAAUUCAAGGAUUCUGAUUAUGCUAUUUUCAACUAUGUUUGGAAAAUUUACAGAACCCUAUAUUGUGAAAUAAGGAAUAAUUCAAUUCUUUUAAUCACUUUAUAAAUGGAAUUUGCAAAAAUAUCCAAAUUUCAUUAUAAAUACAAUGAUCACACACUUCCCUAGAGAUAAAUCAGUACCAUAAAAUGACAUUUCAUGCAUGUUAACAUUAGGUUGAUCUGAGCAUCAGGUCGAAUCAAUUAAACCGGUAUCCGAGAAUACCCGUUUGAAUUGCUAUUCGAGUGUGAUUCAAAUCAACUCUAAACCUAAAACAUCUUGAUUAUAAUAACUUAUCACUUGCAUUCUCAUGCCAUGCUCAUGCAUCAUUUUGAUUGCAUAUGAUUGUUAUUGAAUGUUGCCAUUCAAUUUGGUAGGCUCCGCACCCCCGGAUUCCACCGAAUAUCCGUCCGACGGAUAUCGUUCCUCCUCUGAGCAACAAGGCAAGCAACCCCUUUGAUCAUCCCGAUAACUCCUAUGUUCUUGCUCCUGCACCUAUUUAUUGCAUUAGGAUCAAAUGCUUCAACUGCUUUUGCCACGAUAGUUGGACCCACUUCCUUUGCAUGACUUAACCUUGUCACAGUAAAUAGCCGAACCUUGCAACCUAGCAUACCUGGUAGUUGCUUGAGCUAUGAUGUGCCUUAUCCUGCUAUGCAUGCUAUGCUUAGAGUUAUGUAUGGUCUGUCAUCUGGGAGAUGAACAGAAAUGUGGAAUGUGUUCGGUNNNNNNNNNNNNNNNNNNNNNNNNNNNNNNNNNNNNNNNNNNNNNNNNNNNNNNNNNNNNNNNNNNNNNNNNNNNNNNNNNNNNNNNNNNNNNNNNNNNNAUUUCUCUCUCUCUCUCCCUCCUGCCACAACUUGAGAAGGGACGACAUCGGUGGCUUAGGUCCAUUUCGACCGGGGAGUUUGUGAAACCUUGGUGCCAGUUUGUACAUAGAUAUGUGUCCUUGUAUCUGUUCCGAAUAUGUUUAGUUAAGAUGCAACUCACGUGCGAGAGACUUGGGUUGUGCGGAGAUCAUAGAAGCUUAAUGUUGCCAAUUUGGUAUUGUAUAAAUAUUUAAGUUUCAUAAGCACUGACUUGCGAGUAUGACGUUCUCCGUCUGCUUAUAAGAACCUGAUGGUGAAGAAAUAGAACUAUUAGACCAUUUUCUAGUUUACUUCCCCAAAAUAUUGCAUACAUAGACUCAAGCCUUUUGAUGGUACAAAUAAACCAAGGGAACCAUGGCCCAUGGGUGAUGCUUCGGGAAAAAUAGAUAUACAUAAAUUUGGAUUAUUUGGUGCCAUCAUACUUAUAUGAUUACUACGAUGAGCACACACUCCUUAACUUCAUGAUAAUAAAUGUUAGUUUCUUAUUGGUAGAAGACAAAUGUGUGUAAACGUGUGAAAAUAACCACAUAGAAAUGAUGUUGUUAACUAUGAUAUCAUGACAAUCUUUGUUUAAGAUGCUCAAUGCAUUCGUUGUUGAUGAAACUACAAGCACUGGAACAUAGUUCUAUAUAAUAGCAUGUGAGAUGAUUAUAAAUUUUAUAGAAACUAUAUUGUUAACUAUGAUAUCAUGAUAAUCUUUUGAUCGAAUAUUUUUAAUACGCAUAUGAUAUUUUAACAACUUGAUCUGGUUCCACUUUCUUGACAAAUUUGUGCAAAAUGUUUUCAGGUAGUCAACCUAUUGAUGCACAUGGACAUGAUGACUCUCUAGCGUUUAUUGACCAACCAACCUGUAGUCAUGGACCUUAUUGUCUUGUAGACCAUUUGGUGUUUCGAGUGUUUUGGAGCUUGCACUUUGUUCAUGUAGAUACAAACUUGUCUGUUCUGGACCAUCUGAAGUCUCUCAUAGUAACCAAUAGUCCUUAUCUUUUUGUGACUUGUGUGUUCUAGAUAAUUGUUGAGAUGGUCAAAACUAUGCUUCCUCUAGGUUCAUUUGUUUGUCAACUUGCGUUCAAUGUAUGUGCAUGUUUAUAAACAUAUUUUCAUUGUGGUGUAAUAUGUGUUUAUCUUGAACCUUCUUGUGGGUGUAAGGAUAAUAAUUGAAUAUUUUUAGAGCUGGUAGUAUAUAUUGUUUUGACUCGACAUCAUUUUACCAACAAUUUAACUAUCGACAAAGUUAAUAUAUGUCCGCAUAGGUAUGGUGUACCUUGAUAGACUAUAUGUUGGUGUAGAUAUGGUGUACCUAUGCAGUAAUAUGUUUGAUAACCUUUGCAAAUAUCAGAAAUGAAAAUAAAAUACCUAAUAUUCAUACUAGUGGCGCACCACUCAGCACUUUAGUGGCGCACUGCAAAAAGCACACUAGUGACGCAUCGUCAACUAGUGCGCCAUUAGUAAGCCAGAGCACAUGGGUAAAUAUGUACCCUCGGAGGCAUACUAAUGGCGCACCAUCAUCUAUGCUAAUGGUGCACUCCUGGUGCGCCAUUAGUAUACCAGAUACUAAUGGCGCACCUAUGGUGUGUCAUUAGUAAAAAAUUCUAAUGGCGUGAUGCUAGUGGCGCACCUGUAGUGCGCCAUUAGUAGCCAAAACAGGUGCGCCACUAGCAGGCCUUUUCCUAAUAGUGUUUCCUCUUCAAGGGAAAAACCAACGCAAGCCCAAUCUCCAUCAACGUGUCAAUUUCUGGCGCUGUUGUUUGAGAAGUAGCAGAAGGAUUUCUGGCGCCGUUUCCGGGGAGGAAUAUCAAGUCAAGAACUCAUCCAAGUAAGUGUCGCAAACUCAUCUCUUGCAUUUACUUUGUUUGCCAGUUGCCUCUCGUUUUACUCUCCCCCACUUCACCAAUUUGCCUUUUUCGUUCGCCUUUUCGUUCGCCCUUUUUUCUCGCCCGCUUUUUGUUUGCUUGUGUGCUUGCUUGCUUGCUGAAGUCACCAUGAACGAAAACACCAAACUUUGUGACUUCUAGAAUACUAAUAAUAAUGAUUUUAUUAGUACUCCGAUUGCUCCCGCCACUAAUGCGGAGUCAUACAAAAUCAAUGCCGCUUUGCUGAAUCUUGUUAUGAAAGAGCAAUUGUCUGGCCUACCUAGUGAAGAUGCCGCAUCCCAUCUCAGUACCUUCAUUGAGCUUUGCGAUACGCAAAAGAAAAAAGAUGUGUAGAAUGACGUGAUUAAAUUUAAGCUUUUUCCUUUCUCGUUGCGAGAUCGUGCAAAAACUUGGUUUUCCCCCUUCUUUUUUGCCCAAAAAUANNNNNNNNNNNNNNNNNNNNNNNNNNNNNNNNNNNNNNNNNNNNNNNNNNNNNNNNNNNNNNNNNNNNNNNNNNNNNNNNNNNNNNNNNNNNNNNNNNNNACGAAAACGCACGCGGUUGGCAGCUACAGCAAGCUCGCGAAGUGGCCGAUCUGGCAGGACCAACUGGAGAGGCUAGGGUCGCCGGAAGAGGCGUCGGCGACGAGCCGGAGCGGCGGCCGAAGCUCGGGCAUCGUCGGGGGCUUUGAAUCAGAGGGAUCCACGCUUAGUUCUUAGCAGCUACGGCAUCUACGCGUCGUCCUGGAGCUGCUGGUGCUCUCGGGAGGACGAGCUGGACAUCGGAGGGCUACCGGCGAUGAGCGGCAGCGGCGGUGCUCGUCGGGCUACGGUGAAACUAGGGCUAGAGGAGGGGAUCGAUGGGGAAAGCUUAGGGAAAACCACCGCAUGCUCACAGGGAGUGCAGAGAAGAGCUCAGACGGCUCGGGGAAGGCCUGGGGGCGACGAAUCGACGGGAGAGGUCCGGCGGCCGGAGGAGGAAGACGACGGUGUUGCGGGCGUUGCAGGGCUCGAGGAGGCUUCGGCUUCUGCAGAGACGACUAGGGCAACGAGGCGGAGCUAAUGGCGUGCUCGGGGAGGGGAUCCUAUGGCCAGGGGCACGGCCAGCUCGAGCUCGAGCUCGGCUCUAAUGGCGGCAGCAGGGAGAAGGAGGGGAUCCGGGAGGNNNNNNNNNNNNNNNNNNNNNNNNNNNNNNNNNNNNNNNNNNNNNNNNNNNNNNNNNNNNNNNNNNNNNNNNNNNNNNNNNNNNNNNNNNNNNNNNNNNNUUGGGGAGGCGACCCGCGACUAAAGGGUAACCUUUAGUCGCGGUUGGCUAGACCGACCGCGUCUAAAGGGUAACCUUUAGUCGCGGUUUGCCAGACCGACCGCGACCAAAGGCCCCCCCAAAUCUUAUUUUAUUUUCAGAACCUUUUAUCUUUUUCUUUUCAGAAAAAUCAUCAAUGCUUUUAUAGAAACUUCAAACAUUUUAUUUUCUGUUUUCUAAGCAUAUUUUCGUAGCAAAAAUAUGCAUAGAGACAAUACUUCUCGCCCGAGCCUUUCUUCUCCUAUCCGCCCGCUGAGAGGAUUCCUCUUCUUCCCGCCAUUUCUCACUACAUAUAUGUAGCCCGGCUUGGCUAGCAUUAUCACAUCUGUACAAUCUCUCAUCACUCUCUCAUGGCUUCCACCGCACCCANCCCGCCAUUUCUCACUACAUAUAUGUAGCCCGGCUUGGCUAGCAUUAUCACAUCUGUACAAUCUCUCAUCACUCUCUCAUGGCUUCCACCGCACCCACUCUAACCUACCAGCAGGUGGAGGAGCUUUGCGCCUCGAACUACCCUUGUCCACCGGGCUACCGCGUCCCCACCGGCUGGAGCCUAAGCGCCGGCGGCGUGCCGGUCCCUCCCGUCCCUCAGGGNNNNNNNNNNNNNNNNNNNNNNNNNNNNNNNNNNNNNNNNNNNNNNNNNNNNNNNNNNNNNNNNNNNNNNNNNNNNNNNNNNNNNNNNNNNNNNNNNNNNAGAGGAGGUUGAGGGGAGUAUUUAUAGGGGCUCGGGGUGCUCGGAGAAGGAAGGAGAAAGGAGAUCGGGAAGGUGGAGAUUCCUCUCACCAUGGCUAUGGAAGUUUCGUGUGCACGUGAGGAAGGAGAUAGAGGAAGAAGAAAAUCCUGUUGGGCCAUUUUUUGGAAAGGUCUUAAUGGGCCACCGUUUAUUUCCAUUUAAACACGAUUUCUUUCCUUUUUCAAAACUAGGAAACUAAAACGAUAAAAGGGAAAUCAAAUCAAUUCGGAAUAUAGAGUUUCUAUAUACUAAAAUUAUCAGAAAAAUAAAAUCUAAAUGAUGGGCAUUGGGGGGGGGGGGGGGGAUAAAAACUUCAGAAAAAAUUAUUUUCACAAAAUUUCCUAAAAGAUUUAUUUUCUUUUGCAAAUAAUUUUCAAAUGACCCUCUAAGUUUUAGGGUUCAAAUAACUUUCAAAAUGCCCGUGUGUUUGAGGGUCAUGUUCCUCCUCUCUUUUCUGUUUGACAGAAUGUAUUUCCCGGCAUUUCUUGCACGAAGAAAACAAAUAGAAAUGCAAAAGAAUUCAAAUGCAAAUAUCCGUUCAAAUUCUUUAUAGUUGAAGAAGUCACGUCAUCUUCUCUCUUUCCUUUUUAAAAUGAUUGAAUUUGAAUUCACCGGAGAAGGGGAAAGUCAUUUUAUUCCCUCUCAUUCAAAAGUUUUGAAAAGUUUCAAAUUUCCACUCAAGUUUCAAUCACACAAGCAAACAAACAAACAACUAAUAAUUAUUUCAACAUUCCAAAAUUUGGGAUGUUACAAAUCUACCACACUUAAAAUGAAUCUCGUCCUCGAGAUUCGAAGAGGCUAGAAAGAAAGGUUAGGGUUUGGGGGUCUUCUAGCAAUUCAAUCUCUUGCAAAGUGGGAUGCUACCACACUUAAAAUGAGGGGUACUGGUCCCUUAAGGUUUUAACAAUCCUCUGGGGUUUUGGCAUCUGACUCCUCAUAGUCUUCAUAUCUUCCGUUAUAUUCAUAACGUCUCCAUAAAAAACGAGGGCUCUUCCGUUGUUAUAAGCUUCUUCCGUUACCGAGUCUUCUUUAACUGACAGUCUCAUGAUCAAUUCUAAAUAACCUAUCGAUGAUUCUCAUGGUGGUCUACCAUUUGUGGCAAUCCUGCAGAGAGAGGGGUCUUGGUUUCAUUCUCACCAUAAAAUUUCCUACGCGUGACAACAAGUGCCAUGUACAUGGUCUUUUCUUAUACCACUCUAAGGCUUAAACAAAAGCUUCAAAGAACGUCGUCUCUCACUAUGGGUAAGUCUAUCACAGAUUUACCAUUCCGAAUAGCAAGAUAAAUGAUAAGAGUAAGUCGUCAUGGUGAUCAAUCCAUUCCGCACCCAAAUCAUUUCUCUGUAUAAGGUUUAGCGAAUCUCGCAUUCUAACACUCGGGCAUCCUCUCAAGCAUUGCAGAAUUUUUCUUGUACACGAACAAAGUUUGUACGAAUCCAUUGGUUCUGCAAGCUGAAUAAAAAAUCUAUCGCAUUCUUCACCACUCUCAGGUUUUCGCAUGCUCCUAAGAAAACGUUUGCUGAUCCAUCGUAGCUUCUUCCAUAAAUCAUAUUCAUUUCAUAAUCAAUCCUUUAUUACAUCCUUAAUUUCUUAUCAAAGACUCCAAUUCAAAAGUACUUUAUUACAAAUGCUGCCAUCCACAUUGUUCGGUAUGGUCGAGCAUUUCUGCCAACUUUAUUUGUCUGCCUCUCUUGGAGGUACUUUAGUUCCACUGGAACUUUCCAAUGUGCUCAUUGAAAUCAUCCAUCUUUUGCUUCAUCAUGGUGGCCAUGAGCUUCAUCUCCAUCAUCUCCGCAUGCACUUCACUCAGGUAUUCCUGGGUAUGACGGAGUCUUGCUUCAAGUAUUUCUCCAAUCUGAUGUAUGGCUUCCAUGGCAGCUUCACGAACAGCAUCAAAGAAGGUUGCUCGUGGUACACGUGAAAUGAAAAAGUAUUUCCCCAUAGUCUUUGGACAAACUCCUUUCACAUGGUGGAGGUGUACUUCCACAUACCAAAGUUCCACUCCAUUCUCCAUGAAUGGGUAGCCUUUGUAGACGGCAUCUCCUUCAAGAUGAAUGUGCUUCAUCAUGUCCUCCAGGAUUUUCGGGUAAUCAUGAUCACUGGUCAGGGUCAUGAUUAUUUCUGGGCCCUUCAGGAAUGACUCGUAGAGAGUUGUCAUCUGCAGGUGUCAGUAAAUAGGUACUCAGAGGAAUGUAUGUGUCUCCUUGGUAAUGCAUGGUACAUUCGUACUCAUUGGAUCCUGUGGGUUCACUGAUUACUACCACACUUAAAAUAAGAUAUACUCAUGCCUGCAUAGACCAUAUUUUCUCUUAUCCUCAUAAAUGUUUAAAAAUCUUUGCUCGUAGAGAAACAACGCAUACAGUUUCAACAUAGGCAAUCAUGAGACAAUAAAUUCCAUUUAUUCAUGAUGUUAUUACAAUCUCAGGGACUUCUAUUACAAAAAUUUCACUCCAUGAUCUCAUGAAAAACAAGAGUUCUUCCGAUUACAUGUCGGGACCCCGAUCCUAAGCCAUGGGAAUCUAGCCUGUAACACAUCGCAUCCCUUUGCGGUCUCACGCACGGUUAACUCCACGGCUGCAGCCUUACCUUAGNNNNNNNNNNNNNNNNNNNNNNNNNNNNNNNNNNNNNNNNNNNNNNNNNNNNNNNNNNNNNNNNNNNNNNNNNNNNNNNNNNNNNNNNNNNNNNNNNNNNUGUUGAGGCAUAGUUUAUGCCUAACUAAUUUUGGUGAUUGAUGACAGUACCGUACAAGACUAAUCGUGUGUGUCAAGGUUUCAGGUAACACUCGUCAACGGCACAAGACGACUCGUCUCCUCUCUUCUGGAACGGAAGCACGGCGCUCUCUACGAUUCUCUUUAUUUGAGUCAUAGGAAAGCCGUACUAUUAAGAGGGGAUCCAUAGUGGAAAGGUUUGGGUGGAAUCUAUCUUUUCACACGCACACUUUGCAUUCUCCCUUUCCUUAUCUUUUGGAGCGGCCCUCGCCUAUUCGUCUUGAGCAUCUCCGCAAAAUGGUCCCCAACGGUAGUACCGCUGGUGCCAGCGGUAGUACCGCUGGACUGCCAGCGGUAGUACCGCUGCAGCCAGCGGUAGUACCGCUGUCUGGCGGUAGUACCGCCCAUUGUCAGCGGUAGUACCGCUAGCCAGCGAUAGUACCGCCCCCUGGUCAGCGGUAGUACCGCUUCAGGUGCCUUGUUCCACCUACCUAGCGGUACUUCGUGGACGGACCCUUUUGCGAAGACUUUCCGACGGUAGUAGUGCUUAUGCACUACCAAGGGGCCAGCGGUAGUACCGCUGNNNNNNNNNNNNNNNNNNNNNNNNNNNNNNNNNNNNNNNNNNNNNNNNNNNNNNNNNNNNNNNNNNNNNNNNNNNNNNNNNNNNNNNNNNNNNNNNNNNNCUUGAUUAUAAUAACUUAUCACUUGCAUUCUCAUGCCAUGCUCAUGCAUCAUUUUGAUUGCAUAUGAUUGUUAUUGAAUGUUGCCAUUCAAUUUGGUAGGCUCCGCACCCCCGGAUUCCACCGAAUAUCCGUCCGACGGAUAUCGUUCCUCCUCUGAGCAACAAGGCAAGCAACCCCUUUGAUCAUCCCGAUAACUCCUAUGUUCUUGCUCCUGCACCUAUUUAUUGCAUUAGGAUCAAAUGCUUCAACUGCUUUUGCCACGAUAGUUGGACCCACUUCCUUUGCAUGACUUAACCUUGUCACAGUAAAUUGCCGAACCUUGCAACCUAGCAUACCUGGUAGUUGCUUGAGCUAUGAUGUGCCUUAUCCUGCUAUGCAUGCUAUGCUUAGAGUUGUGUAUGGUCUGUCAUCUGGGAGAUGAACAGAAAUGUGGAAUGUGUUCGGUGAGCAAAGGUCGUGUGUUGAACUUGAUUUGGUAAAGGUACCGGUGAAAGGCUAUGUAGGAGUACAUGGUGGGUUGUUUCAUUGGAACCGUCCUUAGGAACUGAGUUCCGUGUAUGUAAUCCAAGACUAGAUACUACCACAUGCUGGGCCCUGAAAUAUGACCCCGNNNNNNNNNNNNNNNNNNNNNNNNNNNNNNNNNNNNNNNNNNNNNNNNNNNNNNNNNNNNNNNNNNNNNNNNNNNNNNNNNNNNNNNNNNNNNNNNNNNNGCUGGACAUCGGAGGGCUACCGGCGAUGAGCGGCAGCGGCGGUGCUCGUCGGGCUACGGUGAAACUAGGGCUAGAGGAGGGGAUCGAUGGGGAAAGCUUAGGGAAAACCACCGCAUGCUCACAGGGAGUGCAGAGAAGAGCUCAGACGGCUCGGGGAAGGCCUGGGGGCGACGAAUCGACGGGAGAGGUCCGGCGGCCGGAGGAGGAAGACGACGGNNNNNNNNNNNNNNNNNNNNNNNNNNNNNNNNNNNNNNNNNNNNNNNNNNNNNNNNNNNNNNNNNNNNNNNNNNNNNNNNNNNNNNNNNNNNNNNNNNNNNNNNNNNNNNNNNNNNNNNNNNNNGCAACGAGGCGGAGCUAAUGGCGUGCUCGGGGAGGGGAUCCUAUGGCCAGGGGCACGGCCAGCUCGAGCUCGAGCUCGGCUCUAAUGGCGGGAGGAGGGAGAAGGAGGGGAUCCGGGAGGAGGGGAAGAACCGAGGCGGGGAAUGGAUAGGGGAUGCUCUGGGGAGCUUAUCCCCGUCGUCGCCAGCGCGAACCGGCGGCCAGGCAGGCACGCAGGUGCGUGGCCGCGCCGGAGGAGGCGGCGGCCACCUCGUGCUGCCUACUGGCGCGGGGAAGGGGACGAGCAGCGAGAUGGGUCGGGCCUGGCUUGGGCGACAGGUAAGACUUUUUCCAUUUUCUCUUUUUUUUGUUUUUUUGUUUUGCUAUUUAUUGCUUUGCUAAUUAUUUCAGCUUCAAAAAAAAAGUAAAAAACUAUUUUAGACCUCCUGAAAUAUUUAUUAUAAUAUCCCCACACAUUUCCAAGACUUUCAACAUUUUUGGAAAAUUAUAGUUUCUGANNNNNNNNNNUGUUUUUCUGUUUUGCUAUUUAUUGCUUUGCUAAUUAUUUCAGCUCCAAAACAAAAAGUAAAAACUAUUUUAGACCUCCUGAAAUAUUUAUUAUAAUAUCCGCACACAUUUCCAAGACUUUCAACAUUUUUGGAAAAUUAUAGUUUCUGAUUUCAAAUUUUUAAAUUUGAAACCAAUGGCUUUUGCAAUUAUUUAAAAUGUUUAAAGUGUCAAGAAAUAGUUUUCUCCAAUGCUCAUUUACUUUUAUGAUUUAUCAGAAAGUUUGAACAUUUCUUGAGGCCAUUUUGGGUUCAUUGAUUUUGAACUAGUUGAAAUUUCCUUUAAUUGAAAUGGUGGCUAGGGUUUUGAGUUUUUCCUUUGCCACUUUGUUGUUUUUGUUGAAACUUNNNNNNNNNNNNNNNNNNNNNNNNNNNNNNNNNNNNNNNNNNNNNNNNNNNNNNNNNNNNNNNNNNNNNNNNNNNNNNNNNNNNNNNNNNNNNNNNNNNNUCCAAGGACUACCCCACGCAAAGGACAUGACCUUAAGUAUGCCCGACUGUAUUAAGGUGCCCCCAUCAUCCAGUCGGUAACGGGCCCAGAAUCAUCCAGUCGGAGACUAAGACUCGGAGGACACCGGACCCACCGACUGGAUACACUCGGUGCAUCGUAACCUCCCUGGAGGGAAACUGCCGUACGUUUCCGGGUGCAUUAACUAGCAUUUAUAGCAUACAUUACCUGUAACGCAUGCAUUCAAUCGCCACUACUCCACCCUUGAAUCAGAACNNNNNNNNNNAUGCGUCGUAACCUCCCUGGAGGGAACUGCCGUACAUUUCCGGAUGCAUUAACUAGCAUUUAUAGCAUACGUUAUCUGUAACGCAUGCAUUCAAUCGCCACUACUCCACCCUUGAAUCAGAACCGUUGUGGAGGGCAGCGCACUCUAUAUAAGCCGCCCUCCCCCACUGGUAAAAGGGUUAGAAAAACAUUGUACUCCAUAUUACACUCGGUAACAAGCUCCAAGAGCACUGAGACGUAGGGCGAUUACCUCCACUGUAGAGGGGCCUGAACUCAUACAACCUCGCCGUAGCUAGGACUCUGCCUAUCUCAUUCGUACCCUACACAUCUACUGUCGGGUUUAUACCCACGACAGUUGAAUUCGUAUUUGAAUGUAGUUUCUAACAGUAUUAUUGUUGCUACGUAUAAUUUAUGUUUUAUGUUAGUUAAAACCAUGAUCAAAAUAUGACUUAAAUAUCAACAUGAUUAGUAAACCAGAACAAAUGUACACUGGUGGAAAAACAGGCUUCCGUCCAGCCCCAUAAGUCGCGAAGCUGUAGGAACCGCGACUAAUGGGACCUUUAGUCGCGGUUCUGGAGGUGAACCGCGACCAAAGGCCUGGGCCCAGGGCGCUCGGUGGCCAGCUGGUGCACGUGAGGGGCUUUAGUCGCGGUUGGCCAGGACAACCGCGACUAAAGGCCUUCGGGCACCUUUAGUCACGGUUUGCNNNNNNNNNNNNNNNNNNNNNNNNNNNNNNNNNNNNNNNNNNNNNNNNNNNNNNNNNNNNNNNNNNNNNNNNNNNNNNNNNNNNNNNNNNNNNNNNNNNNGACUUCAAGCACCUCAAUAAGGUCUGCCCGAAAGACCAUUUUUCGCUCCCCCGCAUAGAUCAAAUUGUCGAUUCGACUGCGGGGUGCGAGCGUUUAUCAUUUCUUGAUGCCUACUCGGGUUAUCAUCAGAUCCGUCUGUAUGGUCCCGAUGAGUUGGAAACAACUUUCAUCACCCCGUUUGGGUGCUUCUGCUACAUCACCAUGCCUUUCGGUCUGAAGAAUGCAGGAGGUACCUUUAUGCGCAUGAUCCAAAAAUGUCUCCUCGACCAGAUCGGUCGCAAUGUGGAGGCAUACAUGGAUGAUAUCGUAGUCAAGUCCCGCAAAGGUUCCGACCUGCUGACUGACUUGGCGGAAACAUUCGCCAACCUUCGUAGGUACGAUAUCAAGCUAAAUCCUGCCAAGUGUUCAUUCGGUGUUCCCAUCGGAAAGUUACUCGGUUUCUUCGUUUCCGAACGAGGGAUCGAUGUUAACCCCGAAAAGAUCGGGACCAUCGUCCGAAUGGAGAGGCCGGUCAGAAUACACGAUGUUCAACAACUCAUAGGUUGCUUAGCAGCUUUGAGCAGGUUCAUCAGUCGACUCGGCGAAAAAGCACUUCCUCUGUACCGACUCAUGAAGAAAUCAGAUACCUUCGAGUGGACAGACGAAGCCCAAGUCGCGUUCGACGACCUCAAAGUCCUACUUUCCACCCAGCCGGUUCUUACUGCUCCACUCAGUAAAGAGCCCCUUCUUCUAUAUAUCGCGGCUACAAAUCAAGUGGUCAGUACUGUUCUUACAGUCGAGCGAGAAGAAGAAGGCAAAGCAUACAAAGUUCAGCGGCCAGUGUACUACGCCUCCGAAGUCCUGACACCUUCCAAGCAGAGGUAUCCCCAUUAUCAAAAGCUUAUCUAUGGGAUCUUUAUGACUGCAAAGAAGGUGGCUCAUUAUUUUCAAGACCACUCGGUAUCUGUCGUUUCUGAUGCUCCGUUGUCGGAAAUUCUCCACAAUCGGGACGCAUCAGGCCGAGUGGCGAAGUGGGCGAUGGAGAUGCUGUACUGCGACAUCAAGUUCGAGGCCAAGAAAGCUAUUAAGUCUCAAGCCCUGGCUGACUUUAUAGUAGAAUGGGUAGAACAACAGCAACCGACUCACAUCUACUCGGCUCAUUGGACAAUGUUCUUCGAUGGGUCUAAGAUGUUGAAUGGAUCCGGCGCUGGUGUUGUGAUCGUAUCACCAAAGGGUGACAAGCUCAAGUAUGUGCUUCAGAUACACUUUGAUUCCUCUAACAAUGAGGCAGAGUAUGAAGCUCUUCUCUACGGAUUGCGCAUGGCCCUCUCACUCGGCGUCCGUUGCCUGAUGGUCUACGGCGAUUCAGACUUGGUGGUCAACCAAGUGAUGAAAGAGUGGGACGUAAGGAACCCCACUAUGACAACCUACUGCAAUGCAGUCAGGAAGCUGGAGAAGAAGUUUGAAGGUCUAGAACUUCAUCAUGUUCCAAGACUAAAGAACCAAGCGGCGGACGAGUUGGCGAAGCUCUGAUCCACUCGGAGACCCGUCCCGAGUGAUGUCUGCCUCGAGCACCUCCAUCUUCCUUCAGUCAAAGAAGAUCCCUUCACGGAAGAGCCAGUACAACCCAAGAGCGCAACAGACCCGACUGAAGUCGAUGUGCCUGCUAUGGUUGAUCUGGUCACAGAGAUUCUGGUAAUCAUUCCCGAUUGGACUGUGCCGAUUAUGGCAUAUAUCCUAAGGCAAGAACUUCCAGAAGAUGAAGUCCAAGCCCAACAAAUAGUUCGCAGGUCGAAGGCGUUCACUGUCAUUGACGGUCAAUUGUAUAAGGAGAGUGUUUCACGCGUUCUCCAACGUUGCAUUUCCCCAGAGGAAGGGCAGUUGAUCCUAGAGGAUAUCCACUCGGGAACCUGCGGCCAUCAUGCUUCUUCAAGAGCAAUCGUCGCCAAGGCGUUCAGGGCUGGAUUCUUCUGGCUGCAGGCUAACGAAAUGGCCAAAGCUAUGGUCGAUCGAUGCGAAGGCUGUCAGUUCUACUCCAACAAGUCCCACAAGCCAACAUCUGCACUAAAGACAAUCCCACUUGUGUGGCCGUUUGUAGUUUGGGGAUUAGACACAGUCGGACCAUUCAAGACAGGCCAAGGAGGCUACACACAUCUGUUGGUGACAGUCGACAAGUUUACAAAGUGGAUAGAAGCCAAGCCCAUCAAGAAACUCGACGCCUCCACAGCCGUGAAGUUUGUCAGAGACAUCAUCUACAGAUUCGGAGUGCCUCACAGCAUAAUCACGGACAAUGGGACAAACUUCGACUCGGACAGAUUCAAAGGUUUCUGCGCGAGUCAAGGUAUCCGAGUGGAUUUUGCUUCCGUAGCACAUCCGCAAUCCAAUGGACAAGCUGAGCGUGCAAAUGGACUUAUCCUUCAAGGUUUGAAGCCUCGGCUCUGGCGAGAGAUAGGACAUGCUGCUGGUGCAUGGGUAAUCGAGUUACCUUCAGUACUUUGGGGCCUCCGCACCACUCCGAACAGAUCAACAUGGCGUUCACCGUUCUUCCUCGUCUAUGGAGCAGAAGCGGUCCUUCCGAGUGACCUGCUUCACAAUGCCCCGCGAGUCGAACUCUUCUCUGAAGCCGAAGCAGAACAAGCAAGGCAAGAUGGAGUCGAUCUUCUAGAGGAGGAGCGCGAGAUGGCACUUACUCGCUCAACAAUUUUUCAGCAAAAUCUGCGACGUUUUCACGCACGACAUGUCAGAAGCCGCACGUUCCAGGCCGGCGAUUUGGUGCUCCGAGUGGAUCAGCAAAGACCACACAAGUUGGCUCCGGCCUGGGAAGGUCCUUUCAUCAUUUCAAAGGUGCUGAACAACGGAGCAUACAGACUCUACAACAUUCAGAAGGAGACCGACGAACCCCGCGCGUGGAACGGAGACCUCCUCAAGCGUUUUUAUACGUGAUCGCCGACUGAAGCAGUGUAACGAACAAGUUUUGGAGAAAUAAUAUACAGCAGAUUCAAUUUCUUUUGCAGAUUCAGAGUCCUUCCGUGGUUGCAGAUUACGGUCACAAAAAAAAACUUAGCUGCGAUCCUGAAUCGUCUAAGUAACACCUAUCUCCGAGUGUGCACUUCACGUCGCACUCGGGGGCUUAGUUGCGAAACUGCAUCGCCUAAGUAUUAACUAUCUCCGAGUGUGCACUUCACGUUGCACUCGGAGACUUAGCUGCGAUCCCGAAUCGCCUUAGUAUCACCUUCCUUCGAGUGUGCACUUCACGUCGCACUCGGGAACUUAGCUGCGAUCCUGCAUCGCCUAAGUAUUAACUUUCUCCGAGUGUGCACUUCACGUCGCACUCGGGAGCUUAGCUGCGAUCCUGCAUCGCCUAAGUAUUAACUUCCUCCGAGUGUGCACUUUACGUCACACUCGGGGACUUAGCUGCGAUCACGCAUCGUCUAAGUACUAAUCUUCCUUCGAGUGUGCACUUCACAUCACAUCGGGGACUUAGCUGCGAUCCUGCAUCGCCUAAGUAUUAACUUCCUCCGAGUGUGCACUUUACGUCGCACUCGGGGACUUAGCUGCGAUCCUGCAUCGACUAAGUAUUAACUUCUCCUAGUGUGCACUUCACAUCACACUCGGGGACUUAGCUACGAUCCUGCAUCGCCUAAGUACUAAUCUUCCUUUGAGUGUGCACUUCACGUCACACUCGAGGACUUAGCUGCGAUCCUGCAUCGCCUAAGUACUGAUCGCUCCUCCGAGUGUGCACUAUACGUCGCACUCGGAGACUUAGCUGCGAUCCCGAUUCGCCUAAGUAAUACCUUCCUCCGAGUGUGCACUAUACGUUCCACUCGGAGUCUGAGUUAUGAUCAAGAAUCAUCUAAGUACUAGCCUCCUCCGAAUGUACACUAUACGUUACACUCGGGAACUUAGCACUGAUCAUGAAUCACCUAAGUCCUAAUAUUCUACGAGUACACAUUAAGUGUUCAACUCCAAAUAGCAUUCAAGCAAAAGAAUAAGUGUUUUCAUUGCGACUACCAGCAGUCUAGAAACGAUAACGGAUUCGGUGCGGAUCAAGCUUACCCGCACCGAUCUAAAAGUAUGACGGCCAACAGGAGUGGCCAGAAUAUCGUACAGGCAAACACUCGGCAUACCGAGGAUAAAGUUCGAUCAUGAGUCAGCUGGGCCCGCGUCAGGACUGGAGGGUUCCACAAAGGUAUCUAGGUCGAUUCCAUCAGCAAUGCGGGUCACAGUCUCCAGGAAUGUCUCCAUGAAGUCUUUGAAUUGAAGCUUCUUCGUGUUGGCGACUUUCAAGGCUUUCAGCUUAUCUUCCCGCACUUCUUUGCAAUGGACUCGGACCAAGGACAGCGCCACAUCAACACCGCAACGCGCUGCCGAUUUCUUCCAAGAUUGCACUCGGGCCGGAAUCUCCCCCAGUCGCCCCAACAGAGUCUCCAUCUUCUCCCGCGACUCGUCUUCCGGCCAAAGCUCCUUCUCAAUGCGGCCGAAGAUUUCUUUCAGUCGGUUGAUGAACGGACCCACUUUGCCUACGCGGAUAUGAGCCCGGAGUAGAUUCCGGUUGGCGUCCUCACUGAGUGGUACAUUGUCCUUCAUGGAUCGUUCCACGGCCGCCGCUUCAGCUUCGGCGUCACCACAAAAAUCUGCAACAAACAAGCAAAUAGAAAUUACAAACCUAGUGUUCGUCACAAGAUACAACCACUCGACAAAUCAUCAGACUUACCAGCCAGACGACUCAUCAUCUGGACAGCCCAGUCGUUCACAUACUUCUCCUGAGCUGUCCAUCGUUUGUUCCGAGCAGCCAUUUGAUCGUACACUUCGGUCCUCUAUUUCUUCAGCCUCUCCACCUCCGCCACCAACGCCCUGUUUGCCUCCAAUGCCUCCUCCAAGGAUUUCUCUCGAACUUCCAGAGCGUUCUUCAUGCCAGCCAUGGCGAGCGUUGCGGCUUCUAGUUCACCAGCAUAUUGGUUCUUCUCAGCCCUCAAGGCUUCAUAAGCGCUCCCCAUAUCACAAGUUUUCUACAAAACAAACAAAGGGCGGUCAGCAAGUUUAUCAGUUCACACACUAAGUUUUUCAGACCCCUGCCGACGCAAGCAGUCGACAGCGGUCUCGGGGACUACACCCAGUGGGUCACUAAGAGUGACCCCACUGGCAUGCACCUCAAGCAGGUCUGCCCUAUUGAGAUGCACGUUUUCACCUACGCUUCCGAGGCUAAAGCUACUCCACGUGUGUGCAGUUUACUCUAGGGAACUCUCACCGCAAGAGUGCUCCGACUGCAGUUAGUACUUGCACUCAGAAAUCUUGUCUACGGACACGACAAAAAUAAAAGACCAAAUGUAUAAAGACAACUGUCAGUGCAAGCACUCGACAGAAGUCUCGGGGACUACACCCACUGGGUUCACUCGGAGUGAACCCAUUGCAAACAACAGACUACGACAACACCCAGUGGGUUACAAAAGAAAAGUAAGUACUUACUAGACUACUUACUCGGAUGUCGUCGCGCAGCUCCAAGCUCCGCUGGUACAAAGCCGCAACGGAGUCAUAAGCCUUCUUGGCCUCCCCGGUCAUCAGCUCCGCUUGGACCAUGGCUCCCUUGGCCGCUCCCACCUGCUCCUCNNNNNNNNNNNNNNNNNNNNNNNNNNNNNNNNNNNNNNNNNNNNNNNNNNNNNNNNNNNNNNNNNNNNNNNNNNNNNNNNNNNNNNNNNNNNNNNNNNNNCGACAUCAUCCUGACCAGCAUGGCCGUAUGACCCGGUACAUCAAUGCACCUGGUCAGACGUACCACCUGACGAGAAGCACGGCCAGGCAUCUGUAAAUAGAGAGUAAUGCAAAAGCAUUAGAGCUCNNNNNNNNNNUCUCAGCUCUAGGGUAGUCUGGAAAUAACCUAACAGUGUAGAUGUACUGGCUCUGGUUGAAGUCUCAGUACUGUUCCUCCACUGUGUACUCGGGGUACCAGCGGUAACCGCACACUGACAUCACCCUGACCAGCAUGGCCGUAUGACCCGGCACAUCAAUGCACCUGGUCAGACGUACCACCUGAUGAGAAGGACGGCCAGGCAUCUGUAAAUAGAGAGUAAUGCAAAAGCAUUAGAGCUCCGAAUGCAAAAUUGGGCAACAUAACGGCUGUAAAUGCUCAAAAACAAAUUUUGAGACAACCCAAAAUGGAAUAGCGUAACCACUCUACUAUCAAGUUCAAUUCUCUGAUCAUAAAACUUACUUCCUUUUUCCUAGGAAUGAAAGAAACCUAAAUAUCUCUUGACCCGUAGUCCUAUAAUCUACCGAUCGGAAACACGAGCCUAGAAGAAGAUGAGUAACCUAGUCCUUAAUUCCCGUAGAAAGACGAGGAUGACCAGAAUAGAAUAACUUGAGAAGAGAACAAGAGUNNNNNNNNNNAACUAUCAAGUUCAACUCUCUGAUCAUCAAACUUACGUCCUUUUUCCUAGGAAUGACAGAAACCAAAUAUCUCUUGACCCGUAGUCCUAUAAUCUACCGAUCAGAAACACGAGCCUAGAAGAAGAUGAGUAACCUAGUCCUUAAUUCCCGCAGAAAAGACGAGGAUGACCAGAAUAGAAUAACUUGAGAAGAGAACAAGAGUCUUACGUUCCCUUCCACAAACAAUUCCCUUAUAUAUAACUAAAGCAAUUCUAGACUCAACUUCGACCAGUUUGGCGUAGUAAUCCUACAGUUAGUCAGGCUCUGAUACCAAAGCUGUCGGGACCCCGAUCCUAAGCCAUAGGAAUCCAGCCUGUAACACAUCGCAUCCCUUUGCGGUCUCACGCACGGUNNNNNNNNNNUUAGUAAUCCUACAGUCAGUCAGGCUCUGAUACCAACGCUGUCGGAACCCCGAUCCUAAGCCAUAUGAAUCCAGCCUGUAACACAUCGCAUCCCUUUGCGGUCUCACGCACGGUUAACCCCACGGCUGCAGACUUACCUUAGCCGGGACCGUUUGCGCCUUUUGACUCACGUAUGCAGUUGUGUCGCUAGCAUUCCAAUGUCAAAGAACCCGGAUCGACAAGUCUAGUCAUAAACCAAAGUGGCAGUACCGCACAAGGACAGGCAUACAUGACCCAACAAAGAAGGUGUCGGUCACCAGCGAGUGUAGACGAGUCGUAGCAAGCUACAAGGACUCCAUUACAUCGCGUGACAUUUCCCCAAAGGAGACAGACACAACAGCUAAGAAGGACACAUGCCGGUCAACCAAUGUGUCGGGAGCAGUAGCGAGCUACCCUGGCUCGUUGGAUCACAAAGGGGCAUUUCCCUGUAAGGAGUGCUACUAAAGUUCACGACUAGGUAGUCGAACCCCAUACUUAUCAAGUACGACACACGUACGCAUGGCAUAUCGAUAUGUAUAGAUACAUCGAUGGCAUCACAACAUAACCAUAAACAUACAAGCUUUAUUUAAGAGGCUCGGAAGAGCCACACACAUAAUAUUACACAGUAAGGGUCUCACGACCCAUAAUAGCAGUCAUUCAGUUACAAGCCAGCGGAAGUGUUUAAAACUGUCUGAGUACAGACAGGUGCAACUAGAAGGCACAUGGCCUGACUAUACUACAGACCCAACCUAGGGCCAAAUCGUAGGUGGGACACCAGCUACUCGUCGUCGUCGAUGUCUAUGAAGAACCCUCCAUUAGGGUCAUUAGCAACCUCUGCAACAUUUAUUAAGCAAACAUGAGUACGGAGGUACUCAGCAAGACUUUAGGAUAACUAACUACUCAUGCAAUGUAUCAAUAAGGUAUUGUGGGGUUUCAUGCGGAAAGCCAGCAUUUGACUCGUGGCUAGACAACUUGCAUUUUUAAAUAAUUUGGACAACUUGAUUCCUCGCACACGAGUCCACUAACACCACAACAAUACUCCAUCGUGGAAUCAUUCCAUCUCCAUACGGAAAUGCCGUCCACGACACUCACGCUUAUGUUGACAAUUUUAUGAGUAGCCAUUGAAGUUAUCUAUGAACAACAUAUGUCUCCAAGUAGUCCAUAUCCACGGACACAGCUAUUCGAAUAGAUCAUAACCCUGCAGGUGUGUACUUCGUCACACACGCUCUCGCCACUUAUCGCCAUGUGCACGUCNNNNNNNNNNNNNNNNNNNNNNNNNNNNNNNNNNNNNNNNNNNNNNNNNNNNNNNNNNNNNNNNNNNNNNNNNNNNNNNNNNNNNNNNNNNNNNNNNNNNAACUUGGGAAAGAGAGGAUCGUCUCCGACUUGAGUAUCCUGCGUUAUUACCGACGACUUGUAAAUCUCGGGAAGAGAUUCCUUUGAGUGGGGGUGAGUUGUCACAUCCCUGACACCUUAAGCAAGUUAGUCUUGUGCUCAUGUCUUCUUUGCAUUUGCAUCUAAGAAUUUUCCAACAAGAACAAGGAAGUGGUAAAGGAAAAACCCAAACCCUAGCCACUUCUUUAAACAAAGGAAAUCUCAAAAUAGUUAAAAUCAAUGAACCCAAAAUGGCCUCAAGAAAUGUUCAAACUUUCUGAUAAAUCAUGAAAGUAAAUGAGCAUUGGAGAAAACUAUUUUCUUGACACUUUAAGCAUUUUAAAUAAAUGCAAAAAGCUACUGGUUUCAAGUUUUAAAUUUGAAAUCAGAAACUAUAAAUUUUCAAAAAUGUUGAAAACUUUGGAAAUGGUUGAGAAUAUUAUAACAAAUAUUCAGGUGUGUUUAAAUUAGUUUUUACAACCUUUUUGGAGCUGAAAUAAAUAGCAAAUCAAUGUCAGAAAUUAAAACAGAAAUAAAACANNNNNNNNNNNNNNNNNNNNNNNNNNNNNNNNNNNNNNNNNNNNNNNNNNNNNNNNNNNNNNNNNNNNNNNNNNNNNNNNNNNNNNNNNNNNNNNNNNNNUUGCCGUCGAUCUGUCGUCUCCCGGUCCUCCCCGACCCUUCCGGCAGCCUCACAAGAUCCGUCGUGAGCUCCUCUUCCUGUUCCCCCUCCUCUAACCACGUUAGCCGCCGGAGCCCGAAGGACCUCGUCUCCGGCCAUGUCAUUGCCGUCGUUGUGGUACUCGGCUCGCGAGGCCGAGCUCAGGAAUGAGCUCCUCGAGCUCUGUAGAUGGCGUAGGGUCUCUCUCCCAGCUCGCUAGCCCCCUGCAUCGGCACUGUCGUCGACGCCCGAGCCGCAGCCGCCGCUGGCCUCAUCGCCGGCAAGGAUUCCGGUGACCACCGGGUCCAGCUCCACUCCAGAUAGAUGCGGCAUUUCACCAGCUGCCUGUAGCUCUCUUCUGCACCCAAAACCGAUGGCCGUAGCGCUGUCUGGCUCUCUCCGGCGAGCCCUCCGCCGCGCCCGUGGUCGCCGCCGGCCAUNNNNNNNNNNCGCGUUUCACCAGCUGCCUGUAGCUCUCUUCUGCACCCAAAACCGACGGCCGUAGCGCUGUCUUGCUCUCUCCGGCGAGCCCUCCGCCGCGCCCGUGGUCGCCGCCGGCCAUACUCCGGUGGGGGCCGACGUGGCCAAGUUAAUUCGGUAGUUUAGAGGCUUAAACUCUCGCUGACAGUGGGCCCAAGGCCAAGUCAACUUAAUUAAGGGGCCGGUCAGCGCGGGAUUAACCCCAGAGAGGCUGACCAGUGNNNNNNNNNNCCGGUAGUUUAGAGGCUUAAACUCUCGCCGACAGUGGGCCCAAGGCCAAGUCAACUUAGUUAAGGGGCCGGUCAGCGCGGGAUUAACCCCAGAGAGGCUGACCAGUGGGUCCCCCCUGCCAGGUUUGACCUGAACAGGUCGGCUGACCUGCUGAUGUCAGGCUGACGCAAUAAAGAGAUUUUUCAGUAUAAGAAUAAUUCCAGAAAUGUUUAAAACUUCAAAAAUUCAUAGAAAUUAAUCNNNNNNNNNNAUAUAAGAAUAUUUCCAGAAAUGUGUAAAACUUCGAAAAUUCAUAGAAAUUAAUCUGUAACUCCAAUGAAUAUAAUUUAUAUAUGAAAAAGUAUCAGAAAAAUGCAAGGAAUCUGAAUAUGCUACUUUUAAUCAUGUUUGAAAAAGUUACAGAACCCAAACAUGUAGAUUAAUNNNNNNNNNNNNNNNNNNNNNNNNNNNNNNNNNNNNNNNNNNCUGAAUAUGCUACUUUCAAUCAUGUUUGAAAAAGUUACAGAACCCAAACAUGUAGAUUAAUGAAUAAGUCAAUUCUUAUAAUUACUUUAUAAAUGGAAUAUGAAAAGUAUUUAAAUUUUCUUUUUGUUUGACAUGAUCAAACAUUGUUCUAAUAACAAACCAGUACCUUAACAUGACAUCUCAUGCAUGCUAACAUCAAGUUGAUCUAAGCAUCAGGUCGAAUCAAUUAAAUCGGUAUCCGAGAAUACCUCGUUUGAAUUGAUAUUCGAAUNNNNNNNNNNNNNNNNNNNNNNNNNNNNNNNNNNNNNNNNNNNNNNNNNNNNNNNNNNNNNNNNNNNNNNNNNNNNNNNNNNNNNNNNNNNNNNNNNNNNAACCCAGGCUCAAAGAGACGGACGGAUAUUUUCAAGACCCAAGGCUUACCUGCACACCCACAAGUCACUAUGGGCUCUGGCUUGGUUGGACAACACGGCGCCUCUGGACAGGCGGUGCUAGCAGAUGUAGAAGAACGGUAGGAUUGGAUGGGCACCGACAAGGAUUCAGAGGGACCCGUUGAAAGACCAUGUUUUGAUCAUCCGGUCUUCAAACACCCUGAAGUGCGAGGACAUACACGGAGGCGAUAAAUCUUGUGGGGAACGUGUGUAAAACUCUGUAGAGUACUCAAACCUAAUCGAUUAGCCGUGUCCACGGUCAUGGACAACUUGAGCCAAAGGAACUGAAGUUAUCUGGAAUUCUCAACACCAUUACAUAUAUUUGAUGAGGGUAAUAUUGAUAACUUGGGUAUGAGAACUAGUUGGCGGAACCAUCUCAUUAACAACCAACAGCGUAGUAAUAUUUUGCUUUUAGCCCCUCUUGUUGUAGGAGAAAACUGGCUUUUCGCCAAAAACCUAUAGCCCCACCUGCCAUAUAUGCAUGUAGAAUAGAUGAUUAUUAUUUUACCCCCCUCUCUUAUGUGACUUGCCAGCAUAUUCAAUAUGCUGACCUACACGGCUGUAACGUCUUAUGUUGUAGAUCUUUUUCUUCGACGAGUAAGAGUACGAUUCAGGGUUACGGUCUACACUCAACUUGCCGUUGGUGUUUAUUGGGACUUCACUCCCUUGAUUGCUUCCGCUGAGAUAUUUAAGGUAUAUAUCAGUUUUACGCUAUUUACAUGUGAUUGCACUUUGAUAUAUACAUUGAUGUACUGUGUGUGCCAGCAUACUGAUCCAGGGAUGGCACAGAGACACAGAGGCUUGACUCGUUUUGAGUCGGGUCACUACAGAAAUGGUAUCAGAGCACAUGUUGACUGUAGGACGUGACCCUAGAAACUGGAAAUUUCUUAGGAUAGGAUCUCUCUAAAAAUUCUUCAAUAACACCUUUUACUUCUCAUCUCUUCUGAUUUCAUCAAACGUUCUCUCUCACCUCAAAUAGUUAGACAAUGCCCUUUCNNNNNNNNNNNNNNNNNNNNNNNNNNNNNNNNNNNNNNNNNNNNNNNNNNNNNNNNNNNNNNNNNNNNNNNNNNNNNNNNNNNNNNNNNNNNNNNNNNNNCCCCCCCCUCUAGCCAACCAUAUCGAUCCUUUCAGUUGAUGAAUGGGCCACGAGUUGCUGGUGGCGUGACCGAGGACCACGCGGAUGGUAGCGGGCUUGACCACGGGACUGAACGUCUCGCCGUAGUCAACGCCAGCUUGCUGAGUGAAGCCGCGGAGCACCCACCGCGCCUUAUAGCGAGCCAGCGAGCUGUCGGGGUUGAAUUUGUGGCGGAAGAUCCACUUGCCGGUCACCACGUUUGCACCUGCAGGACGAGAAACCAACGACCAAGUGUCAUUCCGCAACAAUGCAUUAUACUCCUCAAGCAUAGCGUUGGCCCAGUUCGGAUCCUUGAGGGCGGCGCGGUAAGAGGAGGGGAUGGGGCUGAUGGCGGAUGACGGGGGCGUAGAGGCGGUGAGAGAGAUGAUGUUUGGGAAGGAAGAAGCCGGCCUUACCACGGGUGCGCAUACCGUGCUGGUUCUGGGGGGGAGCCACAGGAACUGUGCGGGGGGGGGGGGGGGGNNNNNNNNNNNNNNNNNNNNNNNNNNNNNNNNNNNNNNNNNNNNNNNNNNNNNNNNNNNNNNNNNNNNNNNNNNNNNNNNNNNNNNNNNNNNNNNNNNNNNNNNNNNNNNNNNNNNNNNNNNNNNNNNNNNNNNNNAGGUGUGCGCACGGCAGAGCACGGGAGAGACGCGGAGGCAGGGCCGGAGUGUUCUGGGGUGGAGGCAGUGGAGGGACGUGGGGAACGCGCUGCUGCAUGGGGGGGGGAAGCGGCGCGAUGGGCCUGCAUGGCGAGGGGUGGGUUGGGUGCGGCUGCAUGGGGGUGUAGCGUGGCUGCAUGGGGAGGAAGCAGCGCGAUUGGUCUGCAUGGCGCGACUGCAUGGGGGUGUAGCGUUGCUGAGGAGCGACCGCACGUGGUGCGAGGGCUGGUAUGGCGGGGUGAGCAGGAGUCGGGAUUGGCUGCAUGGCAGGGCAAGCGGGAGCCNNNNNNNNNNNNNNNNNNNNNNNNNNNNNNNNNNNNNNNNNNNNNNNNNNNNNNNNNNNNNNNNNNNNNNNNNNNNNNNNNNNNNNNNNNNNNNNNNNNNUCAUGCGGGGCAGGGGGGCGGGGGCCGAGGACGCCGACCGCGUUGGCAGGAGUCCAGGGCGCACGCCACUGCUGCGGAGUCGGGGCAGGCGAUCCCCACGGGGCUAAGUACCCGAGCCAUGGCUGCUGGCCACCAAGACCUCGGCCGGGGUUGGGCGAGGAGCCGGUGGAGCCGCGACCACGGCCGCGGCCGCCGCGCUGGCGAUCGCCGACAUCAGGCCCUUUCCCCUUGUCCUGCUGAGAGGGAGGCACGCGGUCGGUGGAGGAGUCGUUGGAGGAGGAGCCGCCGGCGGGGCCAAUGGCAAGAGCAGAGGCCCCGACAGCGCGUUCCCGUUCGGUGAGACCGAUCUCGUCCAGGAGGAGGCGAGAGCGGGCUUGGACGAACGUCGGGAAGGGUUGCUGCAUCGGGAGCAGGGUGGCCAUGACGUGGAAGCGCCGGUUCAAGCCGCAGACGAGUUGAAGGGUGAGCGAGCGGUCGGAGACCGGCUCACCCACGUCGGCCAUGGCGUUGGCCAACUGUUGGAGGCGGCGGCAGUACUGGGCGAUUGUCAUGUCGCCUUGCGCCGUCGCCCGGAACUCGGCGCCGAUGUGGACGGCGCGGCCGGAGGCGUUGUCGCGGAAGAAGACCUCCAGUUGAUCCCGGAGAUGGAACGCCGUGCUCUCCGGGGACUGGAUCACGUCGGAGAUGGUGCCGUAGAUCCAAAGAACGACCGUGACGUCGUCGUUGCGCCAGACGGGGUCCUCAUGGAGUGGAUCGGCCGCGUCAAGGACGUGGUCCUCGACGUGGUAUUUGCAGAGGACAAACCAGAAAAGCUGGCACCACUUGGAGUAGUUGUUGUCGUCGAGGCUGAGUUUAAACGGGAUGAAGUUGGCGAUGUUUACAUGGUUGGUUGGGAUGGCGGGGAGGUGGAUGGGUGAGAGAGGGAUAGCGAGGGCAUUGGCGCCUGGGCAGGCGAUGCGGAGCGGAGGAACUGCCGGCGCAGCGGCACGGCAAAGGACCCGAGCAUUGGGGGAGGCUGGGGCCGGGGCGACGGGGUCGGCGACCGGAACGGCGUGCUCAGGGCCGGGGGCGACGGGCGGGAGAACGAAUGGCGCGUCAGCGUCCCCGAAGGAGCGGGUGCGGCAGAGGGGGCGCCGGUAGNNNNNNNNNNNNNNNNNNNNNNNNNNNNNNNNNNNNNNNNNNNNNNNNNNNNNNNNNNNNNNNNNNNNNNNNNNNNNNNNNNNNNNNNNNNNNNNNNNNNCAAACGUCCACUCUUUCCCCUCCUCUCCCCUGACCCCCACCGCCGCCACCCCUGCGCCCCCGACGCUACCACGGUGCCCCACAGCCCCGACGCCGCCGUCACACUGCCCCAAGCGCCGCCGCCCCGGUUCCCCACAGCCCCCCGACCCCGCCGCCCCACCGCCCCCGCCGCCGCCCCGCAGCCCCAACACCGUCGGCGCCGCCCAAAUAGCCCUGGCCCCGCCGCCCACGACGCCACAGCCACCCCUGUCGGUGAGCCCCCACACCCCACACCCCCCAUGGGAAAUUAACUUGUUGUUAUUUAGUUUUAUGGAGGAAGAAGAAGAGGAGGAGGAGGAGGAGGAGGAGGAGGAGAAGAAGAAGAAGAAGAGAAGAAAAAGAAGAAGGAGAAGAAGAAGAGAAGAAGAGAAGAAGAAAAAAAUAAGAAGGAGAAGAAGAGAAAAAAAGAAUAAGUAGAAGAAGAGGAUAAAGAAAAAUAGAAAUAGAAAUAAGAGGAAUAAGAAGAAUAAGAAGAAGAGGAGAAGAAAGAGGAAAAAUGAAAAGAAGAAGAAGAGAAGAAGGAGAANNNNNNNNNNNNNNNNNNNNNNNNNNNNNNNNNNNNNNNNNNNNNNNNNNNNNNNNNNNNNNNNNNNNNNNNNNNNNNNNNNNNNNNNNNNNNNNNNNNNUUGAUUCAAAUCAACUCUAAACCUAAUACAUGUUGAUUAUAAUAGUUUAUCACCUUGCAUUCUCAUGCCAUGCUCAUUCAUCAUCUUGUUUACAUAUGAUUGCUAUUGAUUGUUGCCAUUCAUUUCGGUAGGCUCCGCACCCCGGAUUCUACCGAAUAUCCGUCUGACGGAUAUUGUCCCUCCUCUGAGCAACAAGGCAAGCAACCCUUUUGAUCAUCCCGAUAAUUACCAUGUUCUUGCUCCUGCACUUAUUUAUUGCAUUAGGAUCAAAUGCUUCAACUGCUUUUGCCACGUUAGUUGAACCUACUUCCUUUGCAUGACCUAACCUUGUCACAGUAAAUAGCCGAACCUUGCAACCUAGCAUACCUGGUAGUUGCUUGAGCUCUGAUGUGCCUUAUCCUGCUAUGCAUGCUAUGCUUAGAGUUGUGUAUGGNNNNNNNNNNGUGAUUCAAAUCAACUCUAAACCUAAUACAUCUUGAUUAUAAUAGUUUAUCACCUUGCAUUCUCAUGCCAUGCUCAUGCAUCAUCUUGUUUGCAUAUGAUUGUUAUUGAUUGUUGCCAUUCAUUUCGGUAGGCUCCGCACCCCCGGAUUCCACCGAAUAUCCGUCUCACGGAUAUUGUCCCUCCUCUGAGCAAGAAGGCAAGCAACCCUUUUUAUCAUCCCGAUAAUUCCCAUGUUCUUGCUCCUGCCCUUAUUUAUUGCAUUAGGAUCAAAUGCUUCAACUGCUUUUGCCACGAUAGUUGAACCCACUUCCUUUGCAUGACUUAACCUUGUCACAGUAAAUAGUCAAACCUUGCAACCUAGCAUACCUGAUAGUAGCUUGAGCUAUGAUGUGCCUUAUCCUGCUAUGCAUGCUAUGCUUAGAGUUGUGUAUGNNNNNNNNNNACACUUACUUAUUGCAUGAGGAUCAAAUGCUUCAAAUGCUUUUGCCACGUUAGUUGAACCCACUUCCUUUGCAUGACCUAUCCUUGUCACAGUAAAUAGCUGAACCUUGCAACCUAGCAUACCUGGUAGUUGCUUGAGCCAUGAUGUGCCUUAUCCUGUUAUGCAUGCUAUGCUUAGAGUUGUGUAUGNNNNNNNNNNUCUGUCAUCUGGGAGAUGAACAGAAUUGUGAGAAUGUGUUCGGUAAGCAAAGGUUGUGUGUUGAACCUGAUUUGGUAAAGGUACCGGUGAAAGGUUGUGUAGGAGUACAUGGCGGGUUGUUUCAUUGGAACCGUCCUUAGGAACUGAUUUGCGUGUAUGUAAUCCAAGACGAGAUACUACCACAUGAUGGGCCCUGAAAUAUGACCCCGCUCGACUUAUUAAUCGCUUAGUACUCNNNNNNNNNNNNNNNNNNNNNNNNNNNNNNNNNNNNNNNNNNNNNNNNNNNNNNNNNNNNNNNNNNNNNNNGAGAGGUGGGCUGUGAUGCGGUAGGCAGUGGCAUGGUGUACCAAGUGGCACCCGGAUGGUGGGCUUGGGAACCCUGCGCACAUCGUUUGGGGCCGUGGCGGAAACCUCGGCCGGACUUUCGUGCGGGUUACCCUCAGAUAGGCGAUAGACCUGGACUAGGUACUAAUGUGGNNNNNNNNNNGCCUAUUAAUCUCUUAGUACUCGGUCCAGGAGUUGCAAGUAGUUUCUGGUGUUUAUAGUAAUGCUGGAGGCCGUGCAUGGUGCUGACCUGAGAGGUGGGCCGUGAUACGGUAGGCAGUGGCAUGGUGUACCAAGUGGCACCCGGAUGGUGGGCUUGGGAACCCCGCGCACAUCGUUUGAGGCCGUGGCGGAAACCUCGGCCGGACUUCCGUACGGGUUACUCUCAGAUAGGCGAUAAACCUGGAUUAGGUACUAGUGUGGUUAACGGUCGUGGCCGACUCCCUCGUAGGGCUUCCGCUUGAAGGUUGCCGAGGUGCAUGACGUGCACAUGGCGAUAAGUGGUGAGAGCGUGUGUGAAGAAGUACACCCCUGCAGGGUUAUGAUCUAUUCGAAUAGCUGCGUCCACGGAUAUGGAAUACUUGGAGACAUAUGUUGUUCAUAGAUAACUUCAAUGGCUACUCAUANNNNNNNNNNAAGAGGUGGGAUGUGAUGCGGUAGGCAGUGGCACGGUGUACCAAGUGGCACCCAGAUGGUGGGCUUGGGAACCCUGCGCACAUCGUUUGGGACCGUGGCGGAAACCUCGGCCGGACUUCCCUACGGGUUACCCUCAGAUAGGCGAUAGACCUGGACUAGGUACUAAUGUGGUUAACGGUCGUGGCCGACUCCCUCGCUGGGCUUCUGCUUGAAGGUUAACGAGGUGCAUGAUGUGCACAUGGCGAUAAGUGGUGAGAGCGUGUGUGACGAAGUACACCCCUGCAGGGUUAUGAUCUAUUCGAAUAGCCGCGUCCGCGGAUAUGGACUACUUGGAGACAUAUGUUGUUCAUAGAUAACAUCAAUGGCUACUCGAAAAAUUGCCAAGAUAAGCGUGGGUGUCGUGGACGGCAUUUCUGUAUGGAGACAGAAUGAUUCCACAAUGGUGUAUUGUUGUGGUGUUAGUGGACUCGUGUGCGAGAAAUCAAGUUGUCAAAAUUAUUUAAAAAUCAAGUUGUCUAGCCACGAGUCAGAUGCUGGCUUUCCGCAUGAAACCCCACAAUACCUUUUUGAUACCUUGCAUGAGUAGUUAGUUAUCCUAAAGUCUUGCUGGGUACCUUCGUACUCAUGUUUGCUUAAUAAUUGUUGCAGAGGUUGCUAAUGACCCUAAUGGAGGGUUCUUCGUAGACAUCGACGACGACGAGUAGCUGGUGUCCCAGCUACGAUCUGGCCNNNNNNNNNNAGUACCUUCGUACUCAUGUGUGCUUAAUAAUUGUUGCAGAGGUUGCUAAUGACCGUAAUGGAGGGUUCUCCAUAGACAUCGACGACGACGAGUAGCUGGUGUCCCAGCUACGAUCUGGCCCUACGUUGGGUCUGUAGUAUAGUCAGCCCAUGUGCCUUCUAGUUGCCCUGUCUGUACUCAGACAGUUUAAACUCUUCCGCUGGCAUGUAACUGAAUGACUGCUAUUAUGGGUCGUGAGACCCUUAAUGUGUAAUAUUAUGUGUGUGGCUCUUCCGAGCCUCUUAAAUAAAGGUUGUAUGUAUAUGGUUAUGUUGUGAUGCCAUUGAUGUAUCUAUACAUAUCGGUAUGCCAUGCGUACGUGUGCCGUACUUGAUAUGUAUGGGGUUCGAUUACUUAGUCGUGAACUUUAGUANNNNNNNNNNUCUUGGUAGUUCGCUACUGCUCCGGACACAUUGGUUGACCGGCAUCUGUCCUUCUUAGCUGUUGUGUCUGUCCCCUUUGGGGAAAUGUCACGCGAUGUAAUGGAGUCCUUGUAGCUUGCUGCGACUCGUCUACAUUCGCUGAUGACCGACACCUCCUUUUUGGGUCAUGUAUGCCUGUCCUUGUGCGGUACUGCCACUUUGGUUUAUGACUAGACNNNNNNNNNNNNNNNNNNNNNNNNNNNNNNNNNNNNNNNNNNNNNNNNNNNNNNNNNNNNNNNNNNNNNNNNNNNNNNNNNNNNNNNNNNNNNNNNNNNNAGGUUGAGCUUCCAGGUCAUGGAGGUAAUCUCUAUGAGAUGUUCUAUGUGGAUGCCUGAGCUAUGAGCGGAAGGAUAGUAUGGUAGUAGCCGUACGUUCACAGUCCUGUGUGACUUGUGAAGUAUGCCUGUGAUGUGAAAUGAAUUCCGGAGGCCUAGAUAAAUAAUGUAUAGGAAGCUUGUAAGCCUCUGAUGAGUAGUUUCAUAAUUUCAGUAGUUUGCUCUUCGAGUAAGGUUGUACUGAACUAUGUAAGGGUGUGUAUGAACCAUGGUGUAUAUAUAGCAGUUGCUUGCUACCAUGUUGUUCGGAUAUUCAUUUCCGCAUUUCGUGUGUUCAGUACAUUCUUAAUCCAUAGCUAGUAUUGAUAUGAUAUUGGUCUAAGUUGUGAGUUUGUUUGUCAGGAUGGUGUUCACCAGGUUGAACCGUACCCCUGCUCAUGAGCAAGGCGAGGGUAGUCAAGCGUCGCAGGAAGACCUGCCUCACCCGCCCUCUCUAGCGGAAGUUAUGCUAGAGGCAGAGAGAAACAAAAGAGAGACCAACCGUUUGUUAGAGCGUAUUGAGAAGAAUACGGCUCGUCAGCCUAGGAAUGCUGCACUGUCCCUCAACGACUUUGUGAAGCUGAAUCCUCCAAAGUUCCAUCACUCCGUCGAUCCCCUCGACGCUAAUGACUGGUUGUGCAGCAUCUCACGCAAGAUUCGCUCUGCGAAUGUUUCUGAGGCCGACAAGGUGACCUUUGCGGCGUAUUUCCUGGAAGGACCCGUCAAUCUGUGGUGGGAGAACUUUGAAGCUAUGCGUCCUGCUGAACCAGCAGCCACAUGGGCAGACUUCAGUGCAGCCUUUCGUUUGCACCAUAUUCCAGAGGGCCUGAUGGACAGAAAGAGAGGGGAGUUCUGUGCCUUCACUCAGGGCAAGUUGACCGUGGAUGCCUAUAGCCGCGAGUUCGGUAACCUCGCCCGCUAUGCAACANNNNNNNNNNAGCCAAGAAGCAAGCAAGAUUACGACAGGGUCUGAGCCCUGAGCUUCGUCGUGAUCUGCGCCUCCACGAGUGUGCAAGCUUUCAAGCCCUGGUCAACAAGGCGAUCAGUGCCGAGACUGGUCAUACUGACUUUGAAGCCACAAGGAAGCACUCCCGUGACUUUGGCUCGUCUUCUGGUUCCACAUUUCCAAAACGCAGGCUGUGGGUUCCGAACAGUUCUCUACCGCCAAGAUACACUCCGAGGCCAUCCUACGUGGCGCCUCAGACGAAUCAGACCAACCCUCCAGCAAAAACUUAUGGUGGUCCAGCUAGCAAUGCUGCACCACGUGCCAACCAAGUGAUAUGCUACAAGUGUGGAGAACCAAGGCACUAUUCCCGUGAGUGUCCUCAAAAUGUGGGUGCGAAGCAACCCGGAAAGUCCGUCGGGCAAGGCAAGUCGGGCAAAGCUUACUAUGUGAAGCCAACUCCUGCACGUGGCCGUGUGAACUAUGUGUCAGCAGAAGAAGCUGCAGAGGAUCCCGACGUCAUGCUGGCUACGCUUCUUGUUAAUCAUCACCCAGCGUCCGUUCUAUUUGACACUGGGUCUUCUCAUUCCUUCAUUUCAGAAAGUUAUGCACAGUUGCAUAACNNNNNNNNNNNNNNNNNNNNNNNNNNNNNNNNNNNNNNNNNNNNNNNNNNNNNNNNNNNNNNNNNNNNNNNNNNNNNNNNNNNNNNNNNNNNNNNNNNNNUGGCUUUUGUUACUCGUUAUGGCCAAUACGAGUACACCGUCAUGUCCUUCGGGUUAACCAAUGCCCCAGCCACCUUCUCUCGUUUGAUGAAUUCAAUCUUCAUGGAGUAUUUGGAUAAAUUCGUCGUGGUAUACCUCGAUGAUAUUCUCAUCUACUCAAAGAAUGAACAAGAACAUGCCGAGCAUCUAAGGCUGGUAUUGAUGAAACUUCGAGAGCAUCGCCUUUAUGCCAAGUUUUCAAAGUGUGAAUUUUGGUUACCAGAAGUGACCUAUCUGGGUCACGUAAUCUCUCGUAAGGGUAUUGCUGUCAAUCCCGAGAGAGUUCAAGCUGUCCUUGAUUGGACUCAACCUGAAUCGGUUAAGCAAGUUAGGAUUUUUCUUGGUCUAGCGAGCUAUUGUCGCCGCUUCGUCGAGAAUUUCUCCAAGGUUGCAAAGCCUCUAACUGAACUCCUCAAGAAAGUUAAAAGGUUCGAGUGGACACCACAGUGUGAGCAUAGUUUUGAGGAACUGAAAAUACGCCUGACUUCCGCACCUGUGUUGCUACCACCAGAUUUUUCUAAGGACUUUGUUAUCUACUGCGACGCCUCGCGACAAGGAUUAGGUUGCAUUCUCAUGCAAGAUCGUCAUGUGAUCGCAUGCAUCUCGACAGUUGCGUCCACAUGAGGAUAAUUAUCCCACACAUGACCUUGAGCUUGCAGCUGUGGUCCAUGCACUAAAAACCUGGCGACAUUACCUUCUGGGUAAUCGUUGCGAAAUAUUCACUGAUCACCAAAGUCUGAAAUAUAUCUUCACCCAGCCGGAUUUGAAUCUCAGGCAAAGACGGUGGGUUGAGUUGAUCUCAGAUUACGACUUAGGGAUAACUUACACCCCGGGGAAGGCCAAUGUUAUGGCUGAUGCACUAAGUCGUAAAUCUUAUUGUAACAAUUUGAUGCUACAACAAGGUCAACCACAUCUCUCUGAGGACUUGCGGGAGUUGAAUCUUCAUAUUGUUCCUCAAGGAUUCCUUUCUACCUUGGUGGUGAAGCCUACCCUUAAGGAUCAAAUUAUAGCUGGCCAAAAGCGUGACAAGGGUAUAUCACGGAUCAUGGAGAAUAUUUUUAGCGGAAACACUAAAGAAUUUUCCAUGAACGAUCAAGGUGUUGUGUUCUUCCAGAAUCGUCUAGUGGUUCCUAAGAACCCACAUCUAAGGCAGUUAAUCCUUAAGGAGGCUCAUGAUUCUCCUCUCACCAUUCAUCCCGGUAGGACUAAGAUGUAUCAGGACCUACGCCAGAGGUUCUAGUGGACUAGGAUGAAGAGAGAAAUUGCUGAGUUCGUUGCUAACUGCGAUGUUUGUCGUCGAGUUAAGGCAGAACAUCAAAGGCCUGCUGGCACCCUUNNNNNNNNNNAAGGCCCAUGAUUCUCCUCUCACCAUUCAUCCCGGUAGUACUAAGAUGUAUCAGGACCGACGCCAGAGGUUCUGGUGGACUAGGAUGAAGAGAGAAAUUGCUGAGUUCGUUGCUAACUGCGACGUUUGUCGUCGAGUUAAGGCAGAACAUCAAAGGCCUGCUGGCACCCUUCAACCUCUAGCUAUUCCUGAAUGGAAAUGGGAUAAAGUUAGUAUGGAUUUCAUUACCGGAUUUCCCAAGACCAAGAAAGGAAAUAAUGCUAUCUUUGUGGUCAUUGACCGUCUUUCCAAAGUGGCUCAUUUUCUUCCUGUUCUUGAGAAUAUAACAGCUAGCCAGCUAGCAGAGUUAUAUAUCUCCCGAAUAGUGUCUCUUCAUGGUGUUCCCCUGGAGAUUAUCUCGGACCGUGGGAGUAUCUUUACUUCUCGCUUCUGGGAAAGUUUUCAGAAUGCCAUGGGGACUCACCUAUCUUUUNNNNNNNNNNCGUUCGUGAGAGUAUAAUAGCUAGCCAGCUAGCAGAGUUAUACAUCUCUCGAAUAGUGUCUCUUCAUGGUGUUCCCCUGGAGAUUAACUCGGACCGUGGGAGUAUCUUUACUUCCCGCUUCUGGGAAAGUUUUCAGAAUGCCAUGGGGACUCACCUAUCUUUUAGCACUGCUUUCCAUCCCCAAUCAAGUGGUCAAGUAGAAAGAGUGAAUCAAAUCCUAGAAGAUAUGCUCCGAGCUUGUGUUAUAUCGUUCGGUAUGAAUUGGGAGAAGUACCUUCCAUUCNNNNNNNNNNNNNNNNNNNNNNNNNNNNNNNNNNNNNNNNNNNNNNNNNNNNNNNNNNNNNNNNNNNNNNNNNNNNNNNNNNNNNNNNNNNNNNNNNNNNAUGACGUCGGGAUCCUCUGCAGCUUCUUCUGCUGACACAUAGUUCACACGGCCACGUGCAGGAGUUGGCUUCACAUAGUAAGCUUUGCCCGACUUGGCUUGCCCGACGGACUUUCCGGGUUGCUUGGCACCCACAUUCUGAGGACACUCACGGGAAUAGUGCCCUCGUUCUCCACACUUGUAGCAUAUCACUUGGUUGGCACGUGGUGCAGCAUUGCUAGCUGGACCACCAUAAGCUUUUGCUGAAGGGUUGGCCUGAUUCGUCUGAGCCGCCACGUAGGAUGGCCUCGGAGUGUAUCUUGGCGGCAGAGAACUGUUCGGAACCCACAGCCUGCGUUUUGGAAACGCGGAACCAGAAGACGAGCCAAAGUCACGGGAGUGCUUCCUUGUGGCUUCGAAGUCAGUAUGACCAGUCUCGGCACUGAUCACUUUGUUGACCAGGGCUUGAAAGCUUGCACACUCAUGGAGGCGCAGAUCACGACGAAGCUCAGGGCUCAGACCCUUAUGGAAUCUUGCUUGCUUCUUGGCGUCAGUAGACACCUCCUCUGUUGCAUAGCGGGCGAGGUUACCGAACUCGCGGCUAUAGGCAUCCACAGACAACUUGCCCUGAGUGAAGGCACAUAACUCUUCUCUCUUUCUGUCCAUCAGGCCCUCUGGAAUAUGGUGCAGACGAAAGGCUGCACUGAAGUCCGCCCAUGUGGCUGUUGGUUCAGCGGGACACAUUGCUUCAAAAUUCUCCCACCACAGACUGGCGGGUCCUUCGAGGAAAUACGCCGCAAAGGGUCACCUUGUCGGCCUCAGACACAUUCGUAGAGCGAAUCUUGCGUGAGAUGCUGCACAGCCAGUCAUCAGCGUCGAGGGGAUCGACGGAAUGAUGAAACUUUGCAGGAUUCAGCUUCACAAAGUCAUUGAGGGACACUACGGCAUUCCUAGGCUGUCGAGCCGUAUUCUGCUCAUUACUCUCUAACAGUCGAUUAGUCUCCCUUUUGUUUCUCUCUGCCUCAAGCAUCACUUCCGCCAGAGAGGGCGGAUGAGGCAGGUCUUCCUGCGACGCUUGACUACCCUCGCCUUGCUCAUGACCAGGGGCACGGUUCAACCUGGUGAACACCAUCUUGACAAACAAACUCAUAGCUUAGACCAAUAUCAUAUCAAUACUAGCUAUGGAUUAAGAAUCUACUGAACACAGGGAAUGCGGAAAUGAAUAUCCGAACAGCAUGGUAACAAGCAACUGCUAUAUAUACACCAUGGUUCAUACACACCCUUACAUAGNNNNNNNNNNNNNNNNNNNNNNNNNNNNNNNNNNNNNNNNNNNNNNNNNNNNNNNNNNNNNNNNNNNNNNNNNNNNNNNNNNNNNNNNNNNNNNNNNNNNNNNNNNNNNNNNACAUACUUCGCAAUUCACGCAGGACUGUGAACGUACGGCUACUACCAUACUAUCCUUCUGCUCACUGCUCAGGCAUCCGCAUAGAACAUCUCAUAGAGAUUACCNNNNNNNNNNUGCUUCCUAUACAUUAUUUAUCUAGGCCUCCGGAAUUCAUUUCACAUUACACGCAUACUUCACAAUUCACGCAGGACUGUGAACGUACGGCUACUACCAUACUAUCCUUCCGCUCACAGCUCAGGCAUCCCCAUAGAACAUCUCAUAGAGAUUACCUCCAUGACCUGGAAGCUCAACCUGCGGAUCAGGAAACACUCUAGCCUGAGAUCCCUGGGAUCCAUAAGGACACGGAUGUGGCCUUGGUCCCCUUACUGGUGGUAAGAGGGGCCCCCGAAGAGGGGUGACUCCUCCUAUAGCUGGCCAGUCAACGUGGGCCGGAAGAUGGGUCCUAACAGGGUUCAGCAUCUCCAUAUCUCCGUACCCUGUCUGGACUACUGGUGCGAGCUGUGUCAAAGCCGUCCACAGACGGGCACGGGUAGCAUAAAGCUCCAUGCGGNNNNNNNNNNGACUGGUGGUAAGAGGGGUCCCCGAAGAGGUGUGACUCCUCCUAUAGCUGGCCAGUCAAUAUGGGCCGGAAGAUGGGUCCUAACAGGGUUCAGCAUCUCCAUCUCUCCAUACCCUGUCUGGACUACCGGUGCCUGCUGCGUCAAAGCCGUCCACAGACGGGCACGGGUAGCAUAAAGCUCCAUGCGGAGAGCACGAGCAUCCCUGUCUAUGUUCUCUACCAUCUCAACAGUGGACUACAGUAGUGGAUCCUCCAUAGAAGAAUCAAAAUAGACUCCCCUGAGGUAUCCCUCUUCACCAGGCUGAGAGGCAGGAACAUAGCAGAACUCUGAAUUCUGCAGCAGUGCAUGGCUCGCCCUCAUAAUGGUCAGCAUUGAAUAGGCAGCAUCUUGUACUGCCAUGUCAACAGUGAAUCCCAACCCAUAGGACCAAUGGAUUGGCUCCUCAGCUCCAGGGUAGUCUGGAAAUACCCUAACAGUGCAGAUAUACUGGCUCUGGUUGAAGUCUCGGUACUGUUCCUCCACUGUGUACUCGGGGUACCAGCGGUAACCGCACACNNNNNNNNNNCUGUUCUCUAGCAUCUCAACCGUGGACUGCAGUAGUGGAUCCUCCAUAGAAGAAUCAAAAUAGACUCCACUGAGGUAUCCCUCUUCACCAGGCUGAGAGGCCGGAACAUAGCAGAACUCUGAAUUCUGCAGCAGUGCAUGUCUCUCUCUCAUAAUGGUCAGCAUUGAAUAGGCAGCAUCUUGUACUGCCAUGUCAACAGUGAAUCCCAACCCAUAGGACCAAUGGAUUGGCUNNNNNNNNNNNNNNNNNNNNNNNNNNNNNNNNNNNNNNNNNNNNNNNNNNNNNNNNNNNNNNNNNNNNNNNNNNNNNNNNNNNNNNNNNNNNNNNNNNNNUGUUACGAGGGUUUCCGGAAUGGUCCGGAAACGAAGAUUGAUAUAUAGGAUGACCUCAUUUGAUUACCGGAAGGUUUUCGGAGUUAUCGGGAAUGUACCGGGAAUGACGAAUGGGUUCCGGGAGUUCACCGGGGGGGCAACCCACCCCGGGGAAGCCCAUAGGCCAUAAGGGUGGCGCACCAGCCCUUAGUGGGCUGGUGGGACAUCCCAAAAGGGCCCUAUGCGCCAUACAAAGGAAAAUCAAAGAGAAAGAAAAAAGGGAGGUGGGAAGGAAGGGAAGGACUCCCACCCACCAAACCAAGUCCAACUCGGUUUGGGGGGGGAGCCUUCCCCCCUUGGACUCGGCCGACUCCCUUGGGGCUCCUUGAGCCCCAAGGCAAGGUCCCCUCCCUCCCACCUAUAUAUACGGAGGUAUGGGGGCUUAUUUGAGACGACUUUUCCACGGCAGCCCGACCACAUACCUCCACGGUUUUUCCUCUAGAUCGCGUUUCUACGGAACUCGGGCGGAGCCCUGCUGAGACAAGGUCAUCACCAACCUCCGGAGCACCGUCACGCUGCCGAAGAACUCUUCUACCUCUCCGUCUCUCUUGCUGGAUCAAGAAGGCCGAGAUCAUCGUCGAGCUGUACGUGUGCUGAACGCGGAGGUGCCGUCCGUUCGGUACUAGAUCGUGGGACUGAUCGCGGGAUUGUUCGCGGGGCGGAUCGAGGGACGUGAGGACGUUCCACUACAUCAACCGCGUUCACUAACGCUUCUGCUGUACGAUCUACAAGGGUACGUAGAUCACUCAUCCCCUCUCGUAGAUGGACAUCACCAUGAUAGGUCUUCGUACGCGUAGGAAAAUUUUUGUUUCCCAUGCGACGUUCCCCAACAGUUACAUUGGUCCUUUUCGCAUUCUUGCCAAACAAGGAGAAGUUUCCUACCAGUUGGAGCUUCCCCCGCAUCUUUCCAAGGUUCAUGAUGUCUUCCACGUCUCGCAACUCAGGCGAUGCUUUUCGGAUCCUAUCCGUGAAGUGGACCACGAAACGCUUGAUCUCCAAGAUAACCUUUCAUACCGAGAAUACCCCGUGCGUAUUCUUGAUCAAGCUGAGCGUACCACUCGACGUAGAAACCUCAAGUUUCUUAAAGUUCAAUGGUCAAAUCAUUCUGAAAAGGAGGCAACUUGGGAAAGAGAGGAUCGUCUCCGACUUGAGUAUCCUGCGUUAUUUCCGACGACUUCUAAAUCUCGGGACGAGAUUCUUUUGAGUGGGGGUGAGUUGUCACAUCCCUGACACCUUAAUCAAGUUAGCCUCGUGCUCAUGUUUUCUUUGCAUUGCAUCUAGGAAAUUUUCAACAAGAAAAAGUAAGUGGUGAAGGAAAACUCAACAAACCCUAGCCAUUUCUCAAAUUAAAGGAAAUUUCAAACUAGUUAAAAUCAAUGAACCCAANNNNNNNNNNNNNNNNNNNNNNNNNNNNNNNNNNNNNNNNNNNNNNNNNNNNNNNNNNNNNNNNNNNNNNNNNNNNNNNNNNNNNNNNNNNNNNNNNNNNCGCCAGCGCGACGCCCGCGUCUUCUUAUCCUCCUCCCCGCGGCUCUAUCCUCUCCCUAGGCCUCUCGAUCCCCUUUCCCUCUCGGAUCUCUCUCUCCCCGAAGCUCUGGCCGCCGUCGAUCUGUCAUCUCCCGGUCCUCCCCGACCCUGCCGGCUGCCUCACAAGAUCCGCCAAGAGCUCCUCUUCCUGUUCCCCCUCUACCCGAGGCUUUCCCCCUCCUCUAACCACGUUAGCCGCCGGAGCCCGAAGGACCUCGUCGCCGGCCAUGUCAUUGCCGUCGUUGUGGUACUUGGCUCGCGAGGCCGAGCUCAGGAAUGAGCUCCUCGAGCUCUGUAGAUGGCGUAGGGUCUCUCUCCCAGCUCGCUAGCCCCCUGCAUCGGCACUGUCGUCGACGCCCGAGCCGCAGCCGCCGCUGGCCUCAUCGCCGGCAAGGAUUCCGGUGACCACCGGGUCCAGCUCCACUCCAGAUAGAUGCGGCAUUUCACCAGCUGCCUGUAGCUCUCUUCUGCACCCAAAACCGAUGGCCGUAGCGCUGUCUGGCUCUCUCCGGCGAGCCCUCCGCCGCGCCCGUGGUCGCCGCCGGCCAUACUCCGGUGGGGGCCGACGUGGCCAAGUUAAUUCGGUAGUUUAGAGGCUUAAACUCUCGCUGACAGUGGGCCCAAGGCCAAGUCAACUUAAUUAAGGGGCCGGUCAGCGCGGGAUUAACCCCAGAGAGGCUGACCAGUGGGUCCCCCCUGCCAGGUUUGACCUGAACAGGUCGGCUGACCUGCUGAUGUCAGGCUGACGCAAUAAAGAGAUUUUUCAAUAUAAGAAUAUUUCCAGAAAUGUGUAAAACUUCGAAAAUUCAUAGAAAUUAAUCUGUAACUCCAAUGAAUAUAAUUUAUAUAUGAAAAAGUAUCAGAAAAAUGCAAGGAAUCUGAAUAUGCUACUUUUAAUCAUGUUUGAAAAAGUUACAGAACCCAAACAUGUAGAUUAAUGAAUAAGUCAAUUCUUAUAAUUACUUUAUAAAUGGAAUAUGAAAAGUAUUUAAAUUUUCUUUUUGUUUGACAUGAUCAAACAUUGUUCUAAUAACAAACCAGUACCUUAACAUGACAUCUCAUGCAUGCUAACAUCAAGUUGAUCUGAGCAUCAGGUCGAAUCAAUUAAAUCGGUAUCCGAGAAUACCUCGUUUGAAUUGAUAUUCGAAUGUGAUUCAAAUCAACUCUAAACCUAAUACAUCUUGAUUAUAAUAGUUUAUCACCUUGCAUUCUCAUGCCAUGCUCAUGCAUCAUCUUGUUURCAUAUGAUUGYUAUUGAUUGUUGCCAUUCAUUUCGGUAGGCUCCGCACCCCGGAUUCUACCGAAUAUCCGUCUGACGGAUAUUGUCCCUCCUCUGAGCAACAAGGCAAGCAACCCUUUUGAUCAUCCCGAUAAUUACCAUGUUCUUGCUCCUGCACUUAUUUAUUGCAUUAGGAUCAAAUGCUUUCAACUGCUUUUGCCACGUUAGUUGAACCUACUUCCUUUGCAUGACCUAACCUUGUCACAGUAAAUAGCCGAACCUUGCAACCUAGCAUACCUGGUAGUUGCUUGAGCUCUGAUGUGCCUUAUCCUGCUAUGCAUGCUAUGCUUAGAGUUGUGUAUGGUCUGUCAUCUGGGAGAUGAACAGAAUUGUGAGAAUGUGUUCGGUAAGCAAAGGUUGUGUGUUGAACCUGACUUGGUAAAGGUACCGGUGAAAGGCUGUGUAGGAGUACAUGGCGGGUUGUUUCAUUGGAACCGUCCAUAGGAACUGAGUUCCGUGUAUGUAAUCCAAGACUAGAUACUACCACAUGCUGGGCCCUGAAAUAUGACCCCGCUCGGCCUAUUAAUCUCUUAGUACUCGGUCCAGGAGUUGCAAGUAGUUUCUGGUGUUUAUAGUAAUGCUGGAGGCCGUGCAUGGUGCUGACCUGAGAGGUGGGCCGUGAUACGGUAGGCAGUGGCAUGGUGUACCAAGUGGCACCCGGAUGGUGGGCUUGGGAACCCCGCGCACAUCGUUUGAGGCCGUGGCGGAAACCUCGGCCGGACUUCCGUACGGGUUACUCUCAGAUAGGCGAUAAACCUGGAUUAGGUACUAGUGUGGUUAACGGUCGUGGCCGACUCCCUCGCUGGGCUUCCGCUUGAAGGUUGCCGAGGUGCAUGACGUGCACAUGGCGAUAAGUGGYGAGAGCGUGUGUGAAGAAGUACACCCCUGCAGGGUUAUGAUCUAUUCGAAUAGCUGCGUCCACGGAUAUGGAAUACUUGGAGACAUAUGUUGUUCAUAGAUAACUUCAAUGGCUACUCAUAAAAUUGCCAAGAUAAGCGUGGGUGUCGUGGACGGCAUUUCUGUAUGGAGACGGAAUGAUUCAACGAUGGUGUAUUGUUGUGGUGUUAGUGGACUCGUGUGCGAGAAAUCAAGUUGUCAAAAUUAUUUAAAAAUGCAAGUUCUCUAGCCACGAGUCAGAUGCUGGCUUUCCGCAUGAAACCCCACAAUACCUUUUUGAUACCUUGCAUGAGUAGUUAGUUAUCCUAAAGUCUUGCUGGGUACCUUCGUACUCAUGUUUGCUUAAUAAUUGUUGCAGAGGUUGCUAAUGACCCUAAUGGAGGGUUCUUCGUAGACAUCGACGACGACGAGUAGCUGGUGUCCCAGCUACGAUCUGGCCCUACGUUGGGUCUGUAGUAUAGUCAGGCCAUGUGCCUUCUAGUUGCCCUGUCUGUACUCAGACAGUUUAAACUCUUCCGCUGGCUUGUAACUGAAUGACUGCUAUUAUGGGUCGUGAGACCCUUAAUGUGUAAUAUUAUGUGUGUGGCUCUUCCGAGCCUCUUAAAUAAAGGUUGUAUGUAUAUGGUUAUGUUGUGAUGCCAUUGAUGUAUCUAUACAUAUCGGUAUGCCAUGCGUACGUGUGCCGUACUUGAUAUGUAUGGGGUUCGAUUACUUAGUCGUGAACUUUAGUAGCACUCCUUACAAGGAAAUGCCCCUUUGUGAUCCAAUGAGUCUUGGUAGUUCGCUACUGCUCCGGACACAUUGGUUGACCGGCAUCUGUCCUUCUUAGCUGUUGUGUCUGUCCCCUUUGGGGAAAUGUCACGCGAUGUAAUGGAGUCCUUGUAGCUUGCUGCGACUCGUCUACAUUCGCUGAUGACCGACACCUCCUUUUUGGGUCAUGUAUGCCUGUCCUUGUGCGGUACUGCCACUUUGGUUUAUGACUAGACAUGUCGAUCCGGGUUCUUUGACAUUGGAAUGCUAGCGACACUAUUGCAUACGUGAGUCAAAAGACGCAAACGGUCCCGGCUAAGGUAAGGCUGCAGCCGUGGAGUUAACCGUGCGUGAGACCGCAAAGGGAUGCGAUGUGUUACAGACUGGAUUCCUAUGGCUUAGGAUCGGGGUCCCGCAUGCAGACCCUGUGGGUUCGAGAACUAUGUACACAUGACCUAAGACAUUCUCCGGUCAAUAACCAAUAAUGGAACCUGGAUGCCCAUAUUGGAUCCUACAUGUUCUACAAAUAUCUUUAUCGGUUGAACCUCUAUGUCAAGGAUUCAGUUAAUCCCGUAGGUUGUGCCCUUUGUCCAUUGGUAUAUUACUUGCCCGAGAUUCGAUCGUUAGUAUCUCUAUACCUAGUUCAAUCUCAUUACUCGCAAGUCUCUUUACUCAUUCCGUAUUACAAGACCACGUGACUAAUUCUUUAGUCACAUUGCUUGCAAGUAUUGUUGUGAUGUUGUAUUACUGAGUGGUCCCCGAGAUACCUCUCUGUUACACGGAGUGACAAAUCCCAGUCUUGAUCCAUGCCAACCCAACAGACACCUUUGGAGAUACCUGUGGAGCACCUUUAUAGUCACCCAGUUACGUUGCAACAUUUGAUACACACAAGAUAUUCCUCUGGUAUCCGGGAGUUGCAUGAUCUCAUGGUCAUAGGAAGAUAUACGUUGACAUGCAGAAAACAGUAGCAAUAAACUGACAUUCAUAGUUUGGGUCUUGUCCAUCACAUCAUUCUCCUAAUGAUGUGAUACCGUUAUCAAAUGACAUCUCAUGUCUAUGGCCAGUCAACCUUGACCAUCUUUGAUCAACGAGCUAGUCCUUGAGAGGCUCACUAGUAGGCACAACGUGUUGUAUAUGUAUCCACACAUGUAUUUGAGUUUCCAAUCAAUACAAUUCCAGCAUGGAUAAUAAAUGAUUAUCAUGAAAAAGGAAAUAAUAAUAACCAAUUUAUUAUUACCUCUAGGGCAUAUUUCCAACAUGAAGAAGUAUUACGAUACCACGGGGUAAGGUGACUACAGCAAACCUCGGCCGUUGUGGGACAAAGCGGAGCAAGACCUACUUGCUAAAGGGGUCCAACCAACGACAUUGCACUGGCCAGAUCGGUCAAGGACUUGGUUCUUCGGGGUUGGGGGGAACUUUGGACCCAGAAUCAGGGAAGUGUGUUUGGAUGAACGAACAACUUGCAAUACCCAUUACCAAGUUUGAGGAGGCAAUUAAGGAAGCGCAGGAAGGGAUGUUCAUUCCCGACAAAGAGAACGACGAGCUCACAGAGGCCCUCGGGAAUCCUGAACACCCUAGACGAACACGAGGCACAUCAAGCUCCGUUCUGUGGGUGCAUGGGUUUCUCGACACCUAUGGUUAUAGAAGCUGACAGAGAAAGAAAAAAGAGGAAGCAACCGAAAUGCAAAAGCUUAGUGCAAGAUUAGCGAAACCAGAGGAACUUGAGAGCCAGCGAGCUACCAGCCAACCAUCUCAGUGGCACGAAGAUCCUUCCUUGGAUGCUGCCACAAAAGCUACCCCACCAUCUCAGCGAAGAAGCAGCGUGGUUUUCACAGAGCUUGUUCAGCCUGAUUUGAUGGCUCCUCUCUACCCCGUGGAUAGUAACACGGAGGCUGAACAUUGUGUGCUAAUGGAGAAAUGCCAGAACCUGACCUUGAAGGCGGCACUCGGCUCUAUUCUACCUCCUCGAGCUGAGAGAACUUUCCAUUAUCGUCUGAUUCCACAUGUCUAUGCUAUUGUGACGGUGGAUGAAAUAACGGAGGGGUUUGAGGAGCUCGAUCUUGACUACCCUACAAGUGAAGGGGAGAUUCAUCUGGAAAAUGCUUUAAGGUCUACAUGUCUAUGGAGAAAGGAGUACAUCAAGCUUCCAAACUAGAUACCUCAAUAGACUGAUCAGCGGACUCCGCCUCCUCCAGCGCGUGAGCGCACUCCACCUCCUCUAGCGCGCACUACAAGAAAUUUUUAAUCCAUGACGGAUUUCUGACAACGUUUCCGUAAACCGUCGUGGAAACUGUCAUUGAUCAGGAAUGUGCAGAUGGGAUCCAAAAUGAUAGCCCUUUUAUGACAAACAUCAGGAGACCUUCACAGAAACCGUCAUGUAUCGACCAGCCGGGCAUAGUCGGGCCGGGCCUUUUUUUCUUUAUUUGUAUUUGACCGUCACGGAUGAGUCUCACUACUGUAGGUAUGUAGGGCUCACAUGUCAGUAGGAGAAAAACAGAGACCAAAACUAAUAGAGCACACGCGCUAGAAAGAAAAAUUUAAGUGGUCAGCACGGGGGCUCAAAAUUUUCGAGACUUCCCAUUUAACCCCAAUUCCCCUUCCCCUUAUCCAUUCUCCUCCCGUAUCAACCAUCAGCCGCCGCCGCUCUCCACGUCGGCCCCGGCGGUGCAGGUGCUGAACCACCCCGCGUUGGGCGCCUCCAUAUUUGUCCCGCACCGAGCUCGUCCCCAUCCAUCCCACGUCGGACCCCUCCCCGUCUACCCCGCGGGCCACGCCAUGCCCCUCCCCAUUCAGAUCGUGCCCUCAAGAUAUGGUGACCCAGUGCUAUCCCUCAAGCUGAGGCAGCAGCGGUGGCAGCAAUACUGAUUGCCAAAUUUCGAAGCCCCCGAGGUCGCCGGCGACGGUCACAGAUCCAGCUCCAUCCGGCCACGGGCACAUAUCGAGCUCCAUCCAGAGGCGAGACAACAUGAGUGAGGAAUCACCCAACACCCACACACUUCUCCUCAUAUAUUUGUUCGUCGGAAUUGAGUUAUUACAUAAUUUCUUAUUUGGGUUGGGGAAUCUGCAGGUGAGGCUCGCGGGGAUGGUCAGCGCCUCAGCGACAAGGCGAUAGGAACACGGACGUCUCCUUCGCAGUCGACGACGGUACGGCCGCAUCUAUUUCAUCAGCUGGUGAGUGUGACUUGGAAAAUAGCUUCGUACUUGAGUUCCAGAUGUAUUUUAGGGGUAUAGUUUUAGAUGUUUGUUUAGAUUCCAUUGUUGGAUGUUGGCUGUGGGGUUUCUUCAACACCAUGUUGCUGGCUAUUAGUAUGACAAUGCAAGAAAUCCAGUAAUUGGAUUCAAACCUGCAAGUUCUUAACCAUCUCUAAUUAAUUCAGUAACAGAGUUCCAAGCUGAUUCAUAGACUAAAAAUUAAUGAAUCGCCCUUGGAUAUAUAGGUUGUCCUCUUGCCUGAAAAUAAAGGAAAAAAUUGCACACCACCGCCAAACUGUCCUUGUACUCUUGCCUCCCAAGACCAAAAAUAAAUUGACCUAUGUUGUUGUCUCUGCUAUUGCCAGGAACCCCCACACCCCUGAAGAUCAACAUGUAAGACUGAUGGAUGUUGGGACAUCGAUGUUGCACUGCACAUCUAUCCAAACUCCAAAGUAAUCCAAGUAAUAUCUUACACUUCACAUAUGUCCAUGGCUGGCCUGCGAGAUGAGGGUAAUUAGAUUGAUUUCUUACUCUGUUUGUGUUGGAAAUAUGCCCUAGAGGCAAUAAUAAAAAGGUUAUUAUCAUAUUUCCUUGUUCUUGAUAAUCGUCUAUUGUUCAUGCUAUAAUUGUAUUAACAGGAAACAGUAAUACAUGUGUGAAUAAAUAGAUCCCAAUGUGUCCCUAGGAAGCCUCUAGUUGGCUAGCUCGUUAGUCAAUAGAUGAUCAUGGUUUCCUAGUCAUGGGCAUUGGAUGUCAUUGAUAACGGGAUCACAUCAUUGGGAGAAUGAUGUGAUGGACAAGACCCAAUCCUAAGCAUCGCACUAGAUCGUAUUGUUCGUAUGCUAAAGCUUUUCUAAUGUCAAGUGUCUUGUCCUUCGACCGUGAGAUUGUUCAACUCCCGGAUACCGUAGGAGUGCUUUGGGUGUAUCAAAUGUCACAACGUAACUGGGUGACUAUAAAGGUGCACUACGGGUACCUCCGAAAGUAUCUGUUGGGUUGGUACCAAUCGAGAUCGAGAUUUGUCACUCCGUGUAACGGAGAGGUAUCUCUGGGCCCACUCGGUAGAACAUUAUCAUGAGCUCAAUGUGACUAAGGAGUUAGUCAAACGAUGACGUGCUACGGAACGAGUAAAGAGACUUACCGCUAACGAGAUUGAACAAGGUAUAGGUAUACCGACGAUCGAAUCUCGGGCAAGUUCUAUAGCGACAGACAAAGGGAAUUGUAUACGGGAUUGAUUGAAUCCUUGACAUCGUGGUUCAUCCGAUGAGAUCAUCGUGGAGCAAGUGGGAGCCACCAUGGGUAUCCAGACCACGCUGAUGGUUAUUGGCCGGAGAGGUAUCUCGGUCAUGUCUGCCUGUCUCCCGAACCCGUAGGGUCUACACACUUAAGGUUCGAUGACGCUAGGGUUAUAGGGAAUUGUUAUAAGAGGUUAUCGAAAGUUGUUCGGAGUCCCCGAUGAGAUCCCGGACGUCACGAGGAGCUCCGGAAUGGUCCGGAGGUAAAGAUUGAUAUAUAGGACAGAUGGUUUCGGACACCGGAAAUGUUCCGGGCAUCACCGGUAACGUACCGGGACCAGCGGAGGUGGCCCCGGGGGUCCACCGAACGGGGGCAACGACCCCGGGAGGCUAGAUGGGCCAAGUGGGGANNNNNNNNNNNNNNNNNNNNNNNNNNNNNNNNNNNNNNNNNNNNNNNNNNNNNNNNNNNNNNNNNNNNNNNNNNNNNNNNNNNNNNNNNNNNNNNNNNNNGUCGAUCACGAAGGGAUGACAGGGGAUGUUCUACCACUCAAGGAAAAGAAAAAACAGGGAUGCUCUUGGUUACCCAAAGAAAAGAAAAAACGAAGAAGAAGACGAGAUAUUUUCAGCACCCUUUUUUUUGCAAUGGAGAUAUUUUCACCACCUGUGGACAAUGUUCACCCUAGUGGAACCAUGUACGUACAGUCCCACGCCCUUGAUGCCAACGCGGGCGCCUGGGCCACCUGUUCUUUUUGCAUGGAGUGCUUCUUGGAAUUCUUUUUUGUUGGCUAACCUUGUGACGCGAGAGGACACAAGCUUUCGUCGCCGCUGGCCGCACAACGAUGUCGUCGAUAGCUAUACCCCCUUGGCAGUUGGCAUGCAGCGUAGGCCGCAUAAAUCUUAACCAGACCUGCCCGGAAAGAUUUUUGCCCGUUCAUUUUGUUGGAAGGCUGCCACGUCUGACAGCGGGACUGCCGAUCCAGGAGGGCAACGGCCUCGCCCCGGGGGCUCGGGGGACUUGGCGUCCACGCCUCCCAGCGGGAGCACGACCCGCUCCACGUCGUGAUCCCUUCCGUCUCUCUUGUUUCGGUUACAGUAGAUCUUAUCCUUUGUAAUCAUCCAUGUAUACAUAGCACUAUAUGCAGAAUCAAUAGACACACAGUUUCUACUCGUCUAACUUGGUAUCACAGGUCUCUCGCUCCUCCCGUUCCUACCGCUUCUGCCAUGAGCUACCGGCGCCCCCUCUGCCGCACCCGCUCCUUCGGGGACGCUGACGCGCCAUUCGUUCUCCCGCCCGUCGCCCCCGGCCCUGAGCACGCCGUUCCGGUCGCCGACCCCGUCGCCCCGGCCCCAGCCUCCCCCAAUGCUCGGGUCCUUUGCCGUGCCGCUGCGCCGGCAGUUCCUCCGCUCCGCAUCGCCUGCCCAGGCGCCAAUGCCCUCGCUAUCCCUCUCUCACCCAUCCACCUCCCCGCCAUCCCAACCAACCAUGUAAACAUCGCCAACUUCAUCCCGUUUAAACUCAGCCUCGACGACAACAACUACUCCAAGUGGUGCCAGCUUUUCUGGUUUGUCCUCUGCAAAUACCACGUCGAGGACCACGUCCUUGACGCGGCCGAUCCACUCCAUGAGGACCCCGUCUGGCGCAACGACGACGUCACGGUCGUUCUUUGGAUCUACGGCACCAUCUCCGACGUGAUCCAGUCCCCGGAGAGCACGGCGUUCCAUCUCCGGGAUCAACUGGAGGUCUUCUUCCGCGACAACGCCUCCGGCCGCGCCGUCCACAUCGGCGCCGAGUUCCGGGCGACGGCGCAAGGCGACAUGACAAUCGCCCAGUACUGCCGCCGCCUCCAACAGUUGGCCAACGCCAUGGCCGACGUGGGUGAGCCGGUCUCCGACCGCUCGCUCACCCUUCAACUCGUCUGCGGCUUGAACCGGCGCUUCCACGUCAUGGCCACCCUGCUCCCGAUGCAGCAACCCUUCCCGACGUUCGUCCAAGCCCGCUCUCGCCUCCUCCUGGACGAGAUCGGUCUCACCGAACGGGAACGCGCUGUCGGGGCCUCUGCUCUUGCCAUUGGCCCCGCCGGCGGCUCCUCCUCCAACGACUCCUCCACCGACCGCGUGCCUCCCUCUCAGCAGGACAAGGGGAAAGGGCCUGAUGUCGGCGAUCGCCAG
Molecule: long non-coding RNA, 99289 nt
Filed under: Hordeum vulgare
Lineage: Eukaryota; Viridiplantae; Streptophyta; Magnoliopsida; Poales; Poaceae
Description: long non-coding RNA (HVUL_LNC003322)
Source: RNAcentral